This 98531-nucleotide long non-coding RNA is filed under the name Fragaria vesca (wild strawberry). RNAcentral describes it as "long non-coding RNA (FVES_LNC000647)". Lineage: Eukaryota; Viridiplantae; Streptophyta; Magnoliopsida; Rosales; Rosaceae. The record is from RNAcentral.
UUUUUUUUUUUUUUUUUGGUUAGGGCUUGUGAAUGCGAGUGCAAAUUACAAUUGUAUUGAUUGCAUACCAAUUGUAAUCAGUCAGUUAACAUCAAUUAACUCUGUAGCUUAAAGCAUCACAAAUCCAGUUCCAUAUGUAUUUGAGAUCCUGGAUAUAACACUAGUAUCUAAUGCCAUUUCAAAAACAUAAUGUUAAGACUUUUGAGUAAUUUAGGUCAGAAUAUAUAAAGAUCACUUCAACAACAUAAUGUUAAGAAUUUUGAGUAAUUUAGGUCAAUAUAUAUAUAUAUAUAUAUCACUUUUGUGCUCGCUAAAACAUCUUUGUAGUUCUCUUAUGUUCAAAACUAUAUUACCUAUGCUUUCCAAAAACACUCUCCAUGUACUACUCGAUCGUGCAAAACCCAUUUAUUUUUUACAUUAUCCUUUCAAUAGUCAAGCAUAAGUGAAAAUAUUUGACGAUAACUGUGAUUAAACAAUUAUAAUUCUUUCAGAAAAAAAAAAUUGAAAACAUUAUGGUCGUUACCAGAUGGCUUACUGAUUUUGGAUUUGUUUGAUUAUUAGAAUUAUAUUCUUUGAAAAAAAAGAGUUAAAGGUGUGGAUGUGGUAACACUGUAGUGGGCCUAAAGGGCUGGUUAGCAUAAUUAUAUCCAUCUCAUUCAAUUUACCUCCAUCGUACAAGUUCCUUUGUUUGAAGCACAAGUAGAAAAGAUGUUUCAAGCUUUCAGCACACAUACAACUCCAAUAUUAACAAAUAUUCUAACCCAUUCAAUGAAGUCACAUAAGCAGCUAUAUCUAAGUCCAUAAUAUAACAGUAUCCAACAUGAAAGUAUGAGCUGCAAUAUGCAAGAAAAUCUGGGGCCACAAUAAAUCAGGAUGGCCCAGUAGAUAAUUGUGACAUCAUGUUUGAAACCAAAAAAUCUCAUUUUUUCUUUUCGUUCAAAACAACAAGAGUAGCUGCUUAGGUAUGCAACCCUUACCGUAAUUUCUUUGUCUGCGUUGCCAACUGAAAGGAAGUUGUUAUUUACCUGCAUUAAGAAGAUAAAGCAUAAAACAUACCUUAGACUUGCAGUAUGGCACAUCAUAAUCAAAAUAUACACAAGAAAUGGUAAACAAACUCCCGUUACAAUCAUCCACUGAAAGUGAAGGGGAACAGGCAUACUAGCUGAUUGUAAAUACGAAAAACAGCACUUGAUUGAAAACAUGGUGGAUUCGAGUCCAAUGGGGAAAAAAACAAACAAAGUCAUUAACAACUUGGGCUAAGUAGAACAAAUUGGAUAAAUGAUUAUGAAACACAAACUUCAAGCAUGUAUUUACUAAGUUAUCUAUCAUAGAAAAGGACAGUGUCCUUUCAGAAAGGCUACAUGUUCUUAAAGUUCGUGUACACUUACAGGGUGGAAACGAAUACACAGUUGUGGAGAAACUCCAUAUAUUACUCGUAUGCAUACACCUUUUGAAAUCUCCCAUACUCUCACAGUUUUAUCCAUUGAUGAGGAUGCAAUGUACUGAUUGUUUGACGAGAAAUCAAAGUCUGAAAAUAAACAAGAACAUGAUGUUUAGGACAAAGACCUAUGCAAGGAAAUUGGGAAGACUAUGACUUCAAUUAUUGAAUCUUCCAACAUAAUAGAUUUCUAAAUUUAUACCAAGGAAUCAUUUGUCAACAUUAUAGGUUGUAUUGCCACACAGAAUCCCAAUUGAUAAUCUAAGGGACUAUCUAGAAUCUACUGAGGAAAUAACGUUGAGCCCAUAACCAAGCAGAGAUGGUGAUGCUGGAAACAAAACCUCACUAAAGAAAUUUGCAUCCACUACAGAACAAUGGAGUUAAUGUUUAAUCAUUUGAACAUUAAUUGUGAUGUUUCAGUUAACUUGUUGAUUUACUAAACUGCUAAGGCCUAGCACUUCUCAUUACUACUUUUUCUUAUCUAUAUCACUUUGAAUAUAACUACUAAAUUUUUGGCCAUACGAAUAUACUUCUUAGAGGAGGCAAGAAACUUAGAAACACACAUGCUAAUGCAAAAGUAAGAGAAAAUAAAACAGUAAAAAAUACCAGUUAAUCCAACCUGUAACAUCUUUGGAGUGACCGUUCAGAUGCUUGAGAAUUGAAGGAGGAUCAGAGACGGUGCAUACAGUCAAGGUUCCAUCUGAUGCUCCAUACGCAAGCAGAUCUGAGCUCAUGUGCCCAAACUUCAAAACAGUAACUGUACAUAGCAACCAAUGAGGAUCAUUUUUUUUGUGAAAAAAAAAAACAUACAUGUUCACUUAUGUUCCUAAUAUAAAAAAUUACCAGAGGCUCUGCACUGGUCGAAGAUGCAUUGCAUUCCUACAAACGAGUACGCAGGCUGUUCACCCCGUCGACGUGGACGAUCAGUAUCACUAGUAGUCGAGCUAAAACUUCUACGAGAUGAAAGUAUACUGGGACUAUGCAAAUCCUGCAAAGAAACAGAGCUCCACUCAUUACAAUUCAAGCCAUUUAAAAGAAACUUUCGCAACCGAAACUGAGGCUGCAUUGCAUCAUACCCUGCCAGGAGUCCAGCUCUCGACCUCGUAUAAAAGUGCACGCGGACUCGGAGGUUGAAUCCAUCGCCCGCUGAUGCAUCAAUCAGCCUGACGUCAGCAAUACGAAUUUAACACAAAUUCAAAGCACUGAAUAAAAAUCAAGAAAAGCUUGAGAUGAGUUUUGAUGAAGACUGUACCUGUUUCCCGGAGUGGUCUGCAGGCUCGGAGUCCGGAGACUAUCCUUGUCCCAGUUCCUAGGCCUCCGAAUGAAGUUCCGGAACGCCACGUAGCCCCUUUCAUUGCAUCUCCAGUCCUUUUGAAAUCCACAACAACUCUGAGACUCAAUUCACAGCAAAAGAUGAAUGAAAUGUUACGAAGAAGAAGCUUACGAGGCGGCGAUCAAUGGAGGACGGCGACUUGCGGGAGAGGAGAAGGCGGCGAAUGCCGAUGUAUUCGGGAUCGGAGUCUGCGGGGCAAGGUUGGAGCAGGCACAUCAGCAGGUCGGGAUCGGAAUGCUUCUUCUUCUUCUCCUCGUCGUCGUCGAUUUUUUUCUGCGGUGGAGCACAGCCGUCAGCGGCACCGUGAUUCGUAUCAUCUUUCUCUUUCUCUUCGUCCUCCGGAUCGCCACCGCCAUUUUUCUCCGCCAUCUGGAUUCGCAAAUGACUUUGGCUACGUGUCUCUCUCUGUGGCUUAACUAAAAGUGUGCGAGCACAGCUUUGACAUUGACUUUGGCUCUUUUCUUUCAAAUUUUUAUUUUUUUAAUUCAAGUUUCUUUUGACGAAAACCUAUAAAAACUCUUAAGUUGAAGACUAGUUAACGAAACAAGACAGAUAGAAAAUUUCUAAAGAGAGAGGCUCUUCCUUCGCUCUAGAAGUUUUCUCCACCACAACCAAUAUUCUGAAGCCAACCGCUUCCACCACCACCACCACCACCAUGCCCACCACCAUCAUCUCCAUCUCAUCCACCCACUCCAUCUCCUCCGUCCCUUGCACACAACCUCCCUUUUGUAGACCUAUUUUCUCUUUCCUCUCUCUUCUUCAACUACAUCACCCUUCUACCACUUCUAUCCAUUCACAAUCAAUGUUCUCAUCUAUCCUUCACUGUUGAGAGUACAUCUCACUCUUAACACCUUCAAUACUCCUCCACUUCUUCCAUUCUCUACACUUAUAACCCAAUUAUGCUCUCUUAUCACCAAAGCUCUUGUCCUAUUUUCCAGAUCUACUACCGUCUCAUCAGUAGUGUUUUUCUCCUCAUGGAUGGAAUUGGUCUAAAUGGUUCCGGAUUUGCUUCGUUCUACCCAUAAACGAACUUGCGCUCGUUGGCGGAUUUGUCGUCCUACAAAAGCGAGUGGCUCGAUUGCGUUCGUAAACACACUCAGCUAGGUUACUUGGUGUUUCUUAGGCAUUCUUGAGCCCUAUGUUUGCUCCAACUGGUGUAGAAGGAGGCGAGAAGGUGCUAUGGGGACUGCUCCUCUUUAGGCUAAGACAUGGAGGCGGCGACGGCGGUAGUUUUCUGAAGGUGUGGGUGUGCUCCUCUUGGUGGCUGCUAGAUAGCUUUCUAGGGUUUUCUAAUUCUGAUUAUGGGCUCCUAACUUUUGUUUGGGUUUAUGUUCUCCCAACUUUUGUUUGGGCUUAUGUGUUCCCAACCUUUGUUUGGGCCAAGUCUUUUAGAGGCUUUAUUUUUCUUUUGCUGGGCCUAUGUGUCUUUGUUUCUUAUUUGUACCUCUUGUAAUGUUAUGGGUCCAUUGGAUGAUCUAAUACAACUUUACAUUUCAACCAAAAAAAAAAAGUUGAGGAUUAGUUAAAGACUUUUCAGCUUGUCCCACUUUUCGAUCUUAUAUCCACAUCUUGACCAUUCAAUUUAUAGGUAUUUAUGAGUAUAUCAUUUAUGCAAUUUUUAGCCAUAUUGGAAAUCGUUAAGACAUUUAUAAGUGUGAUUUACCAAUUAUGAACUUGAACGAUUCAUGUCUGACAGAUUUGGUUCGUCCAUUAAUUUGAUAUAGUUUGUUACCUUAACGAUCACUGAUUUGGCUGAAAAUUUGUAAGGUUGAUCUACACAUAUGGACUUAAAAACUAAACGGAUAAGAUGCCAAGAUGUGAUAGAAAAAUAAGUCUUUUAAACCAUAAACCGAAAAGUCAUCAACUAGUCCUCAACUUAAAGGUCUUCACUAAAAGGGCUCCCGUGUUUAGAUAAAGAAAUUUUAAUUUUCACAUAAAUUUCAAAAUCAUAAUCAUAUACUUGUCACAAUACGCUCGACUCGACAUCUCAUUCACUAUAAACUUAUAAUGUCAAGUUCUCUUUUAUAGUUUUUUAACUCUCUUCCUAACGAUUGAGCAGCAUCACUCCUUCUUAGAUAAGUGUGAAGGAAUAUCAAGAUAGUGACUAGAUGCGCCCACAAAACACCAAUGUAAUGACAUUAAUUCCUUCUUUUAAUGCUUAAUAGUAUGAAAUGUUUAGGCUUAUUUUAUCCCAGCACAAAGACAAGAAUUAGUAUUUAAACUAACCUCAGGAUUUUUGAGAAGAAACUAACCUCAGUUAAAAAAAGAUGAUGCUAUUAACACACGUAUUUUGCUAUUAACACAUUUCAUCUAUUUUCUCAUCCACACAUUUCAAUUUUAUUUACAAUCUUACCACUUGAAAUUAUUUUAUGAUUGGCUAUCAUCAUAAAUGAGGUGUGUUAAUCGCAAAAAAUGGUGUGUUAAUAGCACCACCCUAAAGAAAUUGAUAAUGAUGUCUAUUUUGUGAGAAAUUCAAGCAUAAUUAUUUUCCGGUAAAAACUGUUAAUUCAAUAAAGAAUUGAAAUUUGUUUAGUCUUUGUGGUUUGAAGUCGACAUUUCUUCCGUCCUUGUGGUUUUAUUUUAAUCCGAAUAAUCUUUAAAGUCAAGAUUUUUUUAUCUAAAUAAUCUUUCUGUCCAUUUUUUCUGUUAGAAUAUUGACGUGGCUGUUAAAGACAUUGUAAUUUUUAACGGUCACGUCAGCAAUUUAACUGAGAAAAUUGACAUAAUAACCAUUUGGAUGAAAAAUCGUGACUUUAAGGACUAUUCAAAUUAAAAUAAAAUCACAAGUAUUGAAUCGAUGUCGACUUUAAACCACAAGGACUAUACAAUAUUUUACCCUUCAAUAAAAUAAGAGUCCAAACGGUGGAUAUAAUCUAACUUAUGAUUGGUAAGCAAAAUCUUCUACCAAAACCAACCGCCGAAGUUGGUAUACCGACUUAGUUGGUGUCAGGACCCACCCCGAAUUUCACCCUGAAACCCGAGUAAAUCCUGCGGGGACCAUCUCGGUAAGGUAAAAGUUUACCUAAAAUCGGUAUAACCUCCCUUAAAAAUGGACAAGUUUUCUUUAUAAAACACCUGCAAACACUUCUAAAAAUCCAAACUCAACCUUAUACUCCUGGAGCCUUCGUACUCCCCAAAGUCACAACACCUCCCAAUUUAUUUACUAAUCUAAUAAUAAUCCCAUAACCACCCAAAUCAUAGGUUCAGAGCAAUUCUAACAGCGAAGGUAAGAUAAAUAUAAAAAUAAACGGAAGCUGACACGACCCACCCCGAAUUUCACCCUGAAACCCGGAGUAAGUCGUGCGGGGACCACCUCCAAGGAAAAUUUACUGAAAAGAUUGAGAAAAUCUCCCUUGUAGAUGGACAACCCUAACUCGAAAAUUCCAAAUUUCACUCUUAAUUCAACACUUCCAAACAUCACAUAAUAUACAAUAAUCCUAAAGUAUUCAGAGCUACUAAACACAAGCGGAAGCAAGAAAACACGAGUAGGUUGAACAGGUAACCUACUGAUGAAAACUGGCAGAAAUGCGGGUGACUAUGCCUCGCCUCCUACUAGAUCCAACCCGAACUCUGCAGACUGGGCAAUUUAAAACGAAAGGCCCAGGGGAAAACAUUUAAUAACGUUAGAGUGAGUGAACAAAAAUAAAAUAAAGGAAAUAAUUCUUUAUGCUUUCCCAAUUUUUACUUUUCCAUAGAAAAGAAAAUAUGCUGCAUGCGACAGCUCAAAACGCUCAAUAAAAUACAGCCUCUUAGGCUAAAAUAAAAUAUGUAUGUAUUACACUCGUCAUAUCCCUUGUAUGAAUUUUCUUGAAACAACUAAAACAAAUAGUAAAUUCACACAAGGCUACAACGCUUGCGUCUAACGCUCACGUUGCACCAUAAUGGCAUUUUACCUCAUUAUGGUGGAAAAGACGGUGUAUAAAUAUACGCGCAUAUCCCCUAUAUAAAUUAUUAUUUUUAUAUAGGGCUACAACGAUUGCGUCUAACGCUCACGUUGCACCAUAAUGGAAUUUUACUUCAGUAUGGUGGAAAAGCACGUAUAGCUAGCUAGCAUUCUCUCAUAUACAUAUUAUUCUCAUAAUCAUCCACAUAUGGAUAUAUAUAUAUACACUCACCGAAAUUCUCAAUUUCGGUUAUUCUCCAACAACAUAAAUUAUUUCGCACGCACAUUAUUUAAAACAAAAGUCCACUCACUAAUUAGGCCUAAGCCUGAUGUCGAUCUGGGGCCUCGUCAGCUCAAGCCUCCUCACGACCUGUUCCAAAUAUAAUAUUAAGUUCCCAGCCGAAAUUCCAAUAUUUACACAAAAUAGGCAGAAAUUAACCGAGAGCCAUUAACACGCUCAUCAUUGCCUAACUUCGAAAUGGUCCACAUUUCAACCCUAGAACCAGCAGCUGUAACUACACCUUCCCACAGAUUAAACAACUUAAUCCAACGGCCGGAUUCUACAUAAAUUAACCGCCAAAAAUACUAACUUCGGAAAUUCAUAAACCUAUCCAAAACUCAUCCAAAAAUUCCAUAACUCACUUCAAUAAACUCCCCUUAAUAUUCCAAAUUUAACAACAUUAAAAUCUCCCAACCGGCGGCGGCCGGAGGCCAAUUCCGGCGACCUCCAAUUCCUAUAAAAUUUUAACAGCCUCUUCCUCUCAUCAUACUCUACAAUUUUCAUAACUAGCACAAACACCAAUUCCAAGCCUAACUAGGGCAAUCGACUAAAAACAUCAAAAACACCAUAAAACUUCCACCUCAAAUUUCUCCUUACCUAGCUCAAGAGGGAGUGAGUCCUUUUAGUGCAAGGCUGCUAGGUUGGAGGGCUACAAAUCCGUACCAAGCUUGCCCGGAUUGGUGGCCGGAGGAGGGAGUUCCGGCGAAAUGCUUCCCGGCGUUUCCGGCGGGUUUUCUCCUCUUCCGGCGGGUUAGAGGCUCGGGGGCUAGGCCGGGGAGGGAGAGGAGGAGAUGGGGGUCCGAACUGGGGUGGAGCGGCGGGCGAGCUGGUGGCCGGACGGCGGGCAGGAGGACGGCCGGACGGACGGCGAGCGGGGAGGAAAAAAAUCGGGAGAGAGAGAGAAACGGGAGAGAGGAAAGAGAAAAGGUUGGGCCUCACACCCCAAACCGGUCCACACCACUUACUAACCAAUCUACCAAAAAUAAAACCAACCCCGAAAAAUAACUAACCCGAAUUAAAACUUUACCUUUUACUAGACUUAAAACUUUACCUACUUUUACCGUCGUCGUUAUUUUCCUCAUACGAAUAAUCCUCCGCACAUAAUCGUCCCCGAAACCCCUCUAGGGACCAAUUAAAUUAUUUACUCAUGAUCGAGACGGUAAAAUUCUUAUUAUAAUCACGCUAGUAAAUAAGGUAAAAAUAUAAGGGUCGGGAUGUGACAAAAGCUAUAUAAUGGAUUAUGCCUCGACUCCAUGUACGCCUGACCUCAACUAUGCUAACCUACAAACUGGGCAUUUAAAAACGAAUGGCCCAAGGGAAAACAUUUGAAAACGUUAGAGUGAGUGGACAAAAGUAUAUUUAAGAGAAAUGAGCAAUAAAUAUCUUUAUGCUUUUCCCAAUUUAAUUUUUAUAGAAAAGCUAUGCUGCAGGCGACAAGCUCAAAAACUUUUAACUUAAAAAUUGACAAAAACGUGACUAGCCUCGCUAGUCUCCAAUACUUUAUAAUAUAGAGCCUCUCAAGCUAUAGUAUGUAUGUAUGUAUUUACACACGUCAUACUCCUUGUAUGAAUUCUUAUGAAAGAUAGAAAUUCAUAUAAGGCUACAACGCUUGCGUCCCACACUCACGUCACACCAUAAUGGGAUUUCAAACGCUACAUCAUUAUGGCGGUGGCGGAAAAGAUAGGUGUAUAUACGUGCAUAUCCCCUAUAUGAAUUCCUAUUUUCAUAUAGGGCUACAAGGCUUGCGUCACACGCUCACGUCACACCAUAAUGGAAUUUCAAACUCUACCGCAUUAUGAUGGAAAAGCACGUAUGACUAGCUAGCAUUUAUAUACAUAUUAUUCUCAUAAAUAUCCAUACAUAUCUCCACCGAAAAUAUAAAAGAAAGCAAUAAAUGUAUGACUCCACCGAAAAUCUCAUUUUCGGUAACUUUCCAAAUAGUGAAAUUAACAAAUAAAAUAUGAAUAUUCACUUUCGAAAAUACUUCGUAGAAACCAUUCAUGCAUAAAAGGAAAUUUAUUCCACAAAUUAAGAUAAUAAAAUAAACUCAAUCAUUAAAUAUGAAACCAUCACAUGCAUUUAAUUUAAAACAAACGUCCACUCACAGAUUUAGGCCUAAGCCUAACGUUGAUCCGAGAUCUCUUCAGCUCGAACCUCCUCACGUCCUGAUCAAAGGAUACUAUUAAAUUCUAAUCCCAAUUUAAAUCAUAAAAUUAACAAGUAUGAUUGUGAGCCUAAAUCGCUCUCCUUAGCCCAUUUCCUCAAAUUCCAAAAACGGUUCGGGCCGGACCCGUACAAAAUCCUUGACAUAAUAAUUUGAUGGAUUUAAGCUAAUUCCAAAGCUAUCCCAACCACCUAUUUCUCAUCUAACAACUAACAAAUUAACCAAUCCCCGAUUAAUUCCAAACCUUAUCAAAAACUUCUCCAAUACUCACAAACUUAACAUUAUUCUCCUCCCUUCAAAUACAACUUAUAAAGCUCGGAAAAACACUUCAACAUGGCGCCGCCGCCGUCUACACCGUCGGCAAUGACGGCCGGCAGCCUAACUCCGGUCACCUCCAAUGCUCACCAAAAUUUGACACAAUCUUCCUCUCAACACGCACAACAACUUUCUUAACUAGCACAAACACCAAUUUCAAGCCUAGAUAAGGUAAUUGAACCAAAACAUUAAAUUGAACCCUAGAAUUUCAAUUAAUCGUUUCUCCUUACCAAGAACGAAUUGAGCCAAAACCUUUUGAGGGUUUACUAACCUAGAUGAGAGCUACAAGAUGGGAUAAGAAUCGCCGGCUAUGGCGGCCGGAGGAGGGAGUUCCGGCGAGAGGGCAGCCAAGCUUCUAGGGACAAUUUCCUUCAAUCGGCAGUGUUGCAAGCUUGCUCACCAACCUAAGAAGGGAGAGGAGGUGACGGUGGUUCAAUCAGGACCGGUGCGGUGGCUCAGCUUGGCCGGACGGUGGCGGAAAACUUCCGGCAGGGAGGGAGAGAGACUCGGGGAAGGAAGAGAGAGAAAGAGAGAGAGAGAGAGAGAGAAGAGCCUUCUCUCUCAAUUUUUCCAACGCAACUCCAAAAAUACCCAACACCACCAACAAAUCACCUUUUACCUUUUUACUAUCUAAAAGUUACCUUUUACCGUCUUCAACAAUUUCUCCAACAUAAAAAAUUUCCCGAAUUAAUCAACUUACAACAAUAUCUCUAGGGACCUUUGAAACUAUAAAAUCCAUUAACGAAAAUGGUAAAACUCUUAUUAACACCAUGCAAGUGAUUAGGGUAAAAAUUAAGAGUCGGGAUGUGACAGUUGGUACGGUUGGUAAUAGGUCACUACCAAGUUUAGAUUGUGGUCCAAAAACUGAAGUAAUAAAUAUAAUUUUUGCACAAUUAUAAUGUAAUGAUAGCUUUAGUCGGGUGGUAUGUGGUCAUAUUUUCCAUCAGAGCAGUCAUUAUUUCGUAAUAUACAUAUUGCGAAAAUUUAAGCAUUUUAUAUUUUAAUUGUAUUUAUAUCUAUAGGAUAUUAUAAAUAUAAAACAAUACAUAUAUUAUAAUAAUGGCGCCUUGUGCUUUAGUGGUUGGGAGUGAGAGUUGUUUGGAAAAGGGUUAAAGUUCGAGUCUCACAUCCGCAACGGGUUCUUAAUAUUUUGUAUUAUUUAUAUAUGUAAGAUGUUAUAAAUAUAAAAUAUGCAUGUACCAUAAUGAAGGCGCCUUGUGCUUCAGUUGUUGGGAGCGAAAGUUGUUUGUAAGAGGUUGGGGUCCAAUUCUCAUUUCCUACAUAAAUAUGGGUGUAAGUACACAUAUAUGGUUGAUAUGGUAUACUAAUGGUAUGAAAAUCUUAAUACCAAGUAUCAACCAUAUUACCAAAACCGGUACGGUAUACCGUACCAAAUAAGUUGGUAAUCAAGUCUUUAAUAUACCAACUAGGUUGGUACUCAAUUAGUUGGUUUCGACAUGGUCCAAAUUACCUGCCCAUAUAGACCACCCUCGUCCAAAAACACUGGUAAUGUUUUUUUUUUUUUUAACAUGUAAACACUGGUAAAGUUUAAAGCCUAAACUGAGUCGUCUUCCAGCACCCAGCCUAGUCGGUAAUAUCAAAAACACAGCCAGUUACUACUAAAAACCAAAGCCCAAAUAUCUCCUCUCGAUCCAUAUCGGGUAGCCACUCUUCUUUGUAAGAUGCACUCUGCAGUUUUGUGAACUCGAUACGCAGCAGAUCACAUAGAUUUGGAGGUACAAAUUAGUUUCAUCUCUUCUAUAAUUGCAUUAUCCAGUCUUUUAAUUUCUUAAUGAAUGCCCAGAAACAAGUAUAUGAAACACCCAUUAGUUUUAGCCUGUUGCCUAUUACAUUGGGUUUGGUUAGAAACAACUCUUUUGUUUGGGUUUGUUUUGUGUUUUUGGUAAGUUGUCAAUCAAUUUGAUCAAAUACUUUCUAUUCUUAUGUUAGUAGAAGCGUGAAAUGCUGAAACGUUGAACUGAAUAGAAGGAGCAAAACAUGCAGUGGAUGUGAUGGUGAAACCCAACAAGAAGACAAACUAUGUUGUUCCAAAUCCAUCUGUAGUUAGAGUUGGUAAGCACAAUGUAGAAUAUAAGUUUGGUGUGGUUAAACCCAAAAUGUUGCGAUGUCGUCCAAAGCUGUUUAAAGAUGUCGUUUCAAAAUUUUCUGUUGAAAAAAAAGUUGCAGUAGAAGAAAUGGGUUUUGGGCUGUUGUUGAAGCUCCAGUGUGAGCAACUGCAGCUUGGUUUGUGUGGUUGGUUGAUUGAUAGGUUUGAUCCCAGCAAGUCUUCCAUUGAGGUACACGGUAAGAGAUUCAAUCUUGGUCCGACCGACUUUGAGAACAUAAUGGGGGUCAAAGAUGGGGGACAUGAUGUUGAAAUUCGUGGCUCAAAGGCUGAAAUACAAGAAUUAAAGAACAUCCACUUUGGGAGAAGCAGACAUCGAAUCUCUGGUAUGAGUAAAAUGGCUGAGAAGUUGAAAGAGAAGAAGAAUGUAGAUGACACCUUUAGAGUCAGGUUUGUUCUAUUUGCAUUGGCUACCUUGCUUUGUCCAAGUAUUUCAGGUGAUUUGACUGAAAAGUAUCUACAUCCACUAAGGGACAUCGAUGGUAUAAAAUUAAAAAAUUGGGCAACUUUUUCAUUCAAUUAUCUAGUUGAAGGUCUUGGUACAUUCAAGAAGAAAAACACAUCUUGUAUCAGCGGGUGUGUACUAUUCUUGAAGCUGUUUUAUUUUGAUCUUGUUGUUCAUGGAAGAACGUUUGUAAAUAGAUCAUUGACACCUAUUGUCGCAUGGGGGGAAAAGGAGGAAGUUAAGUUAGUGGAGUGGAUUGAAGAAAAUGGGGGGUUUAAUGGUUUGGACAUUGCUGUUGCUUAUGACCGUAUAUCCUCAAUCCCAAUCAGUGUUGAUGAAGAUGAGGUGGUGGCUGUGAGCAAUGAUCACACAGAGCUUGCAACAGUUGAACCACAGUCGCAACAAAAGGUACUAUUAGCACGACUACACUCAAUCAGUACUUUUUUCUUUAGUCUUUCAUAUGGUUUCUGCUUUCAAGUUUCCUUGAUCAAGCAAGUGUCAUUCAUGUGGAUAUAUAAUAUAUGUUGAACAUAUGCAUACCCUUUACAGUGUGCUGGACAUUGAAAUUACUAUGUCCCUAAUUUUUUUCCAAUCUUCUACUGUUUUUUAUGCAUUAAAUGUCAUCAUAAUAUACUGGAUUUUGUUAUGUUUGUUAAAUGAGUAUGUAAUCAUUCAAGCGCUCAUACAUCUUAAUUUUCUAACCCUUUCUCAAAUGUCUAUGCAUUUUCUUUUUAAGUUGUGCUGACAUGAUGUACUCAACUAGUAUUCAACUUACUGUUUGUAAUCAGAAUAUAAUCAGCUUUCUUUUGGUGUUAAUUGUUCUCUGGGUUCAAGUAUAGUAUAACAGUAUGCUUUCAGUAUCAUGCUUGAUAAUAAGAUGUGAGUUUAUCCAAAUUAAUGACAGGAUCCUUCUUGGCUUCUCCUAAUUAGAAGGAGCUAUUAUAUUGGGUUUCUUUAGGCCAUUAGGACUGUGUUGAAUAUGAAAAGAAACAUUGAUUAACAACUGCAGUAAGCUGUCAUAAUUAAUUAAUAAUACCUAAUUAUGAACAAUAAAUCUUUUUUUGUUCCUUGGUGUUUGAGUCAUGAAGUUCUGAUUUUUUUAUUUAGUAUCAGACUAUACUAGUGGAUACUAUGAUGUCCUAAUUGUCAUUAUUAUUUUUUGGUUAUGCCAUGUAGACAAAUGGCAUUACCCUUGUUUACAAGUGUAGAGCCUCCGCUAGAUUUGAGAACAGUGUGGUGACCCUAAGGAAUGAUCUUGCAACUUUACACACAAAGGUUAUCAAAUGUGAACAAGCACUACGACAGAAGUUCUAACAUUGCUUCAGUUUGCUGUUUCUUUCUAUCGUUCUUUCUUUCUUUCUUUCUAUAGUACACAAGGCGCCCACCAUAUAAGUUUCGUUGAAACACCUGUAAGAAACUACUAAAGCAAUACAACGACAGCAGUAAAACAAGAAUAGAAAAAUAAACUAACAAGUCCCUUCGGAUAUAUUUUUAGUGAAAGUUUGUUGGGUUUUCUGAUGUAAAUUGAAUGAUUUGGAAUACAUGAUUCGUGAUUUUAUGGCUUCCCUAAAGUAUCUAUAUGGCUUCCGCUACUUUUGGUGUGGCAUAUACACUUUAACACAUUGUCUCAGCUAGAAGUAAUUUAUUAUGUCAUUACUUGAGGGUUCUGGAGGUUUUGUUUUCGACUUCUCGCAAUGUAUCGUUACCUCUUUUUUGUUUCUUUUUUUAUUUUUGCUUCUGUUAGGUCUCUAUGGAUUUGGGAUUGGUCAUGGAAUUGGAUUUGUUCAUAUUAUUUUUAAAAUAAAUGUAAAAUUUCUUAAUAUGAAUGUGCAUUCGUUUAACAAUUCCACCAUACAAUCAUAAACACUUGCACAUGUAUCUUUGUUUGGUCUGCUUUGUUGAUGAACAUGUUAUCAAUUUUUAUACUUUGGGUUAAUAUUAUGAUCAUGUUAAUACUCUGAAUCCAUGAUUUUCUUUUUUGUAGGCAUGUUGAGUUAUAUUCUGUUAUAUUAACUCACUCAUGUUUGUUUGUCAUGUCAUGUAGACGAUUGAUGAUAAGGCAGCAGCUGAACUGGAAGCUAAACUUGGCAGUGAGAUGAGCAAGAUUGAAGGCCUUACUUAUUGGCAGGUCUUUCAAGCCACUAACAUUUUAACCACCAAUUAUGAUCUGCUAAAAUUAUUUCUUCUCAUGUCUGAGCAAAGCAAAAAGACAUUUGUUCUAAAUUUGUUAGAGCAUGGCACCCAUGGAUUAUGAGUUAAUUAUGAGCUAUAUAUAUAAAUAUUAGCAAUCUGACUAUUAGUUAGACUUAUGAUCUUUACUGGGAGUCAGCUUCACAAGUUUCUAACUUAAUUUACCAAUUAAAGAGCAUCAAGAACACAUCCCUAAACUCUGGUCAUGGAUCAAUAGCUUUAUUGAUUUUCGGUAAGCACUUGAUGCUCUUUGAAUUCUUACAGUGACUGUAAUCGGAUCAUGCUCUUGGCAUUGCAUUUCACCAAUUAGGCAAUUGAUGCUUGCAACUUACAACUUUGCAAGUCUAAAAAAGACUUGAGCUCUCUUACUUUGUUUCCAAAGUAAAUGUAAGGGAUUUUAGUCACAUCAUCCUCGCGGUUGUUUUCAUAAGAUUUGAGUCACAUUAUAUAUAAACAUGGAAAAUAUAGGAAAUCACAAAUUUAGUCGCAUCUAACUUCUUGCAGUUUUUUUUUUCCUAUCAAUUAGAUAGUUUUUUUUUUUUUUUUUUUUUUUUCGGAUAGCUAGAAUCACAAAUUUUGACUUGAGAAACCAUGGUGAGGUUGAAAGGACUUCAACACCAAUGCCAUCAUCGUUGCACUUGAAGCCAAUGUGGAAGUCAUUUGGGACUCGGAUGUGUCUCUCAUAACAAAUUACUUCACUUGUUGUAAUGCUGAAAUUUCGAGUCAUCUUUGUAAGUUGUAACCUAUGUACCCAUGGCUUUGAGCAAACUAUACUUUUCCUGUGAUAGAUUAUAUGGUAAUGUUUAAUUCCUUCAAAGUUGAUAUGAAUAUAAUCUAAGCGAUGCAGGGAUCUGCAGCAAGCGGGAGAAUCACCAAAGCGCAUAAGGUAACAAUGAUUACAGACUAUCAUUUGAGAAAGUAAAUGUCCUCAGACUGCUAAAUUUUUUCCUUCUGCCCCUAUGUGGAGGAGUCCUUUCUCAUAUGGAAUUUUCCGAGUUCAUAUGGGAUUUCCCUUUCAAUCUCUAAACAUGCCCUCACGGUUGAAGUAGACAAAGAGACAUUUAACGCACUCAAAAAUUGAAUACAUAUACAAAAAGAGAUAACAUUUUAUUCCAGAGCAACAUGAUAUUUCUAAUCGGCUAAUCCUAACAUCAUGAUUGAGCACUUGUAGAAUCAUCAACAGGAUGGUAGUAUCUGUUGAAAAACCACAUAGAGUCGGCUUCCACUGCAUACCCAUCUUGGUUACGGUGCCAACUGUAGUAAGCAUGGGUUCUGUUCUUGAUGCCAAAUGUGGCAUGACCGAAACUAGCCUCUCUAAAAGCCGAGUAUGCUGGCUGUGGUUCUGUCAUACUGCACCAAAAAACAGAACAAUGUAGAUACCAUAGUUGAAACACUGAAUCAGGAAAAAAUAAAAACCAAAUGUAUCAUGCAUACUGUAUACUUACUUGGUAGCUAAGCCUUCAAUAUUUCCUCCAUCACCAAUGGUGAUGUACACAGGUGCAGACUGAUCUUUCACGGGGACACAAAUACCGUUCACAAUGUUAUAUGCAAUGUUGGAAAUACGCUCCUGUGGUAUAUCCAAAUCAACUUAUCAGACGGUGUCAUGAUUCUUGUGCAUUAAUGGAGAAUGGUAAACGGAAAAGCAUAUGCAGGACAUGUUUAUUAAGAAUUUGACAAAGAGUACUUUUCCUUGAAAGGGUUUCCUGUAAAUUAUCAAAAACUAAAAUGCUUGAUAAUUAGGAAGAGUUGGAUUUCAAAACCUUGCUGAUUACCAACAUAUUUUACAGAUAGCAUUCACCAUCAGAAACAACUCAAACUAUGAGAUUAAAAUAGAUGACGAGUACUUACAGUUCGUUCAUAAGCAUGGACAUGACCAGCAAAUACCACGUCAACUUUGUACUUCACAAACCAAGCCUCAUACAUCACUCUCAUGGUCUCUCCUUCCAUGUAGUGGUAAUUGUAGCUAUUAUACCAUGGGGAGUGUAGUAAAACAAUCAGCCAUGGGGUCUCAGUCCUGUUAACUUUUGGUAGCUCCUCCUCCAGCCAUGAGUACUGAGGAGUGUAUUUACCUAAGGAUAUAUGGAAAUGAUGUGUCAAAUGUAAUUUUUAAGCAAGGGGCAUACAACUGUAUUGAGGAUCUUUCUUACAAGUUGAUUAAAAAUUUAUCGACACAAUAAAGUUAUACUGUGUUUAGCUGACUAUUUAAAUGAUACAAUGGUCAUCAGGAAAUAUCACCGCUAGAUAUCAGUUUAGCAAUCAGUACAAAUGUUUAAGAAAACCAAAAGUUGAAACAUGUCAUUAAGAGAGAACUAAGAACAGUUAUGCCCAGAAACGCUAUGUCAAAUGCCAUGAUAACAACAGGUUAACAAUUUGAGCUUGAUGAGGAAUAUAAGAGAAAGAGAGAAAGAUUUAACAAAUCGAAGGCAUAUCUAGUUGCGUUUGCUAGUUUGUUUGCAAUUGACAAUUCGGAUAAGGAUAUUCCAAAUUUCAUAUUCAAGAUUAGACAUUGAGGAGCAUUUGCUGCAUAUUGGAGACAAGCCUUGGUAUCGGUCAAGUAAAAACAACAAGCUUAUAAUCUGCUACAUUUCCUUACCAUAUGCUGAAUAUGAAGAUAAGACAAUAAUGUGUGCCGAAGCUCUCUUGAUAGAGUACCAAAAAGGGGCAGUACUCCCUGAUGCCUUAAAUGGGGUACGAUACCGGUUAGUGAAAGGCUUCCAUGGUUUAGUUUCACCCUGCAAAAAUAUUAACAAUAUUAAAAAUAAUCUCUUAGAAAAAUAAUUCAUAGAAUAAUAUUUCCGGAAUUAGAAAAUGAAUUCACACAUCAGCACAUUCUGGGUAAAUAAUUAGAACAUGGAAGACUAGAGCUCUACCUAAAGUUACAAAACUUGAACAUAAUUGAGGAAGAUGCUUAUUCUAAGCUAAUUUGCUAUAAUAGGUUAUAGUAGAGAACCUCAUAUCACUCUUUUGGUUGCUGCAUGUGAGGAUCAUUCUUAUAGGUGGGAUUCAGAAUUUAGCGCACACAUUAUACACACAACAUUUUGGUUAAAUGAAGACAAGAAAGAGGAUAUCAUCUGUAAUAAUUGUAAUAUAAGUCCCCGGGAAAACAUCAGGUUACCUUUUGAUUAAAAAUUGAAGGCUUCAGUGACAAAAGCAAGGGAGCUAGAAUUUAAUGGAAGAGGGAACAUGUAUUAUUUUAAACAAAUGAUCUUGUCUAUAACAAAAUAUCAUAAAUUAAGGUAAUAAGAUUAAUUUCAAAGUAGCCUAAUGUCUUAUCAGAUGCUUACAAUUUUUGGUUCAAAAUCAAGUUCAUGAUUCCCUGCAGUCCAUAUCCAAGGUUGAUAAGCAGUAAUUCUCUCCACAAAUCUUCCCCACGAAUCCCAUCUGUUAUUAUCAUGCUUGGGAUAGUGAUCAGCAUAAGAGAGGUCACCAAGAAACAAUAAUGCUUGUCCUUUUUGUGGGUUUAAUUCAUAAUGAGUGACUGUCUUAUUUGAAUCAAAUGUCUGGCCCAGAUCCCCUGCAAAAAUUGGCAAGAGAUAUUCAGAAUUGUAAGAAUUUACAUUGCAGAUAAAUAGAUAAUGGAGUAAACGUAAUUCUCAAAAAAUGGCCGAGAAGCAGACUGCUAGCAUCCCAAUAAUGUGAUUAUACAUCCUACUUGAUGAAGUGGAAGAGUCUCAUUGCAAUAACCUUUUAACUACAGAACAAGUUACCCAUCAAUUUACAAUCUAUCAUGUUUCAUAGAAAAUAGUUACCUAUUAGACCAAAAGUGUAAGGAACAUCUGGCCCAACUGGCGGAGGAGUUACAAACCAGAACUUCCGCGUUGUGUGUCCAAUUCCAACCUCAUAGUAAUAUUUGGUAUUGUACUGUAAACACACACAGAUGAUUCAAUCGUAAUAUAAUUCAAACACUUGAACUGCAUUUUAUCAUUUGAUCAGCAAAUCCUAGAACAUGGUUUGGUGCAUCUCAUACUGAUAGCACAAGAAAAAAAAAAAAAAAAAAAACCCCGAAACAUGAAAGCAUGUCAAAUAUACCUUUAAAUUUCUGAUUGUUACAUGAUGAAUGUAAGGAGAGCUGUAAUCUGAGUACUUAUAGGUGUUAAAUUUCCCCACAGCUAUCUUUUUCUUGCUCUUUGCGCUCCAAUAAAUCACUUUGCUGGAACCUGGUUCGUCCACAGUCACCCAUGAUACAAUCACUGCCUUCCCCAGCUGGUCUCCUUGUGUAAUAUGAACCUAUAAUCAAAUACACACACAAAUCAUACACCAGUGCAAAACUAACCACUAAAAAUUCAGAAUCACACCUACUAAUCCAUAAAAAAAGGCCAUAACUUUAGAAACAAAAUAUAUACUUAUAUGUCAUAUAAAGGUGCAAUUUAAUAAUGGGUUGGAAUGAUUCAGCUUUCAAAAUCAAAAAGCACGUAUAAAUUAAGUUAUAGCAGAACAAGGAAAAUCUACCAUUGAUGGACUAAAAGCAAUCAUAAGUUUAAGCCAUUAGUAAGAGAGAGGGACUAUACUUGUUGGGGAGCAUUAUAGCCAUGAGGCGCUUUGAAGACAUCGCUGUCAAAGGGCAUAUCCACAGAUUUCUCCACUUUCCUCACAAAAGUGCUGGUCUUUCCUCCAUUACAGACCACCCCCAAAUUCAAAACUAAACCCAACGCCAGAAAAACAGCUAGCAUUGAAGAGACGGAAGCAGAAGCCAAACCCAUUUUGGUGAGACUAUGCAGAGAGGACUAAGGGUUUAUAUAUUAGUUGAAGACUAAUGAGUAAAGGGUUUUUAACUACAAAUGCGGGGAAUAUUCAUAACUCCUAUCAGCAUAUAAACAUGUCAACGAUUUCAAAAGAUAUACACAGCUAAUCGGUUUUGCUCACUGAAUUUAUAUAAGGAAACGAAUUAAGUUGUAAAUGAGAAAUAGGAGUCUUCAGCGAAAUUUCCUCGUGAAAGGGGCAAUGUGUACAUAGGGAGAGUGAGAGAAACCCAAUAAUUUGACUUGGAAAAAGAGGAUAACGACCUGAGAAUCUAGUCUUAGGCACACUUUCAUGAUGAUAAGGAAUCUUUGGAUUAAUCUUUCACAUAAUUUCAAUUUAUUUUCGUUUCCUACCUAUCUGGUUGUUUACUGUUUUCUAUCAACAACUCAAGACCUUUUCUUUUCUUUUUUUCGGGGGUGUAUGGUUUACCCUUAUACGAAGAUUGAUUCCGGACCAAACAGAAGGAGAUGUUUCAUAGGAAUCAAAUUGACAUUGUUUUAUUGAGGGGGGGGAUCAAAUUGACAUUGUUGAUGAAUGAUGAAGAUAGAUAACUAAGAAAUUCUGAGUGAGACUUGUCAAAAAAAANNNNNNNNNNNNNNNNNNNNUACUCUCUCUCUCUCUCUCUCUCUCUCUCUCUCUCUCUCUCUCUCUCUCUCUCUCUCUCUCUCUCUCUCUCUCUCUCUCAUCCCUACCGAAGUCUAGCCCGUUUCAGGUCUGGACGACGAGCUCGUGAACCGAUCGUCAGCCACGACGUGGUUUUGCUUGUUGUUCCCAUACUGUCGUUCGUCGUCAAUCCACAUCCAUGUCGUUCUUUGUCGAUCCUCAUCUCCGCCAAGUCCAUCGUCGUCGAUCCUCGUCUCCGCCAAGUCCAUCGUCGUCAAUCCUCGUCUCUGCGUCGAGUCCAUCAUCGUCAAGACCUCCCACCGAAUGUCGUCGUCUAUGUAGAGGCAAUUAAUCUCCCUUUGAUCUUCUCUCUCAGUUCCUAAGGUAUUAAUUAAGUUUUUAUACCAUUAAAAAGUGAAAAUAUAGAAGUCCAAUCUCUAGAUUGUUGUAGUUGUCAAACUAGAUGGACAUAGUUCAGGUGGACAUUGACAUGAUUGUGCUUCGAUUUGUGAUGGUGCUUCAAAUCUGGCCCUAUACAUUAUUUGGGGAUGUUAUGGUGAUAUUUCAUCUUUAUUUCCUUCUAUUUAAGUUUUUAUUAACCUCAGUAGAAGUUUAUUGCCCCCAAUAAAAUCUCAGUAGAAGUUUACUGCUCUCUCAGUAAAAGUUUACUGCCCCCAGUAAAACAUUUUUCAUCAUUACUGCCCCCCAGUAAAAUCUCACUAGAAGAUUAUUGCCCCCCAAUAGAAGUUUACUGCCUCCCAGUAAAAUUUCAAUAGAAGUUUACUGCUCUCUCAGUAUAAAUUUAUUGCCCCCCAGAAAAACAUUUUUCAUCAUUACUGCCCUUUAAUUAAACUUUAGCGAUGGUGCGGUAUACUUUCAGCAAGGUCCAGUGACAUUUUUAAAUAAAUCUGGCGAGAUUUCUGACGACUGGCGAGAUUCCGGUGGCAUUUAAAAAAGGAUCCGGCGAGAUUCUGGCGACCGGCAAGAUUGCGAUCACCGGUGACUGGAGUCCGGUAAGGUUCCGGUCAAAUCUUCUUUCUCUUCCAUUUUCUCUCUCUACUCAUGUUUAAGUGGUGAGGGCAAAAUAGUCCUAAAAUAAUAUUGUUUGGUAAGACUUAAGUAAAACUUUGUUCAUUUAGGCACAAAAAAAGCUAUCUUAUAUUCAAAUAGGCUCAUAAAAAAGAUUGUCAUUGGAAUAUGCAAUGAAAGACUAAAAUUAGUACUAAAUGAGUAUUUCUCCAACAAUAAAAGUCUCACUCAGGACCAUAAAUUUCUAUUAAUGCAACAGAAUUAAGUUCGAAAUCGUAAAAUUACGGCAUAACUUAAAAAGAAAAAAGAGAAAAUAUAACGGACAACUAUGUUUCAAUUGCAUGAGCAUGGUUCAUACAAAAUUGAUUUUCAAUUAUUGUCACAGUACUUUUACUGUUGAAAGUUGAAACAUAUAAGUUUGCUUUUUACCCCAACUUUCCUUGUACCCUAGUCUUGUGAUUGCAUAUGUGCAAUUGAAUAUUCAUUGUACAAGUCUUCAUCUAAACAUAACCUUUUUUUUUAACUUGAGAUGUUGGAGAAAACUAAUGUACGUAACUAACCUCAUACACUUCAACAUUAAUGUACGUAUCUGAAAAUGCGGGAAUAUUCAUAGCUUCUUAGAGCAUAUGCACAUUAACACUUCAACAUUAACCUUAAACCAUUCAUGGCCGUCUUGGGUUGCUAAACGAUGACCUACUGUAUAUUUGCUACACGAGAGUCAUACACUACCUUGAAGUUUCUGAGUAACUCGUGCUUUUUACUCACAUGAGACUCAAAUUGUGUUUGUUUCUGCUCUGGAUUUUAAGGAAUAACAUUACAACUUGUAAUCACUAAAUGAAAAUACAAUUUCAAAAAAUAAAAAAAUAAUAAUAAUAAAUUCAUUGUGUAAUUUGCAUUAGGCGUUAGCUACUUGAUUCAGAGUGGAAGAAGUGAUUUAAAGAUAUUUGUAGUAUAGCAACCUCGCAUGAAGUGCAGAUGGGUAAAAAACUAAAAACAAACCGAAAAAUAGAGAAUUUAUAAGUUCAAUAGUUUUUCAAUCGAGAUUCAGAUCUAGAUACUAUUUUCAGUAUAUUUACACAUUUAACUACUUUAUCGACUUUCCACUCCAAAUUUAGGACUAUGAAUGACAAUUUCAACCGUUUCCCUACAAAUCUUCACUUAGGACCAUGGAUUUCUAUUAAGAUUCUUAUCUAGGGAAAAACCCCACCUAAAAUUUUUUCAAAUUGCAAAGAAAAAAAUACAACACAACUAAAAUUGAAUUGCAUGAGUAAGGUUCAUACAAAAUUGCUUUUUUUAUUAUUGUCACACUACUUUUAUUGUUGAAACAUAUAAGUUUGCUUUUUACCACAACUUUCCUUGUACCCUAGUCGUGUGAUUGCAUAUAUACAAUUGAAAAAUCAUUGUACAAGUCUUCAUCGAAACAUAAUCUUUUUCUUUUAAGUUUUAAAUAGAAAUGUGAGAAAAUCAAUAUAGUUAACAUUAUAUUAGUAGUUAGAAAUAAUAAUGUAACGAGGUAAUAAUAAAUUUUUAUCUGAUGCAGAAAAAUUCUUAGCUGGUUCAGCCAUAUACAAUUAUACAUAUUAGGGUAAAAACCUAAAAUGGUACUUGAAGUAUUGCGAAAGGUAUUUUUUGGUACUGCAAAUUUUUAUUACCUGAAAUUGUACCUCAACUAUUGCACCGUUACCAGAUAAGUAGAUAUGGUGUCUCCGUUAGUUUUUCCGUUAAAUUGAUGACGUAACAUGUAUUUAGAGGGGCAAAAUAGUCUAUAUACAAUGUUUCCCCUUUAAAUUGAUAGAUUUUUUCUCAAAAUUCUUACCAUUUUUUAUUUUAUCUCCAAAAUUCUUCNNNNNNNNNNNNNNNNNNNNNNNNNNNNNNNNNNNNNNNNNNNNNNNNNNNNNNNNNNNNNNNNNNNNNNNNNNNNNNNNNNNNNNNNNNNNNNNNNNNNNNNNNNNNNNNNNNNNNNNNNNNNNNNNNNNNNNNNNNNNNNNNNNNNNNNNNNNNNNNNNNNNNNNNNNNNNNNNNNNNNNNNNNNNNNNNNNNNNNNNNNNNNNNNNNNNNNNNNNNNNNNNNNNNNNNNNNNNNNNNNNNNNNNNNGAGAGAGAGAGAGAGGAAAGUGAAGGAUUCGUGUGAGAAGAAAGGAUCUGUAGGGAUUGAGGGUAUUUUAGGAACAUCAUAAAAGUAAAAUAACAGGUUUAGACUUAAAAGUGGACUUAUAUGGGUAAAAAUAUUAAGAUGGACUUAUGUUACAAAAAAUGUUGAGAAAGUGACUUUAAUGAAAUUUUCUAAUAAAUGAAGCAGUGUGUAUAAAUAACGUAGAAAAAACUGAAUUUUUUGAUCAACUUGGGAAACCACAAAAAUGACAUGAGAAUCUAAUCAUGGGGAUAAGAAUUUUUGUUAUAUUUACCAAAUUCAUUUUGUACUUGACAACUGUGUACAAUUUCUAUUAAGCAUGCCAAUAACUUUUUUUCUUUGUUUCUUUUUCGCUUCUUUUCACGUUAAAUCAAGUUUGAUAGGAAUUGACAUCGUUAAUGACGAUAAAUAACUAACAAAUUUUGAGUGCGAUUUUGCAGCCCCCAUUUACACAAAAACUGAUGGUCGGAGUUCCAGUUCACUACUAGUGGAAGAGAUUUUGAUUCACUUCAUUCAUGCUAGCUACUUGAUGUAAGUCAAGGGAUUGUUCGAAUUUAUAUAUCUUUUAAUAUGAAAACUUCACAUGCAUCCAUCCACAAAAAGACAAUACAUGAUUAAAAAUUAAGGUGGAGUUCGGUAAUAUAUAUUUUGUUUUCAUUUUUGUGAUACCUUGGUGUGGCAGUGGCAAGUUUCUCAUCGACGUUGGGUCGAAGGCAGCGGUUUUGGUUCUCGAACGCAGUGUGAGGCCUGCAUCCCUUCCUCUUGAAGUCUUUGAACGCGGUGCAUGCUACACAAGAGUCAUGCACCCCUUCCCUUUUAAGUCUUUGAAUAGCCCCUGCUUUGUACUCGUAUGAGAGCAGUGGCGGAGCCAGCCACUGGCUUGCCCAGGUCAAUAUUUUCAGUUGGAAAAAUCAACUACUUCACAUUUAAAAAAAAAAAAAAAANAAAAAAAAAACAACAACAACAUGAGCACGUUGUAUAGCUACAUAUGCAUAUUAAUCCUUAUAUAUAUAUAUAUAUAUAUAUAUUUCUAUUCCAUAACUAUUGUUUUUUUGAAUACAUACUUGUAUCCUAACUUAUUAAUCCUUUCCUACACUACUAGAGAAAACCCAUUUUGUGAAUAUACAUAUAAUGUCCUUUGAUCCGGACUUAAUCUUCAUAUGUUAUAAUAUUUCAUGAGCAUUUUAUGUGGUAUGAUGAUAAAAUUCUAAAAUUAUUAUUUGAAAAAUUUAAGAAUAUCCAUUAUUAUAAACUAAUUGUACUAAUGGCUAUAUUGGGUAUUCAUUAACCCAUCGGAUAUGGAUUAGGAUUAAGCUAUUAAUGAUGCGGCAAGUAAUGAGUCAGGAUAUAAAUAAAAACUCUCUCUCUCUCNNNNNNNNNNNNNNNNNNNNNNNNNNNNNNNNNNNNNNNNNNNNNNNNNNNNNNNNNNNNNNNNNNNNNNNNNNNNNNNNNNNNNNNNNNNNNNNNNNNNNNNNNNNNNNNNNNNNNNNNNNNNNNNNNNNNNNNNNNNNNNNNNNNNNNNNNNNNNNNNNNNNNNNNNNNNNNNNNNNNNNNNNNNNNNNNNNNNNNNNNNNNNNNNNNNNNNNNNNNNNNNNNNNNNNNNNNNNNNNNNNNNNNNNNNNNNNNNNNNNNNNNNNNNNNNNNNNNNNNNNNNNNNNNNNNNNNNNNNNNNNNNNNNNNNNNNNNNNNNNNNNNNNNNNNNNNNNNNNNNNNNNNNNNNNNNNNNNNNNNNNNNNNNNNNNNNNNNNNNNNNNNNNNNNNNNNNNNNNNNNNNNNNNNNNNNNNNNNNNNNNNNNNNNNNNNNNNNNNNNNNNNNNNNNNNNNNNNNNNNNNNNNNNNNNNNNNNNNNNNNNNNNNNNNNNNNNNNNNNNNNNNNNNNNNNNNNNNNNNNNNNNNNNNNNNNNNNNNNNNNNNNNNNNNNNNNNNNNNNNNNNNNNNNNNNNNNNNNNNNNNNNNNNNNNNNNNNNNNNNNNNNNNNNNNNNNNNNNNNNNNNNNNNNNNNNNNNNNNNNNNNNNNNNNNNNNNNNNNNNNNNNNNNNNNNNNNNNNNNNNNNNNNNNNCUCUCUCUCUCUCGGGUUGAGCUGGGAGUUAGGAUUUUAGCAAGAAAAUUUAGAGUUGAACACAGAUCCUUAUGUAAGCUGAAAAAGGGGUAACAUCGUACUCAUUGGCGGACAGGUACACCGUUGGAUCUUUAGGCCUUAAGUUGAUGAAUAGGCAUUUAUUUAGUUUGUGUCUGCUUUUUAGUGUAAUUGUUUAUUCUUUGGACGUCGUUUUUUCCUUUUAAUUUUAGUCAUAAGAGAUUAAAGAGUUUUUCUCUUGAACUUGUAUCAGAGGUUGCUUCUGCCUGACCUGGCAAUAGAUGGUCGUUCGGUUUUAAUGCCAGUGAAAUAUAUCCAUCUCUUUCAAAAAAGAAAAAAAACACCAACUUGAUAUUUCACUUUUAGGAGCACUACUACAUACGUGAGCAACAGCCACACAUCCUUAGCCACAAAUGGAAUGAAGUGUGGAUAAUGGGGUCAUGGCAUUGCUGUUUAACGUGUUGGCGUUGGUAUCUCCCACCUACAAUGAACAAAAUGUGGCUGAUGAUUUUUUUAUAUUUGUUCAAGCAUAACUUUUCAUAGUACUGGGCCCAAGUUUGAUAUAAUAUUGCACAUUUACCUUCUCUUUUUUUUUUGUUUCCGGUUAUACCUUCUUUCUCUUUUUUUGGUUACAAAAAUAGUGGUCGGGUGGGACUACCACUCCGAGACCGGGAGCAACAUGGAUAUGACCCCUCCUCUUAAAGUGUUUUUCACUUACGGAAGAUCGAACCAGUGACCUCUUAUUACCAAAAGUAUCACUGUAACAUUCACCUAAUAAACAGAUCUAGCAUACUUACCACCAGACCAAAUCCCAUGGUUCCUUCUCUUUUUUUCGAUGGAAGAUUUCCCAUUUCUUUUCUUCAUGGGUGGGUGUUACUUAUUUUCUUUACAUUAUUAUAAUUGAUAAAUGAAUUUCCUAACCACAACUAAGCAAUUUUCUCAUCCACGGGUAAUGUCAUUGCGGAACUAGAAAAGAAAAGGCCAAAAAAGGGAGACGCUAACCCAAACCUAGGCUUCUUGGUGUCUCUGUUUGCUCUCAUCUGGAUGCACUGCGGUGCGCAUGCGUUUGGGCUUGCCGACGGGAUUGUGGUGUAGGGGAUCGGGGACUAGGGAUGGGAGGGAUUGCUUUGCGGGUUCAGUUUCUGGCUUUGACUCGACGGGAGUUGGGUGAUUCGAUCUGCUCGGAUCUCAUUGAAGACUGAAAUAUGUUUGGGUGUGGUUUUGCUUCAGAUCUCCCAGGAGGAGGCUACGGUGAAAGUGGUGUUUUGUCCCUCUGCGCGUACUCUCUUGGUUGCGGUUAGUGGAAUUGAGGGAUGUGAUUGACGGCGGUUGUUCGAAGGUGGGCAUUCUGAAAGCAUCCGCGCAACAAAUAUGGUACUAACAAUUAGUUUUUUUUUUUUUAAUCAAGCACUGAUGCAUGAUAAUAGCUAUAGUUUGUAUGACAAUCUCAGGGAAUUGAGGUGUAGCCCAGACCGUUGCAAAAUGUUCGUGCUUACCCAUGUCCGCGACUCUAAUAAACCACAGUAAGCUUAUUGUUGUGAAUCAAUGUAUUAAUAGUCUUUAAACUUUUGGUCAAUUGUUCAACAAGCUCCUUGUGUUUACGCAUGCAAUGAGAUAAUUGGUGUUUUUAAUUGUUAAUAAUGAGGGAGUUCAACAAGCUCACUAUUAUGUUAUGGAGCUUGAUCGUGGUUGUUGCCAGUUCCUACCUUUCUGGCUCUGGUAUAAAGUUAAAUUAGUUUCGUUCAAACUAAUAUUCAUAAAGGUUGCUAUACUUGCUUCAGUUGUAAGGAAAGGGGCAACAAAUGUGUGUACUUUAUGGAAAUGGUUAAAAAGUGAGCUUUAAGAAAAAUAUAUUUGUUUUGUCUAGUUGGAAUACUAAUUUUUCUGGAAUACUUGGUAUCUUCAAUUAGUUUCCAUAUCAGAUAAUCAAGAAUUUAGUCAAAGCUUUCUUCUUUCAUGAUGCAAGACCUUUCUUUCUGAUACUAGAAGAGAAUAGGCCCUUUGGAAGUUACUUUUCACUUGUUGUUGUAGUUCAGCUCUGUAUUUAUAUAUAUAGAACUUUUCUCAGGUGCGGACGCACCGUUUUACGGUGCGGAUUUUCAUCCGUUCGCCACCGUACGGCGCCGGUGAGGGCACGCCUCCACCCCAGCGGACUCCAGCAGCUUCCUCGACCACUUUCCAUCCCCGGUGAGUCCGCCGAAUUCCAGUUUUCCGGCCAGAUUGACUUUGUUUGAAGUUUUGGGUGAUCUGGCUAGAAAACUGGAAUUCGGUGGACUCGCCGGGGAUGGAAAGUGGUCGGGGAAACUGCUAGAGUCCACUGGGGUGGAGGCGCGCCCUCACGCGGCGCCGUAAGGUGGCAAACGGACGAAAAUCCGCACGUAAAACGGUGCGGACGUCCGUAGCAAAGACGGACUGUGUGUGUGUGUAUAUAUAUAUAUAUAUAUGUGUGGGUUUAAACUUUGAGGAAUUUCUUGGGUUUGAGCUCACAGUAGACUUAUGUGACUGUGAAGGAGGAAGCCAAUGAUAAACCCAAAAGUUCUGGUUUGUUUUUUUACUUUGCUUCUUGCUUAUAGAGUUAUAGUACUAUUAUUGCUAUAUCUUAUCAAUCUUGCACUUUAUGAUGGAAUUCAUUGUUCUGUGAUUGGGUUUUCAAGCUUGUGCUCUGUUUAGAUGGUGGAAAACUGAGGGGAAAGAAACAUAUUAACAAGUUAUGACUUUCAGUCUAAUCUUUGUUUAUUGCCUAUUUAGCUUAAACAUGUAGGCACUUCAAGGAUUAUACUUUAUAGGUAAUCAAUUCUUUCUGAAUUUGGAUUCUAUUAGAGGAAGCAAUUUUCAUAAAGUGGCCUUAUAAUUUAGUUGUAGAGAAUUCAAGCUUAUAAUUUGCAGAGGUAUUAAAGGGUUUCACUGUUUUGUACACUAAUGGUAGAUAAUAUACCUACAGGUUAAAUGGGGCUUCUGGUACUAUUGACUUGUGUGUCCACUUAUUAUGGUUGAUAUGUAUGCAGAAACAAGUAAAUGGAGGUGUAAGCCCAGAUCGUUGCACAAUGUUUGAGCUUACCCAUGUCAACAACUCGGGAAAACCUCAGGAUCCAAAAUCUAAACAAGCUAUUGUAAGCAUAGUUAUGAACUCUUAAAAGAUAAUGUUAAAGUUCUUAAAGUACUCAAUAUUUGAUACUGGUGGUAAUGUGUGAUGAUUGUGAUUAGUUAUACCGAUUGUUUGAUGUAGGCAUCAAUGAAGAGCAAGAUUGAAAAGAUGAAGUCUACCAAGAGGGCAUCUCAACUUCCGAAUGAUCUUAAUAAUUUUGAAAUUAAUGAUGUAUAUGCAAUUGUGCUUGGAAAAGAGAGGCGCGGAGCGAUACGAGGAUUUGGCAUUGGAGUUAGACCAGACCAAGUUCCUGGUGUACGAAUGAAGACUGGUUCUCUUCAACCAUCGGUGAGCUAUAUUCAACCUUCAUUUGAGCAGAUUAUGAAUGACUUGGAUAAUGUUUACAUACCUUAAUGCUGUGAAGAGUUGCACCACCAAGUUGCCACAGAUUGAGGCACUUCAUACUUGACCUUUUGAUUAGUAUAAGUUUGUUGUUUUGAACUUAAUCUAUGAUCUCUCUACUAUACUAGUGUGUAGCUACCUGAUCAUGGGAUAAGUGCAGAGGCUUUUAGCGCUUCAGACAUAUUUAGGUUUUUGUUGAUAUAUGUGAAGUCUGACUUAGCGUUGUAUAUUGUAGUGUUCAACUACAAUUUGUACUCCAUCAUAGUUUUUGUAUAUCAGUUGGCUAUUAGCUUUGGUUUUAUGUAAUACAAAUGUACUUAUUAAUGUUGGAUUCUAAUAUAUUAAGUCCAUUAAGUUCUUUACAUUUGAAAAGUCAUGGCUCUACUGGGAUGAUCUUAAAACAUUGAUCUGUUGAAUGUGCAAGGUAGCCACGAACCAUUUUGAUCUGUACAGUAGAAGUUGAUUCAAUUUGCAAUAAAUAAUCAAAUUCAGAUUAUUAAAAAAUUAGCUUGUUUAUUGUUUUUAAUUUAUAAAAAUGAAUUAUACAGAAAAAAAAAGAAAAAAAGAAAGAAAAUGGUCCAAAUACAGAAAAUGAGAUAUAACUAAAUACAAAUUCAUUUUGGACUGGUCCCACAUCAUGUUAAAAUCAAUAACAAAUCACAUAUACAUCUUCUAAAAAGAUUUGAAACACAAAUAAAUCAACUUGUGUUGUUAAACAAACAAGGACAAUUUUUAACAAUUAAGGACAAUCUUUUCUCUGUCAUGUGUCAUGAUUUAAUUUACCAAACUAACCCUACACUAAUUAAAUAUGUUUUUAGCCCUUUUGAGAUUUUUUUCAGUAAAUGGAAUACAUUAACAUGUUUUCAAUAACUUAGUAUAGUAGCAGUUAAUUCCAAUAGAAAUAGUAGCAGGGGUUAACAUUUCAGUAGUAGUUAAAAAAUGUAUUAACAGUAAGUUUUUAGUAGCUCAACUAGUGUAGUAGCAAUUAUUUCUAGUAAAUGCAGUAGCAACUAUUUUCAAUAAAUGCAGUAGCAGAUUUUCAGUGGCUCAUCUGGUAUAGUAGCAACUACUUCCAGUUAAUAUAGUAGCAAACUAUUUCCAGUAAACACAAUAGCAGGCUUUUAGUGGCUCAACUAAUAUAGUAGCAGGUUUUUAGUGGCUCAGCUAGUGUAGUAGCAGUUAUUUUUAUUUUCAAUAAUUGCAGUAGCAGCUAUUUUCAAUAAUUGCAGUAGCAUAUUUUCAGUGGCUCAUCUGGUAUAGUAGCAACUACUUCCAGUUAAUAUAGUAGCAAACUAUUUCUAGUAAACACAAUAGCAGGCUUUUAGUGGCUCAGCUAAUAUAGUACAACUAUUUUCAAAAAAUGCAGCAACAGGUUUUUUGUGGCUCAACUAAUGCAGUAGCAACUAUUUCCAUAAAUGCAAUAAAAAAGUAUUUCCAGUAGGGUAGUAGCAGGUUUUUAGUGACUCAGCUAAUGUAGCAGCAGUAGCAAUUUUCAAAAAAAUACAGGUUUUUAGAUGUUGUUGAUAUCACUGCUACUGUUACGGCUAGAAUUGCAUCAAUUACUGCUACUCCUCUUUACUUUCCAUUCUCAUUAAAUGUUCAUCCCCCAGAGCACAACACCACCAAAUUGCGGCCAUCAAUAGCACCAUAAAGCUAAAUCUAAAUCCUCGUUAUCCAUAACAAACUAAUUUCUAACUGACCAACAAUGCCCAACACUACCAACUAUGCUGGAAUUAAAUUUGCAAGAUUGAAUUACAGUAGUAAUUAAACAAAAAAAGAAAGGCAUCCUCAUCUUCCUCUUUCAGAUCUUCUUCCUCUCUUUGUUUCAAAUCCUCUAGCAUCGAAUCGGGCCCGAUUUCGCAUGCUUGAAUUGAAUUUAUCUCCCCUAAAGUAAAAUCCACGUCCAUCUCUCUUCUGUCCUAUAUCCCGCUGCCUUGAUCCAUCCCCAGACUGCUCCGCCUCCCUCUCUUCCACCUCCGCCGCGCUAGCGCUCAAGCCCAAUUGUAUCCGAGGGGUCCGUUAUCUCAGCGACGAGGUGAAUGACCAUUUGGUUGUUUUCCGGGUUCUCUGGUGAGAAGCUUGGCCGGGGCAAAGUCCCGUCGGGGGUUAGAGAGAGAGAGAGAGAGAGAGAGAGAGAGAGAGAGAGAGAGAGAGAGAGAGAGAGAGAGAGAGAGAGAGAGAGAGAGAGAGAGAGAGAGAGAGAGAGAGAGAGAGAGNNNNNNNNNNNNNNNNNNNNNNNNNNNNNNNNNNNNNNNNNNNNNNNNNNNNNNNNNNNNNNNNNNNNNNNNNNNNNNNNNNNNNNNNNNNNNNNNNNNNNNNNNNNNNNNNNNNNNNNNNNNNNNNNNNNNNNNNNNNNNNNNNNNNNNNNNNNNNNNNNNNNNNNNNNNNNNNNNNNNNNNNNNNNNNNNNNNNNNNNNNNNNNNNNNNNNNNNNNNNNNNNNNNNNNNNNNNNNNNNNNNNNNNNNNNNNNNNNNNNNNNNNNNNNNNNNNNNNNNNNNNNNNNNNNNNNNNNNNNNNNNNNNNNNNNNNNNNNNNNNNNNNNNNNNNNNNNNNNNNNNNNNNNNNNNNNNNNNNNNNNNNNNNNNNNNNNNNNNNNNNNNNNNNNNNNNNNNNNNNNNNNNNNNNGAGAGAGAGAGAGGAAAUAUGAAUGAUCGGAGAAAGAGAAAGAAGAUAUUUGUGGUUAGGGUAUUUUUGGUUGAGGUAGUGGCAGUUUUGCAGAUAUUUCAGAAAAGAUUGAGUUUUUAGGUAUUUUGCGUAAAAAUUGCUGACAUGGCAUAUUAUUAUACACUGUGAGCCUGAGCUUAUGUCCUUAUUUGUUUAAAUCUGUUAAAAUGUGGUUUUUCUGUGUUUUACAACUGUCUAUGAUGGUGAGAUGUCAUUUUCUAAUCAAUCAAAUCUCUGGCCUCAAUCCAUAUAUAUGUGGCUUUUCUUUGAUUGCCACAUUGCUAGAGGGCACACACCCAAAAUAUGUGGGUGCAAUGUAGCAAAUUAGCUUGCCCACACACACACAUAUGUGGCUUUCUAGGCCAAUUUGCCCACAUUAGAUGUAUGUGGGUGUUGGGCUAUAUUGUUGUGAUGGAGCUUCCAUUCAUAUCUCCAAUAUUGGCACCUGGACCUUUUUUUUUUUUUUUGCAAAUGUUUCUUAACCUUGUCAACUCAAGAGGCAUGGCAUGGAGGUAAACCUGAUGUUGAUCACUUUAAAAUUUUCGGUUGUAUUGCUUAUGCUCACAUUUCAUAUCAGAAAAGAAAGGAGCUUGAUGACAAGGGUGAGAAUUGCAUUUCUUGGAGUGAGUGAGCAGUCCAAAGCCUGCAAGUUGUAUAAUUUGGUCACUAAAAUUGUGAUCAGUCGGGAUGUGGUAUUUGAUGAAGAAAAGAUAUGGAAGUGGAGUGAUAAUGGUUCAUUGCCGCAGAAAAUUCCUAUGGCCCUAGAUGAAAUUCAGCAGCCUCAUUCACCGCGGUAACAUUCACAGCAGCCUUAAUUACCAAUUGUGCAAAGUGAAGCUCUGACAUCAAACCCUCCUAAUCCUCGUUCAAGAAAAAGACCAGUUGGAUGAUUGACUAUGAAAGUGGAGGUGAAUUUUCUUCUAGUUCUGAUGAUCAACUUGCGCAUUUGAUUUUAUCCACAAACUGUGAUUCUCUAACUUUUGAGGAUGCAGUGAAGGAGAAGAAGUGGAAGGAUGCUAGGGAUGCAGAGAUAAGGGCAAUACAGAAUAAUGGUACUUGGGAGCUUACUGAUCUUCUAAAAGGGCAGAAAUCUAUAAGAGUGAAAUGGGUGUUUAAGCGAAAAUUAUACAGCGCACCCGGGUGCGCCGCGCACCCGUCCAUCUCCGCCGUUCAUUUUGAAAAAGUCAAAAGUCCGCGUCAAAUGGACGGCGGAGAUGGACGGUUGCGNNNNNNNNNNNNNNNNNNNNNNNNNNNNNNNNNNNNNNNNNNNNNNNNNNNNNNNNNNNNNNNNNNNNNNNNNNNNNNNNNNNNNNNNNNNNNNNNNNNNNNNNNNNNNNNNNNNNNNNNNNNNNNNNNNNNNNNNNNNNNNNNNNNNNNNNNNNNNNNNNNNNNNNNNNNNNNNNNNNNNNNNNNNNNNNNNNNNNNNNNNNNNNNNNNNNNNNNNNNNNNNNNNNNNNNNNNNNNNNNNNNNNNNNNNNNNNNNNNNNNNNNNNNNNNNNNNNNNNNNNNNNNNNAUGGACGGUUGCGUGAGCGCACCCGGGUGCGCUGAAUACGCUCUCGUGUUUAAGACCAAGUUGAAUGCAAAGAAAGAAGUGGAGAAACACAAACCUCGUUUAGUUGCAAAAGGAUACAAGCAACUGCCCUUCUCUCAGCCUAGCAAAUUUAAGACCAAAUUUAAGGCUUGAUAUAAUGUCUGUAGUAAGUGUUAUUAGCAGGCUUAUUGAGCAUUCAAUUGAGCAACAUGUUCUUGUUGCCAAAAGGGUCUUGCGCUACUUGAAAUGUACAACUGACUUUGGUGUUUUCUAUAAUAAGGGAGAGAAGUCAGAUUUUAUGGGGUUUACUAAUAGUGAUUAUGCUAGAGAUGUGAGGCCAUCUCCAGUAGAAGAGGGCUAUAUUGGGGCCAAAGCUAUAAUUUAGCCCUCAAAAAUAUUAUUUUUUAUUUAGACUUCUAAAUGAUCUCCAAUAAAAGAGGGCCAUUAGCUCUUUUAAAUAUUUUAUAAUUUCACAUUAUACUUUUCAAUAUUUUCCACUUUAAAUACGAAUAUAUUGUCACAUUGUAUCACAUACGAGUAGAUACCGUAUAAUUUCUCACUUAUAGAUUUAUUUUAUUAUAACAUUAUUUGAAUUUGGACCAAAACUAAUAUUUAAAUUAACUUUUGAGACAAAAAAAUUUGCAUAUGUUGUGAUUAUAUUAAUAAAAUAAGAUAUCAGGCAUAUGAAUUUUGAGUUUAGAGAAUUUACCGGUUGUAAUAAGAUGAAAAUGAAAUAAUUCAAUAGAAAGUUGACAAUUGUCAUAAUUUGGUACAACCCACAUACAUACUUUUAGUUUUUUAAUUUGAUUUGGGACCACAAUUUGGUUUGGCUUGAGCUAGCCAAAGAGCUAUGUUUGACCCUUUUGAUAGCCCUUUAGCCCUUUUAUGACCCUUUGGCCCUCUUCUGAGUUCUUGUUGGAGAUCAAAAUAAUGCUAAAAUUUAGGAUUUGGCUCUAUAGCGUCUAGAGGCGGACUUCGGCCUCACAGGGUCCGAACCCUCGGCUUUUCUGCAGAUACAUAUAUGUAUGGGUAUUUUAUUAACUAAACUGAUGACAUAUGUAUGUUUAUUGCUGUUGAACCCCCUAAAGACCAAGUCCAAGUAAUGUUCAGAGAGUUUACACCCCCUCCUACUCAUGCAUUACGCACGCGAUCAUCAUAUAUUAUGAAUAAACAACAAAUCAUAUUCAAUUUACAACUAAAAUAAUAAUUAGUAAUAAUUCCUCACAAUCAUUAGCAUUUGUAGCUUUUCAGUUUUCACGGCUUCGUCCCUAUAUCGGGAUUUACGAUACUACUUAGGCUACUUCGUGACAUAUUAUUUGUUUUUAUUAAUUUGUAGCAAGCGAGAAAUACAUAUUGUUUAUGUUUUGAUUUAUGUUUGAGUACUCAUUACUUAUAUGAAUUUUGUUUUUAUUGACCGUUGGUUUAUAUUAUUGCAUUUUCAUCUUAUAUUGUGGUAAUCCGUUGUAUGAUCAAUAUUUUAUAUACGGAUCCCUCCUAAGUUUAAAUCCUAGCUCCGCGCCUGAUAGCGUCUAUUACUAGAGAUGACCCGAAUGAUAGAAAAAGACUGAACAAAGACAUUUAUUAAGACUGUACAUUUAUCAUUUAUUAACAUUUACGUUUAUCAUUGAUUAACAUUUAUUUAGUUUUAGAAGAAGGGCGCCCAAGAAGCUCGGAAGUAGCCUCAUCACCCUUCUUCUAUCAUUUAUUAAUAUUUAUUUAGUUUUAAGCUCAGCCUUAAAUUUUUCAUCAGUCAUUAAUCUAUGAAGUUGCUAAGAAAUUUGAGCACACACUUCAUUGGUUACUUCCACGCAAGAAACCCUGUUAAUAUAUCGUCUGCAUGGCCACAACUUGAAACACUACACUAUGCAAGUAUGCAUAGCCCAACUGUUAAUGACCUCAUCAUACUCACAAAAUGCAAAAAGAUGAUUGAUUCUGGUAGAAACUUGAACCUAUUCCUAAAUCAUAAGUACCUCAUUAUAGAAAAACAACCGUACCGGUAAAGGUUUAUUGUUGUUGAGUAAAACCGCAUAAUGUUACUCCUAACAAAACAUGUUGUACAUGAAAACCUAAUUCGAUCGUCAUUCUAAAUUGUAAUUUUCAUCGAUUACCAAUUUGUGUUUGGUAUGCAUAUGGAUAUCAUCCAUCGUACAGUAUUCACAAGCUUCAUUAUAAAUAGACUUCUUCUUUUUUUUAUUUGUUCUUCUUGCGGAAACCAGAAGGAAAAAAAAACAAAAACAGUCUCCAUCGCCAAAAAAAAAAAACAACAAAAAACAAAUCGCCGACCCAAUCAGAAGUUCAGAACAAACAAACAGAAGCAUCAUCCCAACUACCAUUCAACUCCCGCACUCCACAUCCACCACGCGUCCUCCUUCCAUUCGUCCGUCAUUACCCACUCCCGUAAGCUAUCUACCCGCAUCAAUCCCCUACCUCACCCCCUAAAAACCCGCCUCCUCCUCCCAAACCCAGCCCUCGUUAACACCGAAUAUCUCCUCUGACUCACUCUCAACGGUUGAGAUCUCCCAACUCUCCAACCCCCUGCCGCAGAGGAUCACACACCUCUUCGUCCUCCCCUAGUUUAUAACCAGGGUUGGACUCGCAAAAGCUACCAUUCCAGUUUCUCUCUCUCAAAGAUGCCUCGAACUCUCUCUCUCUUCCUCUUCUCCUCUCUCCUCUUCUUCCUCGCCCGCGCCGACGUGGAUGUCUCCGAUCCGUUGAUCCGCCAAGUCGUCGACGGCGGAGAUGAAUCCCCCCACCACCACCACCACCACGAUCACGACGGCGAAGCGAUGCUGGGAGCGGAGCACCACUUCUCGCUGUUCAAGAGAAAAUUCGGAAAGUCGUACGCGAGCCAGGAGGAGCACGACUACAGAUUCUCGGUGUUCAAGACCAACAUGAGGAGGGCCAAGAGGCACCAGCGACUGGACCCCACCGCCCAGCACGGCGUCACUCGCUUCUCCGAUUUGACUCCGGCCGAGUUCCGGAAGAGCCAUUUGGGCCUCCGGGGGCUGAAGCUGCCGGCCGAUGCUAACACCGCGCCGAUUCUGCCUACCGAGAAUCUGCCGGAGGAUUUUGACUGGAGAGAGCGUGGAGCUGUUACGGAAGUCAAAAACCAGGUCUGUGAUUAAUUUAAUUUAAUUUCUUUAAUUAGGUUUCGGGUUAAUUACGUUAUUUGGUUAAUUAAUUUGGGGAUUUUGUUGGUUUUGGGAAAUUAGGGCUCGUGCGGGUCGUGCUGGAGUUUCAGUACCACUGGAGCGUUGGAAGGUGCACACUUCCUUGCGACUGGGGAGCUUGUCAGCCUCAGCGAGCAGCAGCUUGUUGACUGCGAUCACGAGGUUUGACUUUUUAUAUUUUUCAUCAUAAUUUUUGUUUAAGUAUGAGAAUUUUGCACUUGAAUAUUGCUGUUGAUUGUUUGGAUUUCAUUAUCGAAUAACGAAUAAUUUGCCCAGAAUGAAUUGGUUUUGUUAUGUGUUCAGGGUAUAGUGGACACUAUUGAUGGUGUGCUUUUGAUUAGUAAACUACAAACUAAGCUAGAUGUCAUCCCUCACCAUAGAGUCUUAUGACUGGAAGUUCAUUAUAAGAUAGAUGCAUAUACCUUGCCUUUUGUUUUCUUCGAUUAUCAAGUCAAAUACAAUCUACGCUCUAGCUAUCUAGCUUCAUUUAAUCCCUUUGAUUCUUGAAUUCCGACAUAAGCCAAACAUGAACAACAAAGCCUAGUGGUCCAACUGAUGUACAAUUAUCCUGCUCUUAUUGGCAUACUGAGUUUUUUAAUUCUAUUGCCGUGCUUUAACUUAAUACACUUUGGCAGUUGGUAUGUAAUUUGGUAUGCAGUACUACUGAAUCACAUUUAACAUUAAUAUUGUCGAUUGUACUGGUGUGUACAGAUGUAUGUUCAUGUUUUGCAUAUCAUUCUGUAUGUAUUGCUUUGCAUAUUCAUCUUGGAAAUGUGGAAUUGAACUUUGGAUAGGACGUCUCCCAACUGCUGUCUCUUACUCAUGUGUAUUGAUUAUGGCAGUGUGAUCCAGAGGAGGCAGGUUCAUGCGACUCUGGCUGCAACGGUGGGCUCAUGAACAGUGCCUUUGAGUACACACUUAAAGCUGGUGGACUCAUGAAGGAAAAAGAUUAUCCAUACACUGGUACUGAUCGUGGGACCUGCAAGUUUGACAAGACCAAAAUUGCAGCCAAAGUUUCCAACUUCAGUGUUGUCUCCCUUGAUGAAGAUCAAAUUGCUGCCAAUCUUGUGAAGAACGGCCCUCUUGCAGGUAAAUUUAUCAAGAUUUGUGAUUUUUUGUUCUCUUCCUGUCUCUUUGAAAAAGUAUAAUAAAUCUCAUACGCCAUAUUUCUUAUCAAUAAAGGUUUUGAAAAGCUGAUAUUAACUGUUGACAUUGUUUAAAUGCAGUGGCUAUCAAUGCUGUGUUCAUGCAAACAUAUGUUGGUGGAGUCUCAUGCCCCUACAUUUGCUCAAAGAGGUUGGACCAUGGUGUGUUGUUAGUUGGUUAUGGUUCUGCCGGCUACUCUCCCGUCAGAAUGAAGGAGAAGCCAUACUGGAUCAUAAAAAACUCAUGGGGUGAGAACUGGGGAGAGAAGGGAUUCUACAAAAUCUGCAGGGGCCGUAAUAUCUGUGGUGUGGACUCCAUGGUUUCAACUGUUGCUGCAGUUGAGCUAUAGGCCCAGAGUUAUGAUUAUGGCAGUCAUGUUUGUGUUUUGUAUAUACAAGGGUUAUGACAUUUACUGGGCAACUCCAUAGGCGACUUUGAAAUAAUCAUUUAUGUAUUUAUUCUUUGGGGUGUCCAAACAGCUUAAAUGUCCUUUUUAUGUGGCAUGUGUUUGUAAACUUUGUUCAUCCAACUUCCAUUUGGAGCUUUUAUAUGGAGAACUCUCUCAUCUUAAAGCUUUCAGUACAUGUUGCUUUGUAAUGCUUAAAGUUAUCCUGGUUUGAUAAUAUACUACCAAGUGCGUAGAUCUCGUUACAUUAUUAUGUUUUGAACCAUGUUAUAACCUUGUUUGAUCUUGUUGUUCGUUCUACUUUUGCACUUUUUCUCCAUUGAACAUUUGAUUCAGGAUCAAUAUGUCUACAACUCGGUACAUAGUUAACAAAUAUGUCUACAAACUGUUGCAUUGCAUGGGGAGAGUAUCAAUGAAUCAAACUUCACCUCUCAUUCUAUUAUCCGACCAAAAACUGUCUCAUUCUAUCAAACAUGCAAUGGAUAAUGAGAGUCCAAUUGCCACUGAGCUUCUUGAAGUAAAUGCUUUGCGGAUGCAGUAUAGGGUACGGGUCGCAUACAGGCUGCCUUAAAUCACCUGUUUGCAUCACGCAAUACGUCACCGAUGCCUUCCCUGAAAGUGAUUUGGAAGAAAGGCUGCAUGCGCGCAUCUACCUUCAAAGUGACUUGCUUCGGUGCAGUACUGCAGUUGGCCUCUUGUUUUUUCAGCCAAGCGAGACUACUCAGAAGUCAGAACAAUGUCCUAAGCUGUUUGGGUUUUGUUCUACCAAUGUUGCUUCUACUAUUCCACAGUGCCCAUAUGGACCUGAGAAGCUUAGCGAAGACAUCAGAGUUUGGUUGCAUCCAUUCUUUGAAAUUCAGAAAAGUAUAGUGUGCUGUAGGUUGAAAGGCGGAGCAAACAGUGUUUUCAGCUAGAGGACACUCACAGAAAAAGUGCGAGACAGAUACCAAUAAAUGGAGUGGGGCAUGACAACAGCAAAUAACAAUGGAGAUGAGAUGAUACUUUUAUCCACAACCCCUACCACCCCUAGCCCUAGUUUAAUGGUACAUUUCUUACAAUUAGGGCAGAAGCUACUGUAGUGAAGCUAUUAGUUGCAGGGGAGCCUAUCAUCAGUAACGAAAAUAGAGAUUCUCCCCUUCAAUUAGACUUUCCUCUACACCAAGCAAGAAGGUUUUUUAAAUUUGAAACUAGUACACCAAGUGAACAAUCUAAUGGUUUCCCUAAUAAUAAAUAAUAACUAUUUAUAUAUAUAAAUAGAAAGCUGAUUAAGAAUUUAAGUAUUCCCAUUAUUACACACGGCCACAACUACCAGUCUACCACUACAGAUGAAGAUGCUGGCCUAAACUGCUUAUUCCUUCCCAUCACCAAAUUUAAAAUACUGAAGGAGUGAUGCUGAAUUUGAAAACCAUCCGCUAACUCCUUUCAUGGAGCACCAUAAUUGCCUUCAUGUACUGUUCAAAUGAAAGAAUCAACUUCGACUCAUACCUAUUCACACUCAAUGCCAUGGCUUAAACACUGCCUAUGACUUGAUUAGGGUAUCACUCAUCUUCAUCGUCAUGCAACACAAAUGAGAAUGGAUAGAACUUGUAACCAUCUCCCUCAUAGAACUUGUUUUGGAAUUCCACCCAGUGAAGACGCAAAGCAUGAAGGAAAGCACUGAGAGUUUCCAUCAGUAGCAAAACACCAACAGUCGCGAAAACAAAGACAAGGAUGCCCACAAUGCGUAUAAGCCAGUUGUUGAACCUGUGAGAAACAUGAAUUAGUUUGUAGAUACUUCUAACUUUCAUGCCCUUAACUAUCAACUCCGAUGGCAUCAUUGGAUGAGCAUUGAUCAAUUAUGCUCGAUCACUCUAUUAUCUACACCCAAGAGUCAACAAAGAAUUUAUGUUUAAAAAAUUGAGUACAUACCCAAAAGCCAUCAGGAGAACCUUGUCGUAGAACACACUGGAUAAUUCUGAAUGAGCAAGACUGUUCAUGAAAGACAAUUACACACUGGAUUAUUAGUUGCACAAGGAGAUGAAUGACGGUAUAUAAAUCCGCAUAUUCCCAUAUUUUAUUUGUUAUCACUUAAUAAGUUGAGACCAAUUGAGAAAAACAAAGCUUUAUGCUGUAGAAACCAAGCAACACAUGAAAACAACCUCACAAGCUAUUAAGUCAUGCCACAAACCAAAUUGGAAAAGAAUUUCCUAGCUUGGAUGCCAAUGAAAAACGGAUGUACAUUCACAUGCAUAUGUACGCUUGGAUUUGUGAGUCAUAUACAAAAGUAAGAAACUACCUUAGGGCCCAUAGUCGAAGAUAAGAAGCUGUAUUUGAGACCGCUCCAAGUACAAACUCUAUUGUGUGUAUGAGUUGAUGUACGAAAACUUCACUAAAUUCAAACUCCUCAUGACCAUGGCCAUCAUGGUUUGAAUUCACUUGCAAACUCUCCUCUGUGUUCUCAAGUAAAGCAUAUGAUUGGCCUUGGUGCCGCUGAAACAACAUAAUAUCAGAAACAGCAGAGCAAAAUAAGAAGAAAUGUGAUGGAUCAAAAUGACCGAGAGAAACUAAUCAAAGUCUGUUAGCAAACAUACAGCUUCAUGUUGCUUUUUCAUGAGGAAAGGCUUUGGAAUCAGCAUCCAUGGUACAGCUACAAGAGCCAACCCUAAUAGCACUAACUGGUAAAAGAAAAUGAAAUAUGAUGAAUACUAAUAUUCUUUACCAAAAGAAAGGAACCAGAGAGAGACUGCUAAGAGGGACCACCUGAACUGUCUUCUGACCACUGAAAAGCUGAUUUUCACCUAGCUCAUCAGUAGGACUUAGGAACAUAUAUAUCAUUACAUGGUAUAGAUCAACUUUUGAACCAGUCCACCACUUCAUAACAAUCAGAACAGACAGGUAUCCAAAUAGACUGUUUAAGAAUAUCAGCUGAGGGAUAAACUGGAACCUGGAUCAAUGCAGGAUAUGAAUGAAUACACGCUAAUAAAGAGGGUGAAAGGGUACAAAGCAACUAAUGAUACAACAAAUGCAAGCAUUCACAGUAUAUAUGUGAACAACUCACAUUUACAGUGUAUACGCUUGCUACCUUAAUGGUAAAUUGCCAGCUUCAUUAAAAGUCAAUGUAAGAAAUGCAUAGCUUACCAAACGUUCAGACCAUUUUGAAAGAACUUUGCAUUGAAAUAACUUAUCACAAUUCCAAGGUUCAUUUGGACCACCCCAAGAAGAAUUGACAUUUUCAUCUUCAACGAGUUUAAGAAUGGCAGCUCACUACGAGAUCCAUGCCAUACAGGAUCCAGGCCAAAUGGGUAUGUGGGCCCCACCUUAAUUAAGCCAGCAGUAGUAGCAUCUCUGCAAACAAAACAUUUCAGUUUACUAUCAGAACCUCAAAGAGACCAUACAGAAAAAGAAGAGAUAAUACCAAAAGUUUAAGCUUAUACCGGCAAGAAAGAUCACGGCAUGCAUAUGCUGAGCGACCAAAUAGUUCAAAUGGGACAGAGAAGAACUCAUUAUAGAUGAAACCAGUGUAGAUUGAGAAAAUUGACAUCAGUAGAAUAACAUAACGGCCACCAAAAGCCAUCUCCAUGAUAUCUCCAAGUUUCUGCAAAAGCAUAACAAUAUUCAAUUAGAAUCAAAGGUGAAAGAUAAAAAUGAUACUGGAGGUGUCGUGAAUUAGCUCAUACAAUGCCUACCAACAAAACUACAAUUCCCAAUGUCGUUUAAAGUGAAUAGAGGAACUAACAAAAACAAACAAUUCAUAUAUUAUGCAGAGAAACAUGCUCCGGAAGAAAAAAGAACACAGCAACUGCGGUUAACGGAGUUGACACAUUUUGAAUAGGGGUGGCUUUAGCCAAUACCAGAUGUCCAAGUGUUGACAAACCAAAGCUUCUCUUUCACAGAAUGUUCUAUGCUCUUCAACAAAUUCAGACUUGAAAGCAUAGAACAUUAGGAUAAAGCGAUGAGGCGAUGAUGCAGCAGUAAAGUAGCAUCAAGGCAAAUUCUAAAACCUUUUUAUUUCACUUUUCAACACAAGUUUUAAACCUAUUAAAGGAAGAAGCUAUGUCCAUGCAGGUUUAGACUCGGUAGUGAUCAGAAAGCAUAAACAUCCAUAAUAUUCCACUGAAGUGGCUAAACUUGUAAAAUUAUGAACUAUAGACAUCCCAAUACUGGUAAUAUAACUUGGCAAUAAGCAUCAUGCAUCAGGUGUCACCAAUGGCUGCCACUCACAUUUUUCUUCAUAAGAGAGAAUUAUAGAAGAAUGGAAGAUAGUAUCUAUAUUCCAUUUUAACCAAGCCAAGAUGAUGGAACAACCAACUACCAUACAAAUCGCCAUAUAAUCAUAUACUUUUGUGUACACUCUAUUUCAAGUAUAGCAACAAAAUAUUGCUGACCACUGGACAUAUCAACACAGAGUGAUUAAAAAGCAAGAUAAAAUUACCUCAUUAGAAAACUUCCUUUCCCUGACUAUCAAAUAUAAUGUUGCAAGAAGCAAACAUAGUCCAUGUCCCCAAUCACCAAACAUGACAGCAAAAAGAAAUGGAAAUGUGAUGAUAGUAUAUACAGCAGGAUUUGCUUCUUGAUACUUGGCCACACUGCAAUUACAUCAAACCAAAACAUUUCAGUAUCCAAUAUAUAUUUCUGUUUGUCAGAAAGUAAACUGACAUCACACCUUGUGAUUAAAAUUAUUAGAUUGACAAGACUGUAAGCCUGUAAGAUCAUCACUUACUAAUGAUUCAUAGAUUUCAACAAUCGUCCUUCAUUAGUGUCUACUCAAGAUAGAAACUUAGACUUAAAGCAGGAGAAGAUUGAGGGGAUUACUAAUUUUACAUAUUACCUGAAAAAUUAAUAAUGUUCAACUACCUGGUAGACUAUGAUCAAGAACAUGCCAAACAAAUUAAUGAUCUUGUCACAUGAUAGGGGUAAUAAACAUAGAAAGAGUGAAGUUUUAACGUGAGAAACUAAUUAGUUUAAUGUGGAUAUGUCUUUUCAGUAUAUGACCCUAUACCUUACAAGGAAAAUGCCAAAAAUGACUGAAUAAGGAAAUAGAUAUUGACUAUCAUGCACAAUAGGACCAACGUAACUGAAUCCAGAAGAGGACGACUAGUAUGUUAUGAAAAAAGAAACAAUUAGCUCAUGUUAAUUCUAAUAUAAUAGGAUUCCAGUUUCUGAGAGAAAGAGGGAAGGCCAUAUGCAUGCUAACACAUGACAAGUUCUAUGUAAGGAGUGCACAAGUAUUCCUCUCAUUAUCCUAUCUUUUCUAAUAACCAAUAAAAGAGGAGCACAGAACAGUAUAAUAUUGGAGUGGAACUCACCCAUAUGCAUCAACAAUUUCUUGAAAUGAAGAAGUGAACUUGUUUGUGCGGAAAUAUGUUGGCGGUGCUUCUGUUGUAUGCAGAACCUGGAAGAUAGCUCCAACUUGAGAGUUGGAGUCAAAGGCUGCCCGCUGCAAUGCCUCCUGGAUCUGCAGCAAUCAGAUUAAAGAAAGUAAGUCAUACUUCAAAACCUUUUGAUUCAAAAUAGGCACCAGAAGGGACUCAUCAAAGUAUGCAGAAUUCUUUUUUUUCCCCCUUUUAAACCAACCAACGGAUACCUGCUUCGAUGCAAAAAUAGGACUCCAACCCUCACCCACAAGACAUUUUUUUGUUACAUCAAGGCUAAGCAUAUUAAGAGUGUGGUGUAUGGCUUUCUCCUUCUUCACCUGCAUGAGUACAAAAAAGAACAUUAUAAACUACCUUAACUUUCUGCAACAUUUUGCAAUACAUACAAACAUCAUAUAUGAGACAGUACAUACUUCCACAAAUAUAACAAUUAAACUUAAUUAAAGAAAUAAAUUUUAACCCACCAAAUGAUUCCAUUGCUCAUAAUGUUCGCCAAUAGUCUGCAACAAACUUCCCCGGUGUAAAACUCCAAUAUCUAUAGUAGUCUUUAGCUCAGAAAGUUUACCCAUAACCUGAAUUUAAAAUAUAUGGUUAUAUCAACUGAAGGUGAUAAAGGAAACUCUGAUCAUCUUGCACUAUGAAUUAACACGAAUGUUGCUUUCUACCACAAAUGCAAGGCACAAACUUAGGUAGAUAACCAAGUCAAACAUAUACAUUCUUGUUCUAAAUUGAAGCGUAACCAUUUUUUAGUAAAGUAGAAAGUAACUGAACCACAUAGGUUUAUAUGAGACAGUACAAAAGACGACCCUUUCUUUUAAAGAUCACUUGGAGAGCCCCAUUCGUUUAUAUUGCUAACAGGAUCCUUGUUGUAUCACUAAUAAAUAGAUAUUUAGUCAACUAAUGCUGCUGGAGAAGGUGCUUCUAUGGAUGGUAGAUAACUUAUUAAGAAAAGAAAAUAGAGAGUUGAGGCCUAAUACUUCAUGAACGGAGUACAGGCAAUCUGCACAAAAAAAUAUUUGGCCAGGUAAAAGGCUCACUUUCAUUACUGUCUAAGCAUGGGCUCAAAGCUAACAAAUUAGCUAUAAUGCAGACUAAACAUUAAGUAAAAUUUCUAUGGACAUUACUUCAUGCUGGGGAAAAUGGCAUUAACAAUGAGAAAUGAAACAGAAAGCUAAUUGAUACGAGGAAAAAUGUGACAGAGAAAAAAGAGCAGCCACCUUCUCAUUUAAAAAUAAUAGUAAUAAUACCCAAGCAGAAUCACAGUGCAUACCUCAUUAAUGGUUUGAGCUUGUUUACUUAGGUCCUCAGUAAAAGGGUAACGAUUGGCUCCAAAAGCAUCACAAAUUUUAAGAAUCUUGUUCUUUGCUCUUUCUCCAGAGUAGAAUACCACAAAAACAUUUUUCUCAAUCUGCAGAUCAUUAUUCAAAGUUAUAGACAGUGUUCAAUUACAAAGAAAAAAUUAUAUGACCAAAAACAGUUCCCUUUUUUAUAUGAAUAUAGAUGUCUUUUCAGUAAUUCAUACAAAAAGGUACAACUUUGUCUAUUUUUGUUGCUAAACAACGAUUUUUAAAGCACAUGUGAAGACAGAAAGGCAGGAAAAGUACCUUUUCUCCUGUCACAGGAUCUGUAACAGGAUUCUCAACAACAGCCUGCCUUAGAAAAACAUUUCCCCUAGUAGCUCGAAAUAGAAUCCUCUCAAAUGCCAAACACUUUCCCCUUGGAACAAGACCAGUGAGAAACCCCAACUUGACUUGCUUUGAUGGAUCAGUAGAUGAUUCCUGAGGAGCAGCCAAACAAAAAGAAUUUACUCAGCAGAAGUAAAAGAAAGUGAUUAGUCCUAAUACAGAAAAAAGAAAUUGAUAUCCAUACUUGGUCCAAUAACGGCGUAUCCAGGGCGUCAUCACCAAUAUGACGGGAUUCCUCUCUCUGCUGCAACCUCGCACUGCUUUCAGCUGAAUGAAAAAACUCACCAGCCUGAAAGAUACUUUUUUAGUCUUAUGACAGAUAUAUAUGAUAAGAAAACAUGCCAUUCGAGGCAAAACUUUGCAACAAAAAUCUAUAAACUCCUAUAUCAACGGAUCAAAUCCAUAAUCACUUCUAUAAUAAUAAUCAAAGACAACCUCCUGUCUGAAUCCAAGAUUAAGAAACUCUCUGAACCAACUCAUUUGAUAUAAAAUAAUAUCUAAUUUCCAUUUCAACUCAUUUAACUAUAAAACUAGCACAACACACAUUAUCUGAUCAUGCAUAAUUUGUGCUUUUGAACAGCUUAAUGUCACUAACUAGUUCAAAAUGUGUGUGUGUGUGUGUGUUAAACUGUUAAUAUGAUAUUGUUUGCUUACGGGGCUAUAUAAUUCCAUUCUUUUGGUUACUUCUGUUGGUUGCACUACUAACCCCUACAUGGGACCAAGGACAUGGCAAUCAUUACAAGCUGGAAAGUCAAACACUUAAGGGGCAUUGUUGUUAUAACUUAGAUUUCAUCUUUGAGCCGAGGUUAGAAAUAUAGAUUGGUGCAUUCACUCCCUCAUCAAACUAGCAUUUGUCCUUUCCUUAUAACAAACGUCUGCCUUUCCAUAAAUAAAAGUAAGAAUAAUCAUGAACCUAAAGCCUAUCACACGAGGAUAGAGAAUGAACUGGGGUCCUAAUAACACUAGUUGCAUGGUAGGAAAGACUGAACAAGCAGAAGGGGCUGUUACCUUUUGCAGGACGAGCUUAUAUUCUACAAGUUCAUUAUAUGAACGCUGCAACUUUUCACUAUUUGCAUUAAUUUCAAUCAGCUCAGCCUCGAGCUCACCAAGUUUUACCUAGCAUACACACAAAAUUAGUGUUAAAACAUACAAUACGAAGCAUGUUUUGCUAGACAAAGAAACAUCGUAUAAUACCUCCAGAUCAUCUAAAUUGAGGUCCGCUUGUCUUGUAGCCUUCGGAGGAGGAAGACCAGACUUUAACAUUUGAUCCUUGAAGAAACGUAAUUUACGUGCCAUCUCACCAGAUCUUUUAAUCUAUAUAGAAGAAUAAACCAAUUCGCUUAGCAACCAAUAUGCAGACAUACGUCCUAGGUACUUGUACCAUUAUGAAAAGAAUGGAUUUGCAGGUAUUUAGUUUUCCUCUUAGAAGCAGGAUGUUAAGUACCCUUUCAAUAUUCAUCUUUGUUCGGAAGCAAUAUGAAACAGCUCAAAAGAACACCAAGUGAUAACAGUAAAUACUAAAGCAGAAAAUGAAACUAACAGCAUGGGAGACUAACAAUUUGACCAAGCUAAAUGUGAGAUCAUGCAACAGUCUCUCUUUGUACACACCCCAGGGUGGGGGAAACAGCUAAGAAUGCACUUGAGCUACAUGUUUCAGCUAAUCAAGUCAACUUUUCAAAGUAUAUCGGUUGCAUGCACAGCAGCAUUCACCUAUUUUUCAAUUAUGUUAUUUUAAGUCCGGUCUGGUGCUAAUGUGACCGUAUACUUCUGCAGAUACGAAAGGAACAGAGUGUAAUUUCUAGAUUCAACUGUGAACUAGAAACAAAUAGAAAGUACAAUCUCUUGAAUACCAACAAGAGGCACUGAUAAUACAACUUACACUCAUCAUUGAGAAUUUAUAAGAAGCCUUGUUAGUAUUGUCAUAUUAAUCACAAAAUACAUGUCAAGUGCCAGAGGUCUGCUUUAAUCCCCCAGUGUAAACCCUUACAACUCAAACAUCAAGGUGAAGUAGCAAUGCAUGGCCAAACAAACAUACAAAGUAUCCACAACGCAAGAUAACAACAUAGUUGCUUGGUAAGAUAAGAGCAUAAACACACCUGAGUAGCAUAAGUCCUCUGAAACGGGCUCUUCUCUGUAUUCAGCUGAAAUAAAAGAGUCAUCAAAAUAUUAGUUGCCAGGAAAAACUAAGAAACAUAUAUUAAAUUAAAAAAGACCAAUAACUAAAAGCAUAGUGCUUCGCGAUAUGCUUCAAAGUCUUCCCACCCCUACACCAGAAUUUUCUAAGCUUCAUCUUCAAAUUCAAUAAUUUACAACAUUCUACAUUCUGGCAUAUAAAUUGAAAAAUUUGGACAAAAGAAAAGUAUUUCUUUUUCCUGCAUAUGUUUUAUACAGAUAAGAUGAAAGAGUGUAUAUUUCAGCCCUAGAGAAUGCAAAAGGAUCUUGUCAAUGUCCCGAAUUUCGGUGUCUUGUGUAUUAAAUCAUAACACUCCCUACUGUAUCAUAACGAUCUAGAUUGCUAAAUCUAGCUCCUUUACUUUUAUGUCUUCCGUCACUAAACUACUUGAAGCUUCGCAGCCAUCCUUUAGUAAAGGAAGCACCAAAUCUUAACAAGGAACUAAAUUUCCAACGCCAGCACCGGAAUCCGAUAGUGGCAUGAGUUCUCAUUACGUGUUCACAAAGCUAAACCACUAGGAUAAUCACUACUCUUUUCAACGUGAUCAUCGAUAAUCAAUGAAUUGAUCAAAACACAAAUGCGAAAGCAAACAAUCAAAGAAUUCAAAAUCGCAGGAAAAUCAAAUCGAAUUGAAACGAGAAAAAAGAGAAUCGGAAAGAGAUUACGUCUUUGAAUUGGAGGAGGCCGAGGUCGCCGAGAUAAGAGACGGUGAGGUGGGCGGACUCGAUGGGGAUGAUGAUCUGGACGAGCUGCAUAGGCUCCGACCUGAACAGAUCCAUUGGGGGACAGCAUCCUCCCAUCCUCGCUCUCUCUCUCUCUCUGUGAUAAUAGAGAGAUUUGGAUUGUGGCCCUUUGUGUAUAAAUUGGUUUGGUUUGGUGUGACACAAACAGUCAAAAACCCAGAGAUGAGAGAGAUGAUUAAGUAUUACUGGGUAUAUGUAUCAUUAUUCCCUUCACUCUUUGUUUGUUUGUUUGUUCGCCACACAAAAGCUCCACGUACGUCCUUCCAGUCCCUCCUCAUCUCUUCUCAAUUUAUGUUGUUGGGUCCGUGAGGAAAUUUCCUGCUUUUCUGACCCUUUUCGUUAUUGUUUUUAGGUCCUAAAAAUUAUUAUUUGAUUUUUUUUAAUACGUACACAGGCGAGAACGGCAUUACUCAUACCAUAAGUCUAUUAACUAUUAACAAAACCGUAAAAAACAAAUAGAAAGAUAUUGUGCUUAACCUCACAAUAUAAGAACAUCCUAAAAUAAUAUUAGGCAUGUUUAUAAAAACUAUGCAUUCUAGUAAGCAUCAUUUAACAAAUAGUGCAUCAUUGGAUACUUUAUUUGUUUUACGAUUUUGGCGACGUAUCAGAAAAAUACUGCUCAGAAAAAGUCAUAAGUUACUAUAUGUAUCAGCUUUUCGGCUAUGAUGUCACUGGAAAUUAUCAGUGACACUAGGCUUCAUCUUGCUAUUAGAAGGCUGCGACCAUUUAACAAAGCAAAGAAUUCGCCGCCUCAUUAGAACAAACAUGACACGCUACGUGUAUUUUCCAAGAUAUAUCCCACCAGUAUCCAAUAUCACUAAAAAACAAUAAAGCAAAAAACAUAAAGAGCAUCUAGUUGGACGUAGCCCUCCUCGACCUACUAACUUAGAGUAAAAUAUUAUUGAAAGUUCAAAACAAACUACAACUAUUGAAUAACCAUAGAAAUAAAUAACAAAACAAAAUAAAAUGAGCCCAAUUAGACUUUUCUGACCCAAGUAACAUGAGGCCAUAAGAGGGCAUCCAAGCCGUCAGCCUCUGCCUGAACAUUUGUCGUAGCGUCUUUACUGGCUAUCCCCACACUCUGACCUUCCGCCUGCAACUGCAGCUAGCCUCCCUUCCCCAUCGCAGUAUACCUACCAAACAAACCCCCCUCUUUAUGACCUUUCAUUCACAUCCAGUUUAUGGCAGCCUCCGCAUCACGCCUAUCAUUAUUAUGUUUUCUAACUUGAUCCAAUUUGUUGUAUAAGUCUUUCAACAUGGAUCCAACAAAUUGAGGGCCACUUGCUUGGAGUGUUAGAAACUCAUAUGCAACACUAGUAGGGACAUGCGUCGUUCGCAUAGCUAGAACAACAGAGAUGUCAUCCCCAGUCACUUCCUAAAAGAUGAUAGAAACUGUCGCUCUACAGGUUCUGCAAGUCCAUGAUUGUGCUCAGUCAAAAAUAUUCAGAUUGUGUACAACAUCAUCUUAUCCAAUCUCAGCACAAAAAUAGUUUCACAUCCUGUUCUUGUAUAUUUAUAUCCCCUCACAACAGUCUUCUUUAUCUUCUUCUUCCUCUUAUUCCAAGGAGUCUCAUCCUCACUCGCUUGUUGUUUUUCAGUUGUCGCUUCUUCGUUAUACACCACAUUCUGCUUUCUAUUUACUGAACUCUUUUCAAAACCCUUUUUUGCACAACACCAUCCUCUACUCAUCACAUGUGCUACGCCAUCAAUAAAUAGCUUGUCAUUCUUAUAAGACCUCUUACUAAACCCAACAACGAAGCAGUAAUACCCAUAAACCUUAUCUGCUUUAGUAACAGUGCGAAAUCUGAUGUCCUUCAAUCAUAUUUAAGUGAUUUCACAUUCCCCUUCAAAGCAUAAUACAUUUUGGAGUUAUACACAUCCUCAUUAAUAUUAUUGGCCAAUGUAAUAAAAUUUUCGUCUCUGUCGUAACGUUUAUCCCUUUUAAAGUCGUCAGUCUGCUUCGGUUUAAUCAUUGUAUCAUCCAGGUUUUUCUUCCACUCCCGCUCUGAAUCUUCGUUCAAACGAUCCUCUUCAUCUAAAUAUGGAAUAUCAUGGUACUUUGCAUCACUGAAACAUAUCAGAGACCACACUCAUAUGUCUCAUCGAUCUCAUCAUUAUCAUCCAUCUUUGCAUUUGUCUAACAAAAUAUCUACAGUUAGCAACUGAAUACCAAUAACAAGACUAUGGCCACAUACAUGACAGUGAUGACACAUCAUAUUCAAUUUUAUAUCUUCAGAUUACACUAUGACAAUCAUAAAUUUUCAACGUUUCGCUUUCGCAUCACCAUUUUUUGAAGGUUGAAAAAAAAUACACCAGUUCAAUAACUAUAUGCAAACAAUCAGUUCCUAAUUCGAUUUUAGUUCAAUGACAUCAGCAACGGUAGGCGCUUCGAUCUGAUUACUGUUUUCCAUGACUCUUACUUUACCCUGGUAUCCAUGGACCCUCUAAAAACAUACCCGUAUUUACAUACACCAACUUACCUUGACCCUUUAGUAUAUCUACGUAUUUACCCUCUCCACAAACUAACGAGACACGGAAGGUGUGAACUCCAUCUACGCACGGAGACCAAUCCUCUCCUAACACCUGUCCCCCCGGUAAACGACCAUAGACGUCUCCGUCAUAUAUAACGUUACAAAACAUAUGUUUGUCCUUAUAUUUUCAUGAACCCGACCCAAUAAAACUAAGGAAAAUAUUCAUUUAUGUAACGCCCCGAUUUGCACCUCAUCAAAUCAAGCACAUUACAGUGCCGCACAUUCAUAGAACCCAAGCUAGGAUCCUUCACUCAAGUUCUAAGAACCCGCAAGACAAAAGAAAAAUUUAAAAAAAUUUCAAAAAUGUUAGCAGAAAAGUUUAUUUAAGAUAAGGUGAAGAUAUAACACGUUUAGAUAUCUUUCAAAUCAAACAAGCUCUCUCUAAAACAAAAUUCAAUAUCAGUCCGGUUCAAGAUCAACAAUCGAAAAGCUUGCAAGAUGAAUAGUUUCUCAAAUAUACACAUAAUCGAUAAAAGGGGUACACAAGGACACGAUAAAUAGGAAACCUGUCAUAUGGAUAUAACUCUAACAAUGACAUGAAAUAUAGAAUGUCUAAGCCACACCUAACGUUGUCCAGCUGUCCCGUCUUCUAUUCUCUAUCAUCGAAGGUCCAUCGACGAAAUUGAGACUAUAGGAAGGAUCACGAGGCCGAGAUGAAGCUACCAGUACCAGUCACGCUCGUCGUCGUGGCCGGAAUCACGAACUCGACCGGAAACCCAUAAAUCCUUCUUCUGCUCGAUUCUCCCUUCUCUAAGCUUGUCUUGAAAAUCUAUCAGCAUAACAACGUUGGGGACGACGAGACGAAGGCGUGGACACCGGCCUUGCACCGGGAGGCGGCCGGAUGACGGACGGAACAAUCGGAGGUCUUCGUCGCUGCAGAGAAAUCGAGACCGAGGUCAGUUUGGGUUGUGUUUUGGGCUUUGAUUUGAUAAGGUCCAAGCCUUAUAUGUUUUUAGUUCGACGGUCCAGAUCAUGCCAGUAAAUUUUCCUAUACUUGAAGUAUUCUCCUUAUUUCCAAACUUCCAAAACUCAUUAUAAUGAGCUCUCAUGUCUGAAAAAUUAUACAAAACUUAGCACAUGCUCGUCACAAAGCCUACUUCAUUAUCAAAUCUCUAAACUAAAGUAUCCUUUUCUUUGAAAUAUAUAAAGUUUUCCGAGUGUCCUCAAGACUUAACGAAAUUGCAAUCUAUAUCUCGAACUACUCAAUUUUAGCUCCUUAAAUAUUUCCGGAGUCUCACAAUUUAAUACUAAUUUCAACCUCUCAUUGCCUAUUUCAAUGACGAUAUUUUUUAAGAGCUCAUUCCAAUAUAAUGUACCUAUAUUUGUGCCAAAAAGAACAAAUUUUUACUUAAAGUCUUAACAAACAAUAUUAUUUUAGGACUAUUUUACCCUCACCCCUUAAACAUGCAUAGAGAGAGAAAAUGAAAGAGAGAGAAGAUUUGGCCGGAACCUCACCGGACUCCGGUCACCGGUCGUCGGAAUUUCACCGGUCGCCGGAAUUUCGUCGGAUUUUUUUAAAAUGUCACUGGAAUCUCGCUGGAAAUAUUUUUUUUUAAAUGUCACCGGACCUUUCCAGAAGUAUACUGCACUAUCGCUGAAGUUUAAUUAAAGGGCAGUAAUGAUGAAAAAUGUUUUACUGGGGAGCAAUAAACUUUUAUUGAGAUUUUAUUGAGGGGCAGUAAACUUCUACUGAGGUCAAUGAAACCUUAUUGAGGGACAGUAAUGAUGAAAAAUGUUUUACUGGAGGCAGUAAACUUCUAUUGAGGGAGCAGUAAACUUUUACUGAGAUUUUACUAGGGGACAGUAAACUUCUACUGGGGGCAAUAAACUUCUAAUAAACAGUUUAUUGAGGGCAAUAAAUAUUGAGAAAGUUUUUAACACAUAACCAAAUGGUCAUAAAAUAUUCCUACUGCCCCUAGUAAUAAAAAUUACUACGUUUCUCAACAAAUCCGAAGCUUGAACCUGCUUGAAUGAGCGAGGAGCUCUCAGAUGAAGCCGAAAAGAGACCGGCGUGUCUUCCUCCGACGAGAGCGAGUUAGCUCGCUUACCUCAGCCCCUGGUACCUUCCAGUCUCCACCUUUCAGACUAAUCGACGACCAGAACGACGACGUCUUUGCCCGGUGACGAGAAUAGUGCUGUCGACCUUUGUCUUCACUGGAUCUCACGACGUUGAUGUGGAUCUAGUAUUCGUCGGCGACGUUGAUCUCAAUUGAUCAACUAAAACCGACUGAUCCGAAUAGAGAAGUACGAAACGGACCUGGAUUGCCUGCGGCGGAGCUGGCAAGUCCGUCAACGAGCUUGAAUGGCUUUUUGAGCAUCGAGGGGAGAGGAAGCACGUGGUCGAUACGGCUGGCCUGGACCUCGUUGCAAACGGAAGGGACAUGUGGCAUCGGAGACGAAACACCGCCGUUUUGAACCAGUGAGGGACCCAUCGUCGUUGUGAGAGAGAGAGAGGUCAGAUCUAGAUUAGAAACGAGGAGAGGGUUAAUUGAAUUAUAGUGAGGGUAAGUGCGUCUUUUUAUUUAGUUUUAUUAGAAUAUGCUCAUUUGAUGAAAUUUCAUUGAAAUGGGCUCUAAUUUAAUAAUUUUUGUGAUUUUAUUCACAUAAUUUUUCAUUUCUCACUCUCUCUCUCUUAAAAAUCUGUCCUCAGAUUUUAGUGAGUUGCUCGCUUUUCCUUGUUUUAUUUUCGUCUCCUAUCUAUGCAAGAUGGAUAUUGACUUGGGAUUACUAUGUAGGGUUGCGUUUGUGAUCAGGAACAACAAGGGAGGGGAUUCGGGGUUUCUGGGCUACACAGGUAUGUUUGUUUGGUAUCAUUUUCGAAUGUUAUAUUGAAUUACACUCUCAUAAUGGAAAUCUGGUUUCAGGAAUAGAUGGGUUCCAAUCAUUUUUAUUCCGUGCUAAUCUGGUCUCAAUUUCCCAAACUUUCAGAUCUAUUUUGGGGAUCGAUUGAGUCAGGUUUUACGUUGGGUUGUCAAUCAUAUUCUUGGAGGGAGGCAUGUCAGAUGAAUCCACCUCAGAACCUGGAACCAGCAGCUCCUUCUCUUCCGCUGUCAGCGGCGGCACGACUGUCAAGGAAUGCCAAGACAUGAUUCGAAGAAGCCUCCAAAGUAUUACUCUCCAAGCUUUCAUAAAUCCCAUCUGGGUUUAGGGUUUUAGCCUCUGCUGUUUGAUUUCAUUUCCGUUUUAAGGUUCUGGGUUUAGAUUGAUAUUUGCUCUGUUUAUUAAUAUUUUUUUAAUACAGCUCCAAUGGUGAAGUUUCUACUAGAGCAUCUGGAUAAAUCUGGGUGUGCCGUUGGGGACGGGUUUAUCAAGGCCGUUCAUUGCGAUAAGGAAUUUGGCGGAGGCUAUACCCGCGGCGAAGGGGUACUAUAUUUUAUGUUUAUUUUGAAUGCUUUAAAUUGAAACUGAAAUGUACUUGAUGGUUACAAAUGUUACAAAAUUCACCUCGUUGCGGGGAUUAAGCAAGUCCCUUUAGUGUAUGAUGCUAGUAGGGUUGGUCAUUCUGCAUCGGAACUAAGUUGUGAGGUUGAGUUAGAUUGGUCAUUCGGGAAGCUCUAGCUCUUUUAAUAGUGAAGCUUUUCUCCUUUUGUGUCUGUAAGAGUGUUCUGUGGUGGGUUCAGAAUAUAAAAUAUUUGGGUUGAAUGAGCCUGUGACGUGCCUAAUUUCGCUGUGCUCUGUGACUGAUUGUCUUUCAGGUAAUAGUGUGUAGUAAUCACAUGAACAUGCAAGAUGAUGUCAACCAAGUAGUGAUACAUGAGCUAAUUCAUGUUUUUGAUGAUUGUCGGGCUGCAAACUUGAACUGGGCUAAUUGUGCUCAUCAUGCUUGUAGUGAGGUGCGAAUCAAAUAGAUAUUGAAAUCUUUGUACUUGGUGUAUUACGUUUCUUUGAACCUCCAGUUUAGUUAUUUAUACUAUAUAUCUGGAACAGAUUCGUGCAGGCCAUCUUAGUGGUGAUUGCCACUAUAAGCGGGAAUUUUUGCGUGGUUUUAUGAAGAUUCGAGGCCAUGAACAAGUGAGUUUCUCAGAAUUUAAAGAAACAAUUGAGAUACCCUCUUUUGCUUAUUCGUUGCAUACACAGUGAAAUACUCUAUUACCUUAAUUUCAUUUGGAAACUUUGAUAAACCAAAAAACCAUCAUUAUAGACUGGGAACAGGUCUUUUUCAUCUAUGGCAAGGCAAAGUUUGUUACAGAGCAGAUAUAAAGUUACGUGGAGUUUUUAUUCCAACUUUUAGUAUUUGGCUUAUAUAUGAAUCUGAAUAUGUAUUUAGCAUGGCUCUCUCUCUCUGUGCUCUCUCUCUCUCUCUCUCUGUAGCUGUUAAAUUGUUUUGUUGUUGUAAACUAGUAAUGGUAUAAAACUGUGGAUUCCAUUUGAAGAUUAACCUUAUAAAAUAGACAUCAAGCUAAAUUCAAGAUUCCUAUUUAGCUCUGCAUAUUGAUAAUUAGUUGUAGAUUCAAUCCCAGAAUAGGUGCAUGUAAUGUUUGUAAAUCAAACCCCAGUUGCAUCCUUUCUUACUUUAGACUUCUAUUUCUUAGAAAACAAAUUCACUUCAGACUUCUUUGUUAGGAGACUCUAUUAACUGGAAUUCAAUUUUGACAUUUGAAGGAUUGCGUGAGACGAAGAGUUAUGAAGUCGGUCAUUAAUAAUCCCUACUGCUCAGAAGCAGCGGCAAAGGAUGCCAUGGAAGCAGUUUGGGAUGUUUGUUACAAUGAUACACAGCCAUUUGACAGAGCUCCUUGAAAUACAGUGACAAGUAUCUGUAUUGUACACUCUAGCCUUAUGGGAGAAACAUUGUCAUUCGCCAAUUUUUACUGGCAACUGAUAUAUUUCAGUAACAAAUAUCUUUAUUGUAGACUCUGGCCUUAUAGGAGAGACAUUGUUAUUCUCCGAUUUUUACUGGCAAAUGAUGUAUUUCAGUAACAAGAUCCAAGAAAUUUGCUCGCAGUGUGAGGAAAUCUUACUGUUCCAGAUUGUCUUACAGAUUGUACAACAAUGAUUGACAUUUGCUUGUGUUACAUUUCAAAAUAAUAUGAGAUUUCCCUAAGUAACCUCCUCAUGCUUACCAAAAUACACUCCAAUGAUAAUUAGUCUGUAAAAAUUGGUAGUAUUGUCGAAAAAGCCGUUCUCUCUCUCUCUCUCUCUAAAGUGAGGGAGGUUCCUCCACUUUUCCAUGAAGCAUAAGUUGUAGAGCGCCAAAAGAGAAGAGAAUCAAACAAUUUCGUGCAUUCUAAGUUAGACAUGCGCGUUCCGAGCUGUAAUUGGCAUUUGAAGCUCAGAGAUUUAUCCUCCAAUGCAAAAUGGGCAGAAUUGCUCUGCCAUUUCCAUCAAGUAAACAAAGCUGGGGGGCUUCAACUACCACACUAUUCAAUCUUCCCUCCAAUUCUCAAAGCGUGUUCAAAUCUCCUUUCCCACUCCUAUGGAAAAUCAAUACAUGGGUGUCUGAUCAAAAAUGGGUGCGACUCAUACACUUCCAUUGGUAACUCCACAAUGGACUUCUACAUCAAAACCAAGGACCCAGAUUCUGCAUUGAGUGUUUUCAACUCCAUGACAUGGAGAGAUCAAGUUUCUUGGAAUAUAAUGGUCUAUGGGAGCCUUGACGAGGGGAAUUUAGAACAAGGGUUGUGGUGGUUUAACAAGGCCAGGGUUUCGGGUACCGGGUUUCGACCCAAUACUUCUACUCUGGUGCUUGUAAUUCAAGCCUGUCGUCGGCUUAGAGAUAAAUGUGAAGGACUCAAAGUACAUGGCUAUGUCAUUCAAGCUGGGUUUUGUUGUAUUUCCUCGGUUCAGAACUCGUUGUUGAGUCUGUAUGCAGAAGAUGAUGACAUGGAAAGUGCACGCAAGCUGUUCGACGAAAUGUCUGAGAGAGAUGUCAUCUCUUGGAGUGUGAUGAUAGGAGGUUAUGUGCGUUGCGAGGAAGCCAGAAUCGGCAUGGAGAUGUUUCGAAAGAUGGUGUGUGAGGUUGGUGUGGAACCGGAUGGUGUAACGGCGGUCAGUGUUCUUAAGGGUUGCACUAGUUUGAGGGAGUUGACCAUAGGGACAUUACUUCAUGGGUUGGUGAUCUGUAGAGGGUUAGAUUCUGAUCUUUUUGUUGGAAACUCUUUGAUUGAUAUGUAUGCCAAGUGUCAUGAUGCGGAUUCUGCCUUUAAAGUUUUCAAGGAGAUGCCGCAAAGAAAUAGGGUGUCAUGGAAUUCCAUAUUGUCUGCAUUUGUCCAUAAUGAGAGGUACAUGGAUGCCCUGUCACUGUUUCAUUCUAUGGGGAAGGAAGGUAUCAAUGCCGAUGAAGUGACUCUGGUGAAUAUUCUUCAAGCCUGCAAGCAUCUGCGCCUAGUUCAUUGCAAGUCUGUGCACUGUGUAACAAUCAGGUGGGGAUUUGACUCCAAUGAGUUGAUCCUAAAUUCUCUCAUUGAUGCUUAUGCAAAGUGCAAUUGUAUCGAGCUUGCAUGGAAACUUUUUGAGAGGAUGCAGAAAAGAGAUGCGGUUUCGUGGAGCACUAUGAUUGCAGGGUUUACUCAUUGUGGCAGACCUGAUCAAGCAAUUGCCUUAUUUGGUGAGAUGGCCAGACUACAUGCACAGGAUGAUCAGAAGCCCAAUGAGAUUACAAUCAUAAAUCUCUUUGAAGCUUGCGCAGUUUCAGCCGAAUUGAAUUGGGCGAAAGGGGCACAUGGUAUUGCUAUUAGAAGAGGUUUGGCAGCUGGAGAUCAAGUAGCUGUCGGAACUGCAACUGUUGACAUGUACUCAAAAUGUGGGGCAAUAGGUGAAUCAAGAAAGGCAUUCGACCAGAUUUCUGGAAAGAACAUUAUGUCGUGGAGUGCCCUGAUAGCUGCAUAUGGCAUGAACGGUCUUGCACACAAAGCUUUAGCUUUGGUUGAGGAAAUGAAGCUGUAUGCUGUGAAGCCAAAUGCAGUGACUACCCUUUCUGUGCUAUCUGCAUGUAGUCAUGGAGGCUUAGUAGAAGAGGGUCUCUCUUUUUUCAACUCACUUGUUCAAGAUCAUGGUGUUGAACCAAGAUUGGAACAUUAUGCGUGUGUUGUUGAUAUGUUGGGCCGAGCAGGAAAGCUCCAGAUGGCUAUGGAUUUUAUCAAGAAAAUUCCACAAGGUUUAAAGGCCGUCGGGGCAAAUGCUGCUUGGAGUGCAUUAUUGAGUGCUUGUAGAAGCUAUGGGAAUAGAGACAUUGGUGCAGAAGCCGCUUCUCAUGUCCUUGAGUUAGAGCCUGAAAGUUCAACUGGUUAUUUACUUGCCUCAAGUAUUUAUGCAGCAGGUGGGUUGUGGGUUGAUGCUGCAAGUACUAGAAGGUUGGUGAAAGAAAAAGGUGUGAAGGUUGUUGCUGGUUAUAGCUUAGUUAAUGUUGAUAACAAGGCCUGUAGAUUUAAUGCUGGGAAUCUUGAUUGCCAUUCACUAGCUGCCGGAGAGAUACACUCUAUGGUUGAGCUAUUGCAUUCUUGUAUGAAGACUGAAAAGAAGAAAGUCGGUAAUUUUGAUAUUAUUGAUUAGUUACUUGACAGGCCAUCUGAUAAGAAUAGAUUUAACCAGAAAGAUAAUAGAAUAUUGAGGAAAGAGAUAAGUAAUGCACUCCAAUUUCCAUUAGAAAGACAUAUAACUAGUAAACUGGUUGAAGUUGGCCCGGCCAUAACACUGGCCAGUUAUUCUGAGGUUUUGGCAUAUGCAGUGGAAGUCACUUCCUAUUCCAGCGUGCCAUGUCUUCUGCAUGUUUGCAGGUGAAUUUUUAUGUCCCAGAAGCGUUAAUUUGGAAUUUUGUUUUAAUGUAAAUUUACCUUUCUUUUUGUAUUCCUUGCUGUUCCGCUAGACUUAUUUCUCCAAGUUACUGUGUUUGUUGUGUUGAUAUGUUUUGACGUUUUGAGAGCUAACAAUUCCAGUGUUGAUUGUUUUCCAUGCAUAAAAGUUUCUUCACUUGGUCGAAACUAGUAAAUCUAUAUUUUCAUGCUACCAUGCAGUGAGUUGAGGUUGCUUUACAUUUAGUGUACUAUUGACUUUAGUUUGUCUUCUCUUUCAUGUCAUAUGGACUCUUCUCCUUUCUUACAAUAGUAAGUCUUAGUUCUGCCAGUUAUCAUGUCAGAUGUAGGAACCUAUGAUAGAAGAACUGGAUUGCUGGCCGGCUAUAUGAGGAUAACUUUUCUCGUUAGUAUAUGUUAUUUAUUUAUUUUUGGGUCACUCACAGGAUACAAGUCAUAUUUAUCCUACACUUGUGAGGGUUUUCACUAUUUGUUAAGUGAGACAAUUUUCUUUUUCCUUCUAUGUUUGGAGAUAUGGCGAUCAUAUUGUUUUUUUUUUUUUUAUAUUUUUUUAUAACAUAAAGAAAGUAAUCCUACAUCUUCUACUUUUGUUUCUUGAAGGAAGAGAAUCGGGGCAUUUUGUAGGAAGUGCAUGGAUGAAUGCAUCUUGAUUUUCUGGGUGGUUAAGAAGGUUGUCAUUGCUGUCAUUGUUGCUUAGCUUGGUAAGCUACUUACUGAUGCUUACAGCUCGUACUUAUUCAUUUAUAUAUCUUAGUUUCUUGAGUUCCUGACAUAAGUUUUUUACAUGGGUUGGUCCUUGUAGGCACAAUGUACUAGGAUUGAACUGGUUUGGACUUUGGACCAGUAGAUUGUCUUUUCCAGACUCGUACCUCCAGGUCUCCCACAGUUUUCUGCAAUCUUCUAACCAUAUACUCUUGAUUCUUGGCAGUUUAAUCAUUCAGAUCUUCUAUGUCUGAAGGCUUCAAUCUCAGGGUAUUAGGUUUGCACCACCAUAUUUGUUGUACAGGAUUACAACUACAGGUAUUGAUGCAGUCUUUAUUCUAAUUUGAUUUCAAAUGUUCAUAUCUGUGAUACAGUUUGGAUUAUUUUCCGUCAGUGACCAUGAGAAAAGAUAGGAUGCAAAGAAAUUGAAUAAUUACAUUGCAACUACGUGUGUUGGUGUCUAAAACAUGAAUUUUUCCUUCUCUCUCUCUCUAUAUAUAUAUAUAUUGUUAAUUAUAAAUUAAACAUAUCAAUCCUUAUACAUUCUAUUUCUAUCUUUUAGCUAAGCACUUAUUAGAUGGAUUCUGUCCAUUUGUAUGUCAGUGUGUGCUAAACCUGCAAGAUAAUUGACAUGAGUUUCUUCUAAAGAAAUUCCUGAUUAAGAUGACUUCAUUUCGAGGGAGUUCUGGUUUUUAAAACUGGGAAAUGGAGACUUGGAAGAUUUUAUGUAAUUGUAGUUCCCGGUCACUAGGGUUGAGCUUAAAGACAAUGGUCAUUGAAAUAUAUAUCAAUUUUGUCACAUAAUGGCCACCUCGACACGCUGUACUUUAAUGUCAGGGAGUUCCCCACUUUAUCCUGGUUUUUGCUAUUUCAGCCAUCUUUAAGAAUUGAGCAUGGACAGGAAGGAACAUGUCGGUCUUGGUAGGAAGAGCCGACUACAGGCUACUGGUUCAACUCCACUCGAACUUACAUUUUUCCUAUUAUGUUUUGCUAUUUCCCCUAUUAUCUUUUCAUUUUUCCUUCAGAAUCUUACUCCGCUCGAACUUGCAUGUUUCUUAUCUGGAUGUGAUUAUGGAAGAUUCAUAUACACUUGCAAUCUUUACUGUAUCUGAGAGUCUAGUUGUCAGGCCUAUAUCUCCUUGCUUUGUCAGUUCCAUGUUGAACGAAUUGGAAGUACAUUUCAUCUAGCGAAUCAACUCUCCCUUUCUAAAAUCCAAAGUGGAGUUAACAUAUAGAUGUAGGAUGAUCAGUUUGGGAAGCAAGUAUAAGAGGCUCCCAACUUUUCAAAGAUUGAAAAGAUAAUUUUGUGAAUGAAAAUAUAUCUGCAAAGUUGCCAAGCUUAUGCAUGUAGUAGUUUCAUUUCCUCAUCAGCAAGCACAUUAUGAGAAUAUAUAUGAAUAGAAAGAAAGGUUUCAGCAUCAAGUACAGUAUGAAGGACUGCCAUGGCACUACUUAUAGCUAGUCAUGGACAGCAGAAUUAUCAAGGGAUGCAACUAAUCAGGAUUUAUGUUUCUCCCGAUCCAAAAGGAUUUGUAUUCCUUAUGUGAAUGGAUUCGUAUUCUCAGUGGCAUCCUAAACUUGCCAAGAACGUAAGAUGUUCUUGAGGUUCUUUUUUAUUGUAUAUUUGUAUUUCAGUAUAUACUGAGCACUGCCGAUCAAUCGAAUCUGUAACGAGUUAUGUAAGACAAAAUGCUUUCGGUAGGUAGAAUAGUGAAGAAUAGUGAAAUUCACGCUCCUUUGGAGUUGCUUAUUAAACCAUACUAAUGCAUGACUGCAUAAGUGGGGAAACUGGAUCGCACAAAGUCGAAUUCUUACCAAACUUGAGUAGUUUCAAACAUUCAUCAUAAAAUCACAAAAGUGAAACCCAAAACCGUAAUACUCAUAGUAAAAUUAAACAAAAAGACUUACUUUCAUUAUCGAAUAAAAUUCAAACAGAAAAACUAUGAAAAAAAUGAGCUGAGCUAGGAAAACUGUGUACGAGAGUUAGCAGAUAGCGAGCUCCUCGAACACUAUAAGAAACGAACAACAAUCUCCAAACUCAUCACUCAUCAGAUCAACACAUUAAGAAAACUAUAUGAAAAGUAAUAAAAAAGAAAAAAGAAAAAAGAAAAAAGAAAAAAAGAAGAAGAAGAAAAAGACCAUGGUAGCCCAACAUAUGUGGCGGGAAAAUUACAGCCUCUUCCCNNNNNNNNNNNNNNNNNNNNCCCUACCUCUCUCUCUCUCUCUCUCUCCAACCAUGGCCUCCGACUCUUUCAACAACGGUAACUUCUCUCUCUAUUUCUCUUGAAUUGCUUGUUAACCCUAAUUUCCCCAAUUCGGUUUGUUUCUGAUUCUUCCCAAUUUCAAUUCCAACAGGCCCUUCGUCCCCGGAUGACUCCAUCUCCAGCCCAAUCGGCAACACCUUCUCUUCUCCCGCCGACGCAGCCGCCUCUCGCCAGAGACGCCGCCGCCGAUCCACCACCCCCACCGCCUUCGCAACCCCUCCGGCCUCCCGCUUCGCCGCCUCCGAAACAACCCCCACCCCAUCCCGCAGGCGCCGCACCAACGGCACCGCGCGUACUCCCCCCUCCACCGAUGACGCGCCGCCGUCCUCCGAAGCCGGCGACAGCUACGGCAUGGACGAGGACCGCCCCACCUUCGUCUGGGGCACCAAUAUCAGUGUUAAUGAUGUUAAGCUCGCCAUUAUUAGGUUUUUGAAGAACUUUCGGGACCAAUCGCAGAAUUCGGAGAGCGAGUAUCUUACUGAAGGGAAGUACAUUGAGGCCAUCAAGAGGAUUCUGGAAAUGGAAGGCGAUUCGCUCGAUGUGGAUGCUCGAAAUGUGUUUGAUUACGAUCCGGAUUUGUAUGCCAAGAUGGUUAGGUAUCCACUUGAGGUUCUUGCUAUUUUCGACAUUGUUUUGAUGGAAAUGUUGCCUGUCAUAAACCCCUUGUUUGAGAAGCACAUUCAGACUCGGAUUUUCAAUCUCAAAACGUCAACUUCCAUGAGAAAUCUGAACCCAUCUGGUUAGUUUUCUUGGCCUUUUUUUCGGUUUGUUGAUGAUCAUGUGUGAUGUGGAUUAUUGAGAAAUGGGCUGAUUGGACUAUCUAAUCUGUUUGUAGAUAUUGAGAGGAUGGUUUCGAUAAAAGGAAUGAUUAUUCGAUCUAGUUCAAUAAUACCCGAGAUAAGGGAAGCAAUAUUUAGAUGCCUAGUGUGUGGUUAUUACUCCGACCCUCUUCCUGUAGAAAAAGGUAGCCACUACUUCAGCUUGUGUUUGUUAGCUUAAUUUUGUCUGUAAAUUUAUCUAUAGUUUGCUGAAUGUUGAAUGCUGUCAGGGAAAAUAAAUGAACCUACUAGAUGCAUGAAGGAAGAGUGUCAAGCUAAAAAUUCUAUGACACUUGUCCACAAUCGUUGCAGGUACUUCAUGGCAUUAUGUUGGAACUUUUGAGGUCACACAGUUAAUAUAUGAGGGCGCUUUUAUGCUGUUUUAAUUGUUAGGUGAUCAGUAUAUGGCCAGAGAUGGUGCAUUUUAGCCCAUUUUGCUUUCUUUCAAACUUACGAAUUUUAUAUUUGUUUCGUACUUGCAUCCUAAACUUGUAGUGGGUAUCCUUUAGUGUAAUCUUUUGAUGUCUUUGUAUGAUUGUUGCUUGCUAGAAGCUGUCGGGCACAUAAACAGAAAUAAAUUAAUUUUUUGUUCAUCUUUAAAGUUAAAUUACAUUGGUUUGUCAUCUGUAACCUUUUUUCUUUUCUGGGGGCAUUCUGUCUGAUUGCAGUUUCGCUUAAAGCAUUGUUGCAUUUUAGUGGAAUAUAAAUCAGUAUAAAUCUGAGUGUUCAGAUACUACUAUGGAAAGAUGGGUACCAAAUAUAAUAAGAUUGCAAGUGCCAGUAAUUGCUUUUCUUCAGUUGAAGCAAAGUCCAAAUCCGUUUUCUUGGAAUUGUGACUAAAAAUGGGCGAAAUAUAUAAUCUACUGCUUUUUUUCUGAACUUGUUGGGAUGAACUUUGCUCAGGAAAACAGCUAAGAGUGAGAGGUUGAACAACUAAACUUUUAUCAGCUGAACUGAUUCAGCUAAUAAUUAAUUUGAAAAUGUGACGUCUGUAGUUUUGUGACCUGAGUUUUGUAAUGAGACUAUUUUAAUGGGUCCUAUAUUGUGAAUCAGGUUUACUGAUAAACAGAUUGUGAGGCUCCAGGAGAUGCCUGAUGAGAUCCCUGAAGGUGGUACACCACAUACUGUGAGUUUGCUGAUGCAUGACAAACUGGUUGAUGCUGGAAAACCAGGUGACAGAGUUGAGGUAAGGCCACUAUGGCAUAUGAAAAUGUCUUGUCAAUCCUAAGAAAGAUGAAGAUAUAUUUUGUUUAUCUGGUCAAUUUGUUUGUUUCCAAUAGGUCACUGGAAUAUAUCGGGCUAUGAGCGUAAGAGUUGGACCAACGCAGAGAACUGUAAAAUCAUUAUUCAAGGCAUGCUUCUGUCAUUUUGUCUGUUGACAGGUCCUUUUCUCUUUGUCAUUGAGGUGGCUGUCUAUAGUGCAUACAUUGAUCUUUUUCUUUUGAUUGCAGACUUACAUCGAUUGUCUGCAUAUAAAAAAGUCUGACAAGUCAAGAAUGCUGGCGGAGGAGCAGACGGAAGUUGAGAAUUCCUUGGUUGGAGAUUCAGAAGAGAUUAUUUUUGAUGAAAAGAAGGUAGAUCAAUUUAUACUAUCUUUUCACUUGUACUUGCAUCAGGCUUUGUUUGUAUGCUCUCCACUUAUCAGCUCCCAUUGUUUUAAUUGCAGGUGGAACAAUUGAAAGAGCUGGCGAAACAGCCUGAUAUAUAUGAUCGCCUAACCAGAUCUUUGGCACCAAAUAUCUGGGAGUUAGACGAUGUCAAAAAAGGCCUUCUUUGCCAGGUGCAUUUUAUGUUACACUUACCGAUUCUCUCAGUACUUGGUUAAAUAAUAGCAAUUAUCAAUUAGUUCGUUUCAUUAUUUUCCGAACUGACGCUCAUAUCCAUUGUCCUAAAUGCAGCUUUUUGGUGGGAAUGCUUUGAAGUUGCCAUCUGGUGCUAGGUUCCGUGGGGAUAUUAAUAUUCUUCUUGUUGGUGAUCCUGGAACCAGCAAGUCCCAGCUGCUCCAGUACAUACACAAGCUUGCUCCCCGUGGCAUAUACACUAGUGGAAGAGGGAGUUCUGCUGUUGGUUUGACUGCUUAUGUUGCGAAGGAUCCUGAAACAGGGGAAACCGUAAGAUAUAUCUUGUUUUUUUUUCAAACGUUUAUCUUAGGCAUUUCGUAAUAACAAUAUGAAGUUGACUGGAAACAAUAUACAACUUCUCAGGUUUUAGAGAGUGGAGCCUUAGUUUUGAGUGAUAGAGGCAUUUGUUGCAUUGAUGAAUUUGACAAAAUGUCUGACAGCGCAAGGAGCAUGUUACACGAGGUUGGUUGUUCUGUUAUUAUUAUUAUAAAUAUAUGGCAGACAUGUACAUUUCUUGACAUGCUAUGACAGUUUGUCCUUUUGUAACUGUAACUUUCUUUCACCUCUUGGAAAUUCUAUAUUCUCUAGCUAUAGCACAAUUGCUUAUCUUUAACUAUUACUAUGUCCAGUAAGAUUACUAUGCUUUUGUAUUAUCUAUAAAUCAAGACUUUCGGGAAACUGCAUUCUAGUAUACCCAUUGAUCAAUCUAUUUCUAGUAUAAACCAAGACUGUUGAGAAAUUAUUAACCAUUUUGAUGGAUCUGUUUUUAAUUAUGCUUAUUUUCACAGGUGAUGGAACAGCAAACUGUGUCAAUAGCAAAGGCUGGAAUCAUUGCUUCCCUUAAUGCUAGGACAUCAGUCCUGGCUUGUGCGAAUCCAAGUGGAUCUCGCUAUAAUCCUCGCUUGUCAGUAAUUGACAACAUUCACCUUCCUCCUACCUUAUUAUCUAGGUAUGAAAUACUUAUCCUAUCCCACUAGAAUGACCAUAGUUUGAGCCAAUAAUGACAAUAAAAGGGCCUAAACUUGGAAUGGACUAUGUAUUUGGCGACUGUUCAUCUAAUUUAAGGAGUUGGUGUAAUAAUUUUGUAUUUCAUUGAAUACUUUUCUGAGGAUUCGUCUAUACAUUAAUAACAUCACCCAUUUUUGUUAUUAACACACCCCAUCUAUGAUGAGAGCCAAUCAUGAAACAAAUUUAAGUGGUAUACUUGUAAAUAAAAUUGAAAUGUGUGGAUAGGAAAAUAGAUGGGGUGUGUUAAUAACAAAAAAGGGUACAUCAGUUAGACUUGCUAGAUAUGUAUAGAGGUAGACUAACUCGAGAUCAAGCCAAACUGGUGGUACUACAUGACAUCAGUCUACCUCUGUAUCAAACCUGUCUACUUGAUGUACCUUUUCAUAAAUGUAGUGUAGAACAUUCCAUUUUCUGAUUUUCUCUUUUUGUUUUUUGGUGUAAUGGGAUUGUCAAAUUUGAGUAUUACAAAGCCAUUGAUAAUAUAGUAGAGUUUAUUACUGACUUGAGCUGGUCUGGUGAUUUUCUCAGGUUCGAUCUGAUCUACUUAAUCCUUGACAAGGCUGAUGAGCAGACAGACAGGCGCCUUGCAAAGCAUAUUGUUGCUUUGCACUUUGAGAAUCCUGAGGUCUGGUGGAUAUGGUUUUUCUGUUCAAGCAAACUGAUAUGACUAAUCCUUUGUUUUACUUAAAUUGCCAUGUCUCCACUUGCAGACUGUACAGCAGGAUGUUUUAGACCUUCCCACGUUGACUGCUUAUGUUGGAUACGCUCGAAAGCAUAUUCACCCACAAUUAUCUGAUGAAGCUGCAGAGGAAUUGACUCGUGGCUAUGUAGAGUUGAGGAGGAGAGGAAAUUUUCCAGGCAGCAGCAAGAAGGUAGAAUGACACAGCAUCUUCCUACAUAUCUCUUCCUGUGAUACUUAUAUUGCAAUAGUAUUAAAACAAUUUUACUGCCUUGUACAUAGGUCACAGAUACCAGUUUUUUAUAGUACUAGAUUUUUCUUCAAUGGUAACAAAUGGCAGUUAAUAGAUAUAAGUUAAUUGUUCCCUCCACAUAGAAAAAAAAAAAUCCUCUCUUUUAUCGUGCUUAUCUUAUUUGGGAUGCCUAUAUAUCAUAUUCAUUUGUGUAAUAACUGUAACAGGUGAUAACUGCAACACCUAGGCAAAUUGAGAGUUUGAUACGUCUUAGUGAAGCUCUAGCUCGGAUUCGGUUUUCAGAAACGGUUAGCAAAGUUUGCAUUCUACCUUGAUGUUUUACACUAAGAUAAACUAAACUAAACCAUGCCCUAAUAUAUGCAGGUUGAGAAGCAUGAUGUAAUGGAGGCAUUUCGGCUUCUAGAAGUUGCAAUGCAACAAUCAGCAACAGAUCACUCCACGGGUACAAGUUUACUGCAGUUGUACAUGUUUUUUCUAUUUCUACCUCCCAUGAAGAGAAACAGUUUAAUGUCAUGAUUUUUUUACUCUAGGAACAAUUGACAUGGAUCUUAUUAAUACUGGAAUUUCGGCAAGUGAAAGAAUGAGACGGGAAAAUCUAGUGUCAUCAGCCCGCAACAUAAUUAUGGAGAAGAUGCAACUUGGGGGACCCUCAAUGCGUUUGUUAGAGGUAUGAUUUCUGAUAAGAUGUGUAUAGAAUCAAAAUCCAAAUGUCUAAAAGACCUAAAACUGACAUCUCAUUGUUCUUAAUUGAUUUUCUGUAGCUGCUGGAGGAGCUGAAGAAGCAGAGUUCUAGCAGCGAAAUUCACCUCAACGAUGUUAGUACAUUCGUCUCUCACCCUCUCUCUAUCGCAUACGCAAUAGUCUCACACUAAUGUGCUUUUAUUGGUAUUUCAGCUUAGGAAUGCACUGGCUACACUUGCAAGUGAGGGAUUUGUGGCUGUUCAGGGCGACAGUGUCAAAAGAGUGUGAUAGGAGGACCAAGAAACGUAUUGGUUGACAUUUGACAUUGCUUUUUAAUUUGUAACAAGAGGCUACUCAAGAUUUUAGUCGAAUGUUCAGUGCUUUUGCUGGUUGAUCAAAUGUAUGUAAAAUUAUUUUCAUGUAGUUGGCAUUAAGGAGUGGAAUGCCAUCAAGUAGCAAGUCGUUAAAGGUAUUGAAGUCUAAAAAUUUGGAAUUUGCAGAAAGUAUUGAUCUUAAUCUGUAAGAGUGCUGAAGUGCUUGGAUCCUCUAUUUCUCAUAUCAGUUUAAAGCAACUAGGUUUCUCAUUUCAGCAACUCAGGGUUCACCUUGUGGCCGGAUCUCAUACUUGUGCAGCCUUAAUUUUCUUCAAGUGCUGCGAGAAAGAAAGAAGUACUAUGCUGGAAGAGAAUACAGAAACUCAAAUUGAAGGCUGGGCACCAUCUUGAAAUAAGCGUAGUCCUCAAAAUUUUAGCCAACCUCGUUAUAACUCUUCACUUUAUAUUUCUCAUUGGACCCGAGUGCAGUAUUUGGCCACCUUUACAACAAUCAAAUUCAUCUCAUAGCAGUCAUGUUGUUUAGAUCUGCACAACAUGAUCCAAAUACUUACGGGUUCAUUUGAUCUGCUUAAUAAUCGUAUAUGCAACAGCUCACUGUUGGCAAGUAAUCCGUCUCGGCAAAACGAUUUUUUUUUUUUGUAUUAGGAGUAAGAUUCUCAUUUACGGACCCCUUGUUGGCCUUUAUGCUAAUUAGGUUUAUGAUACUUUUAUUUAUAACUAGAAUUAUGACCCGCGUUUUGUUGCGGGAUUUGUAAGAUUUGUGUUCAUAAUUUUUCUUCUUUUCUUCUCAUUUAUAAUGUAUCAAAAUGCAAGAUCUAUAUAGAUUGAAUUUGAAAUACUUAACAACAAAACACUUAUUAUUGUAGUAAGAGUAUAUCUUACUAUCAUAUGCAGAGGGAGAGAAUUCGUCUUGUGUUCGUUCGUCGUCCUCUUCUCCUUUCUCCUCCUUUGUCUCUCUCUCUCUCUCCUCGAUCAUGGUCGAAAUUUAUGGAAACCCAAAACAACGCAGGAGACUGUUAAUCAAAACCAAGCAGAUCAGUGAGAUCACCCAGAGAAAGCAAAUUCAACAAACUGUAACCAUUCGCUAGGCUUUGCUCUAUCGCCGCAGCAAAUCCCUAAUCCCUCUGUAUUUGAUCAAGGAAGAGAAGUGAUAUUUCUUCUUUUUCGGAGGUCGAUCUCUCUAUUCCUAUGUAUAGAUCUCUCUCUCUCUUCCCAAUUUCUUAUGUUCUUUCUCCUCGAUUCUUUCUUUCACUUUUUUAUCGGAGACAGAACAGAGCAAAUUUCAGAUGGUCCUUUCUAGAUAGUGUGCGAACUGCGAAACCCAAUCAUAUUUUUUUUUUCCUAGUUUACGAGAGAGACAGAAAAGAAAAAAGAAAAAAAAAAAAAAAAACUGGCCCGAGUUCAACAUUGUUUUUACUGUAGACAAACAAUGUUUAUAAACAGUACUCAAUCAAUAGAUAUAUAGUAAACUAGUCAAUCACCCGCGCGUUGCUGCGGGCUAGGAAAUUUUUGACAAUCACUGUGAUUCGGCUCAGUCUAUUUCAAGGUAAUCUAAACGGACAAAGUGAAAGAGAUAUCAUAUCAUUCCUUGUGGUGUAAAUCUUAUUAUAAUUUUUCAACAUACAGGUGAUGUAGAAAGAUGCAAUAAUGUACUUAUUUUACUCUAAACCAGAACUCGUAAUCACAUCUCAAACAUAAUGAAAAUCCAUUCAUUAUAUUACUUAGGAAAACAAAAGUGAGGCAAUGAUUGCUGCGAAUAGGAUUUGUACAUCUUUAGUGUUCCACCUGUUUCACUUCCACUUGAACUGCGACUUAACUCAGGAAAAAGUUAUUGUAUUAUCAAAUGAUCAACCAUCUUCAUUUCUGGAAAACCUGUCAUCUAACCAACAUAAUAUGAUUAAAGCCUGAAAUAUCGAAUUGCCAUACAAUCCAAAAUGUGCAUGCAGAUCAAAGUAUAUAUACCAAGAUAGAUUAAUUUCAUAGCUGCUAGAUAUUUAUUAAGUGUGAUCGAUCAUGCUUAUCAAAACCAGGGAAGACAUUGCUUUCGCAUUAGUUCAUGGUAUAUAGUAAAAUUUCAGAAGGUACAUAACACCUUUCAAUUUCACAAUAUGUUUUCUAUAUCAGAAAUUCACCUCUUGAAAUGCUAGUAGUAUGAAUUAUCCAUGUUAAAAUGAACAUAUCUACAGUUCAUGACAUGAAUCCCACUCUUAUCAUUGCUACCAUCAAAACCAAAAUUAGGGGAUUAGGCACAGAGCCAAAAAGGUUCAAAUUUGUACUUUCUUGAUGAGUCUUUUUACCACUUCCAUCAUAACUUACUAUCUUUCUACUCUUAAAAGUACGCCUUCAAGUCCAUUGGUAUACACCCGACUCUCCCCUGUGAUGAGAACACAACUUCUUGUAGUCUGAAAUAGUUAUCACCCCUCAAUCAGCACCCGCUUCUUUCAUUCCAAUUUUCUUCAACUAACUUAAGGAAAAUAGAACAAUAUUUGUUUCUACCAUUUGUCUAACUCAAUUUGUAAUCCUAAUAAACUAUCAGAAAAUAAACAAAGUCUGUAUCAACUACUCCUCUUUUUUGUCCCCUGACCAUGCACCAUCCAAAAUCUAAAAAGGUACACAAUUAUGUCAGAUAGUAUCAUAUACAAUCAUGCUCAUAAUAGAUCUAAAUCUUUAACAUAAAUAUUUGAAAUGAUAAAUUUUCUAUGUAAAUAUCUCUAGGAUGAUGCAGAAGCGGCUAUUGAUCAAUACCCAUGAUUAAAACAUCAACUAUAAUAUAGGAAGUGCAUAAGGUUCAAAUGGAAAAUUAAAAAAGGAGGGAAAAAAAAACCGAGACAUUAAAUAAGGACAUAUACUAAAACAAAAACAGAUCUAAUAAAGACACAUGCAGAACUAAAACAGGAUAUCCUAUUUCGUCAAAUUUAUUAUACAUGAAGUUAGGUUUAUGCCAAAAGUUCCUUUUUAUAGUAUUGUUUAACUAUAUACAUGUUUCGGUAUGAUCGUUUAUCUUCUGUUACCCAUUCAUGUCUUCUUAAGUUUUGGAAAAAUCUUCUUCUUGAGGAUGUAGCUGCAAAAUACAACAUGCUUCAAAAGUCAGUGGUAACAUAUGUUAAGCUUGGUAACAAAGAACACCACAUCUGCUAUUAGUAAGAAGAUGCACGUCAUUUUAUUAACCUUUUAAUUAAUGACAAGCCAAAAAAUUUAAAUCAUAUAUCUACAUCAUUCAAUCACUCUCUCAAUGCUUUUAAAUAGUAUGGCUAGCAAAGACAGUUGUAACGUGCAAGGAUAUAGCUACCUCAAAUCUCAGAAAAACCUUUCCAACUCAAUAAUACAAUACAUAUGGUUCUGCAAUAAGUUACACAUUGUUUCUUUUUCUUCUUCUUUUCCUUUUUUUUUUUUUUUGCUUAGUUUUACUACUACUGACUUUUCAUGAACAAUACUUCUCUGGGUAAAUAAAUUAGAAUCACACAAUGUAAAAACUACAACCACAAUCAAGACUUCACAAACAAUUUCAAUAUAGUAAAUAUAUUCAUAAACAAUUUUUAUGCUUAUUCAAAUUUCUUGGAAGUAUAUAAUAACACACAAAUUUGAAACCUCUCAUCAGACCCAGAACUUUAACAACAAUUAGAACGAAAAAAUAAAUAAAUAAAUAACGCCGGCUAAGAUGCGCCGGCUAAUCUCCGAGUCCAUCUGCAGAUUCAACUCCUCAUCUAAGUCUCCUAUAAGCCCACCGGAGCCCCAGCCGAAAUCUAUGGCAGAGGAGGAAGCCGUGGAAUGGGCAGAAUAAGAAGAAGGGGGAGAAGAAGAAAGCGGUGAAGAUAAAGCAACAUCCCUGCUAUGCUUCUAUCCUUAUUUCUCUGAUCUGAGAUGACAGAAUCAAAAACAAUUUCAGAGAAGAGGAAGCUUACCAGAUUCGGAAUCACAGAAUAUUUGGUAGGUAUCCCUCUAAGCGACGACCCCCUAUCUGAAGCUUACCUCGAGUCUAAAUCUCUGUUAGGAUCAUUCCCUUUACCUAUUGCUCUCCUAGCCCAGUAUCCCUAAUGCCCAGCUCCUCAGCCCAACAACAAGCUCUGUGCACAACUAGUACAUCCAGCUUCACGCCUCUGCGACUCUUGAACUCACUCCCUGCAUUUCCAGUUUGCUAUCUUGUCUCUUUAGACAAGUUCCAAUCUUGUUUGCAUUCAGUUAGUGGUGGUCCUGAGCCACAACGGUCUAUUUUGAAUUGUAACCAAACUCUUAUAUGUUGCUGCCUUCCUUGGAGAAGAUUAUCAGAAAAGGAAAUGCAAUUGCUUUAGUUUAUAUGUCUUUCCCCUUUUUCCUCCUGUUAUAGUCCAUUAUCUGGUAUCAGAGACCAGCUCCGAUGCGUGGCAACCAAGUCCGGCAACCUUCGCCGGCAAUCACUGGUGGUGUUGUGCCUCCCCUUCCCACCUGCUCCGCUACCUUCUCUGGGCUUAUCUUCCCAACCAAUUCCCUCCUCAUCUCACACAACCAUUUCCCCACAGCCACCUACCCACUCCCCUGCUCAACUUACUUUUGGGUCAUUACCACCAAUUCCCCACACUCCUGCUCCACCUCUUCAAACCAACAACACACAUCAAGCUAUUUACAACCCACCCCCUCACCCCUCUUCGCCUUCAUACACCUCCCCACAUCCCACACCUCCUCCCCAGCAGCACGGUUACAUUCCACCUCCACCCACCCCUCCUCCCAACAAUUUUCAACAACCGCCACACCCCCAAUACCCAGAGCCACACCAUUAUUGCCCACCUAGAGUCGACUUACCACGAUUUAGAUGAGCUCUUACGAGCUUCGUCACCCCUUAGUGACAUGGGACGAGUUCGCUUCAGCCCUCCUUUCUCGCUUUGACGGUGGCUCCGCAGUCAACUUCAAGGGUGCACUCUCUCACCUCCAACAGACAACCUCGGUGGACGACUUCAUUCUCUCUUUCACCAAGCUUUCUUGUAGAGCACUAGACUGGCCAGACAGUGAACUCCUUCACAUGUUCAUUGGCGAGUUACGACCCGAAUUACAAAAUGAUGUCUAUGUUAUGCAACCACACACCCUAGAAGAGGCCCAACGCUUGGCACGGCUCUUCGAAAACCGAAACUCACAGCUGCGCAUUCCCACAUCUUUUCGGCCACGCCCACCUACCCCUUAUUCCUAUCACCGUCCCCCGUCCUCCACCCCCACCCCCUAUACCUCUCCCCAAAACCGGCCACCACCCCCCACAACCCAACCUCCACGACCACCAUAUCUCGGUCACAACCCUCCCUCACAACACCACAAAUCACCCCACUUCCGUCAACUCUCCCCAGCUGAGCAGCGAGAACGGAGAGCAAAGAACUUGUGCUUCAAUUGUGAUGAGCAAUACUCGGACACCCAUGUGUGCAAGCGGCCUUUCAUGGCCAUUCUUGAUUGCAUCGAAGUCUCGGAGGACGGCGCUGUCGAAGAAACUGAACCACCCCACCCCGACGAUGCGGCCAUGACCACCUCUGAUGAAACCAUCUAUCCCUUGCACGCCAUCACCAAUACAAAACUCAGUGAGAUGAUGCGCUUACGCGGCUCCAUUGGCGACGUACCUAUCGAUAUAUUCAUCGAUUGUGGGGCAGCGAUGAACUUCCUUCAUCCAGAAGUAAUCGCCAAGUUGGGUACGCCUAUUUCGCCAGCAGGACCUCUACGGUUCACAGCUGCUUCCGGCCACCUCCUCACUCCCUCCGGCAUUACCGAGAACCUUACAGUCCACGCCCAAGACUACAGCUUUACAGAUUCCUUCCUUCUCCUUCCUGUUGCCGGCUGUGACCUUGUCUUGGGAGCUCAGUGGCUUGAAACAUUGGGACUCAUUGGAUGGCAUUUCAGGGAUAAGAUCAUGGUGUUCAUGGUUGAUGGGCAACGUCAUGUGUUGCGCGGCACCGUUGCCGACCCCAAUUCUGAGAUUGAUGCCUCCGUUAUCUUCGACCUCAUUCCCGGCGAACAGUUUGAACACCACCCUCCUCUCAUGCCCAUCCUAGAUCACCACCCCCCCUACCCACAGACCCGAGAUUGAAUCCCUUUUACUCCAGUUUGGACCUCUAUUUGACACUCCUUUGGGCCUUCCCCCUCACCGAUCCAUUGACCACCGAAUUCCUCUCAUUCCCAAUUGUGGACCGAUCAAUGUUCGGCCCUAUACUUAUGCUCACUCCCAAAAAUCUAAACUUGAGACUCAAUUUGCAUCCAUGCUCGCACAAGGCAUCAUUCGCCCUAGUUCUAGCCCAUUCUCCUCCUCGGUGUUGCUUGUUCGCAAGAAGGAUGAUACUUGGCGCUUUUGUGUGGAUUAUCGUGAGCUAAACGCGGUCACGGUAAAGGACCGUUUUUCGAUUCCCGUGGCCGAUGAGUUAUUUGCCGAGCUACAUGGGUCCUCCAUCUACUCCAAGCUCGACCUCCGGUCCGGUUACCAUCAAAUUCGGAUGCAUGAGGCCGACAUCCACAAGACCGCUUUUCGGACUCACGAUAGACAUUACGAGUUUGAAGUAAUGCCUUUUGGUCUUUCGAAUGCGCCCGCCACCUUUCAAGCACUCAUGAAUGAGUUAUUUCGUCAACUCUUCCGUAAAGGUGUGCUCGUUUUUUUAUGAUAUAUUGGUAUAUAGCAAGGAUUUUGAGUCCCAUUUGUUACUUUUGGAGGCCGUUUUGCACAUCUUGCACUCUAAUCAAUUGUUUGUCAAGUUAUCAAAGUGUGAUUUUGCUCAAUCAAGUGUGCACUAUCUAGGACACAUAGUAUCAGCCCAGGGAGUCUCCAUGGACCCAGAAAAAGUCAGUUGCAUCCUUCAAUGGCCUAAGCCCAAGACUGUGAAAGCUUUGAGAGGGUUUCUCGGGUUGGCUGGGUACUACCGCCGUUUUGUACGCCAUUUCAGUAUCAUCUCCAAGCCAUUAACAGACAUGCUGAAAACUAAUGGUUUAUCUUGGUCUCCGGUGUCUGAUAAAGCCUUCUCCGAUUUGAAGAUUGCCAUCACCUCUGCGCCAGUCUUGGUCUUACCCAAUUUCGACAAGGAAUUCUAUAUCGAAACCGAUGCCAGUGGCCAAGGUAUCGGCGCGGUCUUGACUCAGGAGAAGCACCCAAUUGAGUUCCUCAGUAAGUCUCUUUCUCCCCGGAAUCAACUCCUUUCUACUUACGAGAAAGAGAUGUUGGCGGUGUUACAAGCUACCUCGAAAUGGCGACAGUACUUGUUGGGUCACCAUUUCACCAUCAUCACCGACCAUCAACCGCUGCUUCACAUGUUCCAGCAACGAGUGAGCACUCCGGCGCAGUUGAAAUGGGUCUCCAAGCUCUUGGGUUUUGAUUACUCGGUCCAGUACCGUGCCGGCAAGUUGAAUACGGUUCCGGAUACCUUAUCCAGGCAGCAUGAAUUCCUCUCCAUUCAGGGAAUUUCGGCUCCGGUCUUUGAUUGCCUUUCGGCUAUAGACCGCGCCUGUCGCGCCGAUCCCCCAACCAAUGCCAUCCUCACAGCCUUGGCAGCCGGUCAAUCAGUUCCAAAACGCUUCUCUCUCCGCGAUGGCAGACUAAUGUAUAAGGAUCGUGUCUUUGUUCCUCCGACAUCAGACUGGCUUGAGAAGAUUCUCUUUGAGUUUCAUUCCACACUUAUUGCUGGUCAUUCGGGUUUUCUUCGGACUUUCAAGCGGCUCACACACAAUUUUGCUUGGCCUGGAGUACGCAACGAUGUCAAGAGGUAUGUUGCUAGUUGUGAUACUUGUCAGCGUGUGAACCAAGAAACUCAGUCUCCUUCUGGACUUCUGCAACCACUGCCUAUUCCUACUGCAAUUUGGACUGAUAUUGCUAUGGAUUUUGUUGAUGGGCUGCCUCCCUCCGAGGGCAAGACCUCUAUCCUUGUUGUGGUUGAUCGAUUGUCUAAGUAUGGUCAUUUUGUGCCAGUGUCCCACCCUUAUACAGCAGCUGAAAUAGCAGAGGUAUUCACCAAGGAAAUCUUUCGCCUUCAUGGCAUGCCUCGUACUAUUGUCAGUGACAGAGACCGUGUGUUCAUCUCCAAUUUUUGGGAAAGCUUCUUCAAGCUUCAGGGCACCAAACUAUGUCGCAGCUCCGCAUACCAUCCCCAAACUGAUGGUCAAUCCGAGGUCUUGAAUCGAACCUUGGAGCACUUUCUGUGUUGCUUCAUCAGCGACAAGCCAUCGACUUGGGUCAAUCUCCUCCAUUGGGCCGAAUGGUGGUACAACUCCACCUUUCACUCCGCCAUUCAAAUGUCUCCAUUUCAGGCUGUGUACGGCCGCCCUCCUCCCACAGUUCAGCAGUACAUACCUGGUACUACUUCCAACAAUGCGGUUGAUGUUGCGUUGCAGAAUCGCGACACUCUCUUGAGCCACCUCAAGGAUCAUCUGGCCAUCGCUCAAAACCAUAUGAAGCAACAAGCUGACAAGCACCGGACUGAGCGUAGCUUUGAGGUGCAUGAUUGGGUUUUCCUUAAACUUCAUCCUUAUCGGCAGCAAUCAUUGGUACGCAGACCUUCCCAAAAGCUCGCUCCCCGUUUUUACGGUCCAUUCCAAGUUGAGGCCAAGAUAGGCAAAGUGGCCUACAAGCUGAUCCUUCCUGCCAGUUGCAAGCUCCAUCCCAUCUUCCAUGUCUCGUUACUCAAGAAGCGAGUCGGCAGCGGCACUCCUGUGGCCACAACUCUGCCUCAUUUUGACGCACAAGGACUCAUUGAUUGGCAACCAGACCGGGUCCUUGACAUGGCAGUGGUUACCAAGCGCAAGAGAGCAGUCACGAAAUGGCUGGUGGCUUGGAAAGGUUUACCUCUGGAAGAUGCUACAUGGGAAGAGGCGUACUCCAUGGUGCGCAAGUUCCCAGACUUUCAAGCUUGAGGACAAGCUUGUUCUCAUGGGGGGAGGACUUGUUAGGAUCAUUCCCUUUACCUACUGCUCUCCUAGCCCAGUAUCCCUAAUGCCCAGCUCCUCAGCCCAACAACAAGCUCUGUGCACAAUUAGUACAUCCAGCUUCACGCCUCUGCGACUCUUGAACUCACUCCCUGCAUUUCCAGUUUGCUAUCUUGUCUCUUUAGACAAGUUCCAAUCUUGUUUGCAUUCAGUUAGUGGUGGUCCUGAGCCACAACGGUCUAUUUUGAAUUGUAACCAAACUCUUAUAUGUUGCUGCCUUCCUUGGAGAAGAUUAUCAGAAAAGGAAAUGCAAUUGCUUUAGUUUAUCUGUCUUUCCCCUUUUUCCUCCUGUUAUAGUCUAUUAAUCUCACAAAGAUCUGAAAUUGCUUUUUAGUGUAAUUGGAAUCCAGAAAGAGCACAAAGAGAGAAGGAAGAAGGAAGCGAUACUGAGAGAACGACUCUCUCUCCCCUGUUUACUCUCAACCGACAAAAAAAAAGAAAAAAAGCCCAACAUAGAGGCACAAAGCUCUUACAACUCAGGGUGGCAUCACUGUUUUUUACUGUAGAUGAACAGUAAAAUAAACAGCACUCAACAAAUAGAUAUAUAAUAAACUAGAAAUUAUACCUGUGCGUUGCUACGGGAUUUAUUGGCAAUAAACUUUGUAUUCUCAUGCGUUGCUACGGGAUUUAUUGGCAAUAAACUUUGUAAUUUGUAUUCUAUAUAUGGGAGUAAGUGGAAUUUUACGUAUACUGAAUAUUCCAUUCUAAGAAAUAAAAAGGCCAGAACAGUGGUAUCAUGUUUAGUUCAUCGCUUGAAGAAAUAGAUGAAUUAUAAUUGAUGUCAACCGUCAACCAUAACUGAAUUAGGAAAAAUCACACUUUUUCACACUAAACUUGUGCAAAUUUUGAGUUGCUUUGGAGAGCCCCAAGCUGCUUAUCAACGUGGAAUCUUCUUAUCAACUUGAAGAUCUCAAUUAUCUGCAAGAGCAAGACAAAAUGCUGAAUCAGUAUGGUGCUUUACUCUAUACAUGUAUCCAAAAUAGUUACUUUCAGAGUGAUACUACCAUAUUAGUUAAGUUUAACUAAUCUAUACAUUUAUAUAUACAUAAUGCAAGCCUAGUUAAUCUGUAUAUGUUAACCUGUAUUGAAAAGUAUACUUUAUAGUUUAUAGUUUAUAGCAAUAUGCAAGUCAAAUGGCAAUUGCUCAUUUCUUUACUUCUCUGUGCCCCUUUUAAACAUAGUACUCACCUGUUUUCAUGUAACCACAUCUUCACACCGAUUACAAUCAAUAAAUCAUACCAUAACCUUCAACCUCAUUGGUUUUGGGAUCUUUCUGUUUGCAUAUGAAAAAUUCAGACAAUACAUGAGCCCUCAAAUAACAACUUACAUCAACCACAAACAAUAGCACACAAUAAACAUGACACAUUCCGAAUUCUUCAGACCAUAAAAUGUGCUCAACGUUGCCUUUUGUCUCUAAUCUAACUCGCUAAGCAAUUAAACAGAGCAAACUAUUAUUCUAUUGAAAAUUUACCUAUUAACCACAAAGAAACCAAACACAGCAAUUAGAGCAUCACCAACUACAACCCUACAUAUCCCAAAUAACCACGAAAUCAAAUCAUGCAAAUAUAGUUUCAAUAGAAAUAUAGCAACAAUAUAGUUUCAGAUGAAGUUGUUCUUAUCGAUCCAGUUCCAGCUUCGGUCCCAAAUGAAGUUGUUCUUCAUUUUAAUAGAAAUUAUAUAGUUUCUACAUUAUAAACAAAUUAAGAAGAAAAACAACAGAAAUUUUCCCGAAACCCCCCAUUGCAGCACACAAUACAACUAAUCCAUACAGAUUAUGAAUCUCAUCAACAACUGAGUUUAAUUUUGGCUACAAAUUCCAAACUACUAUAACGGCAAGGAACACAAUUUUGGAUGGCUUUUAUCAUUUUGUAAAUUAAAACUAAUCCGGAUAUGAAACAUGGAAAUACAAUUCAAUAGGCAUUAUCUAUCUGUAAAAAUUUCCCAAACUGCAGUCCUCCUCAACCUUAACAAAGAACUUUAUAACACUGUAACUGCAUGUAAGGCAGAAAAGUCAGUUUGUUCCUUUGGCUUUCUGUUAUUAUUUUUUUCAAAAAAAAAAUAUAGCAGACUACAUGCUACAUAGAAUUCAAAAAAAUAGUUUAAUAGUCAGCCGUUCUUUUUUUUUCUCAUUAAUAUAAUAUAUUAAUAUUAGAGCAUGAUAGUUGUAAAUAGGCGUACAUUUAAAUUAUGGAUGAGCAUAUUCAGGAAAAAAAGAGAACACAAAUGACAUGAUGAAUAUUCAAACAUCAUCAAUUUGCAUAUUCAUACAUGAUACAUGAUUAUCAAUGUUUCUCUAUGGUCUAAAACUGAGCAGUCUAAGUUGUUGCAACUUAUUUGCAGCAGCAUUUUAAUCUAAUGUUGGCAUUUCUCCAAUAGUCCAAUAUGUGUAGAGAAGGAAAAGACAUGUCAGGAUUGUCUAAAACAUGCAACACAAUCUAUUGGUGGUGAACUUGGUUUGGUUUGCAUAUAACAUGUGGGAUUAAUCAUAUAAUGGAAUAUGUUUAUUAAGCAACAAUUUAAACCUUUUCAAAACACAUUGAUGUGGGAUGAUAUAGAACUUAUAUUAAGCAAUAAAAUGUUCAGUAGUUGUUACCGUGGACUGCCUGCCCUAUUGCAGGCAGAUCAGUACACCGUUGUUUUUCCUUUUGUUUCAGUUGUCAUAAACAGCUUGGGCAAGCUUUAAAGAAACAUCCACCAAGUGAUGAAAAUCUACAAAUAGAAGCAUUACAAUAGACCAUCUAUUCCUGCAAUAUAUAUAUGUAUUAGUAAGAACACUGAAAAAUUUGGUUGAAUGCAGUAGUUAAGUAAUUAUAUCAUGCCAAAAGCAGCAACCAUUAAAUACCUUGCUGAAUAACAAUGCAAAACCUUCAUGUGAAAGUUUGCCGACUUCACAAAUGUUGCUCCAGCCUUGUCCCUUGAAAUGUCAUAUCACAAAGAUUAGAAAGCAAUCAAAAUAGCAUUAUACCAAUUGCCCAAUUGUUCAAUUGCUCAUUAUCCCCUGAAAUGAGCACUACUUUCUUUUAUCUCAUUAAAAGAAACUCAAUUGCUCAAGAAGCUCAACAAUAUACUGUAUUUCCCUAUAUGAACUAUAGAAAGCCAUUUACUUCAUAAUCAGACCCUAAAUGAACUCUAUCGAUUAGGACCAACAAUCAUUCAAUUGAAGACAUUUACUUCAUAAUCAGACCCUAAAAGCCCAAUUAAAUUGGAGACUACGACAAAAUAUCAUUAUCAAAAUAUGCACGAUCAAAUUCUUGCAAAAAUUGGGUGUCCUCGAGAACAAAUCGAUGGAAACCGAGAUAAACUAAAAAGGGCAAGCACAUGGAGAAAGAAGCAACCUACAGAUCGAAACCUUGAUAAGAAUCAAACCCAGAUCGAAUAGCAAACCUUAAACUCAGAUUACCUAGAAAUACCUGUUCUAAUCUGAGGACGGCGAGGAGAGCGAGACAACGACAUGUCAAGACUGUUCUGAUUUGAGGACGGCGAGGAUAGCGAGACAACGGCAUGUCAGAAAUUGAGAGAGGAACGACAGUGGAUAGAGAGAGAGAGAGAGAGAGCAGAAAGAUAGGGAGAAGAAAAAAAUCAGAAGGUCUCUAGAUCGAUCGGGAAGUUUCAUGAAUGAGGAUCGAUAGAAAGGCUAGAAUGGGUACAACAGAGGAAGGAAGAGAUGAAAAUCCCUACCUAGACUAAUCUCUCCUAUUGUUACUCACCUUUUAUAGAUAAACUCAGACAAAUCCCUCUUCCUCUCCUUUCUCCUCUUCUCUCUGAAAUUUGUCGCUGAACGGAAGAUCAAGAAAGAUAGUCGGUGAUGUUGUUGGUAUCUGAAAGAUGUCACUGCUCUUUCCUCAACAGGUCUCGAAAUUUCUAGUUGCAGGUCCUACUGUGUCUUAUUAAGUGAAGGCCCAACUGUGUGAGUGUGUUAUUAAGUCUUACCAACAACAGUAAUUAGCAACAGUAUUAAAAACAGUGAAUUUAAUCGUCUGUAUAAUAAACGAAAAAUAUAUGUAUGGUAAAUGACCUGUAUGUAUAUGUAUAGUAAACGAAAAAUAUAUGUAUGGUAAAUGACCUGUAUGUAUAUUUUAUAUAGACAUGACACUUGACAAGAAUGAUCUUGGGCUCUGGGCAAGGAUUCUUAAACAGUGACAGGCUAUUAAGGGUCCGUUCAGGCCUUGGCCUUUGGUUCGCGUCACUGAGGUACGUCUUCGCCUCCCCUAGUUUCAAGCUUAAAGCCAGGUCUGGAGCUCGCAGGGGUUCUGCUAGGUUUACUGUUGACUCUUUCGACAAAGCUUUCUGGGAAGAGAAAAAUGAGUGAGGAAGGGUUGAUCAAAUAGGAUACCCAAAAGAAAAGCUGAGGGUGGAUGAUCACGGAGAAGGUUUCAUGGCUGGUUCUAGGGAGGGAGUCUCAUAAGAAGCUUUGGUAAACUUGCGUUUAUUCACCUUUGAGAGAAUAAAUGGGGUCUCUUCUCGUUCCGUUUGGUAAUUCUCGCUCUCUCCUCAGUUAUAAAGUUCCAUCGCUUUCAUCUAGAUCUUGCUGACUUUAUCAUCAGAGCUUAGUAGGGCGGCACCACGGCGGUGUCCAGAAAAGUGAUCAGAUCCAUCCAUAUUCAUCCGUAGCUGACUAGCUGCAAUUCAUUAUCUCGAGCGCCCAACUCAUCCGAGAGAAGACCAAGUCCAUUUCCAGAAUAUUUACCCCCAGCCCAUUCCAUCUCGGAUUUCAACCAAACAUUUAUAUCAGGUAGUUUUGCAAGCAUUGAGGAGCUGCUGGUAAAUUAAUUAAGGCCAUUUUGUGCUCCCUCACAAAGAAACAAGGCCAAACAAUUCCCAAACUAGCUAGGAUAUCAUACCUUUGAAGGGUUUGCUGGGAACUUCCUUGCCGGUGGAAAGUCGACCCAGCACAAAAUGUAUAAGAGUGAUACGUAGUUAAUUGACCUCAAAAGUGGCAAAGGCGGUAAACCAAAAACCGAUAACCCAACAUGUCGAUCAAGCGAUGAAACUAGCUAGAUGAGCACAAAUAUUUAUAUCUCAUCAAACAUUUUGAACAGAAUGAGACGCCAUGCCAGUCGUGAAUCGCUGGUUCGGUGGCGACGAUCCUGUUUUCAUGUACUCCAUAUGACUGUUGGCUACUUAGUUUUAUAAACAUCAAAACAUUGAACCUAAUAUAUUACAUGGAAACAAAGGAAGCCUUUUUAUGUUUGUUGCUCCUCUCGUCGCAUGCAUACAUGCAAGAUUGAUUCAAUCAUGGCAGAAAAGUUUAAACCCUGGACUUGUGAAUAUGCCCAAAAAAAAAAAAACGUCGUACACUUGAACCCGUAACCUGCAGAAAUCUCUUUAGGAGUACAUUGAACUUGUUUCCUGCAGAAUCCCAAUCGGAAUUAUUCAUUUUCCCCUUCCUUUAUCACAUCUUUGCACAUACAUACAUACCCAUAAAAUAAAAAUCAUUACUCACCUACUAUACUACCUAAUCAUGAGAUUUCCAUUGAGAGAGAGAGCAUAUUUAUAAUAAGCUUCUUUAGGGAGUGAUAUAUAUGCCUGCAGCAUGCUUUCUGCAUAUAUGUUGUUGAUUUACCUGCUAAGAAACAGUAUCCCAUGCCUUCUAUAUAAAGCUAGAAAGAUUAAUUGACCUAAAAUUGAAGCAUUAUCGGCAAUUAACUUGUCCCUUAUCAUAUGACCAUUAUUAAUUGGCAAUCCUCCAGAAGGUCCUUAUAUACGAGAAUCCGCUGUUAUCCUACAUAUAUAUAAAUAUGGAUCCCUACAUUAUGAGAACUUAACCAGAACUGCAAUGAAAAAUGACUACUUUUAGUUAAAGUUAUAUAUAUGUAGGUAUUCCAUCUUUCGAAGAAUGUACAAGAGGUAUCAAUCUUUUCCUAUUAUUAAUCUAGCUAGCUAGGAUAUAUAAUCGAUCAGGAUAUGGGGUUUUCUUUAACUAAUAAUACUAGCUGCUUUCUUCUAAAGUCUCGAAUUUUUAAAACAAGAUGCCCAACUGCUAGCUAGCUAGUCUUUAUACAUUCUGUACUACAUAUUUAGGUUACAAUAUGUAUAUAUAUGCACCAUCAGCGCUAUUUGGUGGCGAUUCCUCUCAGAAAAUUCUGCUAAUAUUCCAUGCUCUGAACAAGGGAUUUAUGCUAUAAACCCUAAACCAAAGUAUAUGAAUGUACAAAGGUAAUUACAACUACUUGUUAGAUAAAAUAAUUAAGACAUGAAAAAUGCUAUAGAGAGGUUUUUAUCCCAUACUAGUAUAAGUCACACAACAGAAUGGAGUUAACACCCCACAUCAUGGGAAUUAAAAGAACAAUAUGUACAAAACCCACUGUGAGCACGCCAUUCAAACAUGGGAUAAUUAUACAAUGUGCUUCUUAAUUAAGGGACUAAAUUUGAAGGACAAGUGCAGGACAAUGAAUAAUUCAAUUGGUUGCAUUCAACACCACUACUGUUGAUACCACCAGUUCAAAGAGCUCAAUCUAGACAUGUAUAGGCUAUUUGUCCUUGGUUAGGUAUAUCUUAUUAUGACAAAAUAGUUAUAUAUGCUAGUUAGUUGCCUCUUAGGCGAAUUUUAGACUUCUUAUGUUAUGUAUUAUACAGAAACAUAUGAAACUUAUGUUUUGUAGUUUCCUGUUUUCUUUUAAUGAAAUCGAAAAAAAACUUAUGUUACUAAAUCAAUGAUCAGACCCAAUGUUUUCUUAAUUUUGCACUAAAUAGCAUGCAAAUGAAUUACAAUUAGUAAGGGUACGUCAUAUACAAUAUGUCUUUCCUUAUUCUUUAGUGCUAGAUACAAAAUGCAUAACAAAUUGAUUGAGACUUGAGACUGCAAUAUUUAUAGUUUGAUCUUAUUUGUUCUCUGUACACAAAACAGUGGAUCAAUUCAUGAUGUAACCUCUAUUUGAGAUGAAAUAAAACACCUUUUACUCACAAAAAAAAGAAAAAAAACAGAUGCAGGAAUGGGAAAAGGUUGAUUCUAAGUUCGUAAAACAACUAGUUAACUGUUAGAAUUACUUGAACUUGAAGCCGAGGUUACCGCUAAAUAUAUCUAUAGAAGACAAAUUGGAAGACACUGAAACCAUAUUAUUCCACUAUUAACUAGUAAUACUAAUGGAUUCGAACAAGUCGAUCACAUGCAUAUCUGAGACAUGGGAAUUGAACAAGCUAGUUUAGCAGAAACUAUACUACUGGAUGGUGAGAACCUGUAGUCCAACAUACAAGUAUAUAUUUGAUGAGAUCAGAAAGAUAUAUUUGACGAGAUUGAUUUUAUUUGCAUUUCAUAAUUGUUUAAUUGGUAGAAGGCAAAACUAGCUAUUUGAGAAUAUGAUAUAUACUCCUUACUUCUUUUGAUUACAAGAGAGGAUUCAAGCUGAAGAACCUAAUUUGUAAAGAAUCUAAGAUGAGUGGUUUUGGAAAAAUUGCGUACCUGCAGGCAUGGAAGAAUUAAAUGGAUUAACCAAUUGAUAUGAAAAAGAAGUUGGAAGAUGUGGUUGAUCUGCUGCAGAAGCUGAAGUAGUGUAACAACUCAUCUGAUGAACAGCAGGGCCUUGAUCAUAGAGAAUGCCCCUGAAUACAUGGCCACCUAUAGUCACACUUGUCUGAUAAGCAUACUGAUCCAGAUCCACCAUAUCGUCCAUGGAGCUCACUCGAACACCCUGAAAUUUCGCCAUGGUAUUCACUUCAGCAGGAAAAUUAUUAGCUUCUUGAUGAUCUCGAUCCAGCCCUUCCAUUGAUAGAUUGACUUCAGUAAAAACCCAAUCAACAAAAUGAUCGAAUCAAUCAUGCAUAUCCAAUCAAGAAAUUAUGUAACUAUAUAUAGAGUAAAACAGUAAAAGACUGGAAAUGAAUCGAUCCAGAUUUCAACAGUUAUAGAAGGUAGAUAUUCUAGAUCUCUAAUAAUUUCCAUGGCCAUUGAUUUCCAGAAGUUCAUAUGCACUGAAGGCUAGGGUUUUAAGUAUAGGCACAAUAUUCCUCAACAGAGAUCUAUAGCUAGCUGUUGUGAGUGAAAAUCAAUUCCAGUACACACAUACAUACCUAAUAUAUAUAAACUGAAUGUCGACCUAAACUGAUCUGUACAGUGAUAACUAGUAGUACCUGCAGAUGAUGAACAGGGGUUGUGUUGUCUUAGCCUCUUACUAGGGUUGAUGAAGACGUGUCCUUGAUCAACAGCAAGACGCUGUUGCUGGUGGUAAUCAUCAUAGCUGUGCUGCUGCUCAUGAAGUAGGCUUCUUUUGUAGAGAGGAACCCAAGUCGAUUUGACGUGUGUUUGGCACUGAAACCCUUUGUUCUUACAACAAGUCCUGCAUCUCAUGUACACACACUCCUUCUUUGCUUUAUUCCCACAGUCUUCGCACCUUGACCUUGAUCCCAUUGUUAAACCCUGUCCUCCUCCUCCUCCUCCUCCUUGUCUCAGCCUCACCAUUGAUCUUUCAUCGAUCACUAAGAUCGAAUAAUCACGACUGUAUAUAUAAAUACAACUACGUAUUUAACCGAUAAGUUUGAAGAUCUUACUAGCUAGUUUCCUUCUUAUUUUCGAUGGAACAAUUAAGCUAGCGAGAGGAAGAAGACUGGAGGUUCUGGAGAAGAUCACUUUGAUUUCUAUGGGUUUGUGUUAUUGUGUACCUGGAGCUUUUUUAGAUGCCAAUGUAGCUCUUAUUAGGAGCUUAACACAUGAGAUUAAGUAGAAACUGAUAUUGUACUUCUUAAUCAGAUUCAGAACAUUAUAAGGUUAUGAACAAACAUAAUUAAGGAUAGUGUGGACACAGUAUGUAGCAGUAAAAAUAAUAAAUUUUUUUUUUGGUUACAAGCGAGGCCUAAAAGGCCUAAAUAAAGAAAAAAAUAAAAUAAUAAAAUUUUAAAGUAAGUAGUAUAUAUAUCAGGUCUUUUCAGAUAUUUUUUUAGUGUACGUUAUUAAUACAUCUGUUAUUAACACAAAUUAUCUAUUUUUUUAUCCACACAUUUUAAUUUUAUUUACAAACUUACCACUUGAAUUUGUUUCAUGAUUAGUUCUCAUUAUAAAUGAGGUGUGUUAAUAACACUAAUCUUUAGAUAAUAACUUCCUUAUUUUAACUAGGGUACGGAUUUCCUUAAUUUGACCCACAUUCCGAUCAUAUUUUUCGAUCAUAACCGGCUAAUAUCUAGAUAUACAUGACUUGAUCAUCUAUACAAAUUUUCAGCUAAUUUGGUUAUUAUUAAGGUAUCGAAAAUGUAUUAAAUUAAUGAACGAACCAAAUCUGUUCAUCUUAAACCGUAUGUUCUUUUAAUUCUAAAUCACAGUUUUGAAUACCUUAAUGAUUAUCAAUUUGGCUGAAAAUUUAUAGAGAUGAUCGACUCGUAUAUAUCUAAAAGCUGAACGAUUAAGAUGAGAAAAUAUCAUCGAAAAGUGAGCUAGUUUUAAAGAAAUUUGUACCUUAAUUAGCUAAGAUAAGAAGGUUUGGACCUGAUCAGCAUUGUGUGUGUUUUUGUGUGUGUGUGUGUAUACAGGCAGUCUUUCUCAACCUUUUUACUUUAGUUGAGGUACGGAUUUCCUUAAUUUGACACACUUUUCGAUCAUAUUUUUUUUAUCAUAGCUAACCAAUCUAGAUAUACAUGACUUGAUCAUUCAUACAAAUUUUUAGCUAAUUCGGUUAUCAUUAAGGUAUUGAAAAUGUAUUAAAUCAAUGAACGAACCUAAUCUGUUCAUUUUGAAUCGUACGUUCUUGUAAUUCUAAAUCACAGCUUUGAAUUCCUUAAUGUUUAUCAAUUUAGCUGAAAAUUUACAGAGAUGAUGAAGUCAUAUAUAUCUAGAUAUUGACUGGCUAUGAUCGAAAAAUGGGUCGAAUAAAGAAAGGAGGUCCUUACCUGAUAAACAUUGUGUGUGUGCGUGUGCGUGUGUGUGUGUACAAUAAGUGAUCUAUUUUUUUGUUCAUUUCUAGGGAUAUAUAACAACUCAUCAUUAGAUCUGUUUUUUAAUGAUCUUAGAUGGUUGAGAUUAAAUAAUAAAUUCAACACUUUUUGACAACUCGAACCGUUCAACUUUAUUAAAAAUAAAUCAAAGUUUUGGACGACUUAACGAUCACUAAAUUUUCUGAAAAUUUGUUGAAGUAAUCUACUUAUAAAGAUCUACAAAUUGAAUGGUGGAGACGUGAUUUUGUGAUCAGAAAGGUUCGUUAAAUACCUUAUCUCUAGAAAUGAACAAAAAAAUAGAUUCCUCAAGAUCGGACGUCCCUCUAUUCUUUACCGUUCAGCGCCGACGACGGCGCUUCUCUACCCGAACGGACACUAAAGAUAUCCCCGAUGACUUUCUCUUGACCUUGAUCCCAUUGUUAAAACCUGUCCUCCUCAGCUCCUCCUCCUCCUCCUCCUUGUCUCAGCCUCACCAUUGAUCUUUCAUCGAUCACUAAUAUCGAAUAAUCACGACUGUAUAUAUAUACAACUACGUAGUUAAUCGAUAAGUUUGAAGAUCUUACUAGUUUCCUUCUUAUUUUCGAUGGAACAAUUAAGCUAGCGAGAGGAGGAAGAAAACCGGAGGUUCUGGAGAAGAUCUCACUUUGAUUUCUAUGGGUGUGUGUACCUGGAGCUUUUUUAGAUGCCAAGGUAGCUCUUAUUAGGAGCUUAACACAUGAGAUUAAGUAGAAGCUGAUAUUGUACUUCUUAAUCAGAUUCAGAACAUUAUAAAGUUAUAAACAAACAUGAUUAAGGAUAGUGUGGAGUGAGGAAGCAAAUUUGCUCCCCACCCCUCUCCCACUCCCUUUAGAUGAAUGCCAAAUGUCUUUUAGGUUUAAUUAUUUUAACAAAAAAAAAUGAAAAUAAUACUUGACAUUCAUUAAAAAGGUGGAGAGCAAAUUUGCUUCCAUGGAAGUGUGGACACAGUAUGUAGCAGUACAAAUAAUAAUAUAUAUAUAUAUAUAUAAAUAUAAUGGCAAUAAUUAACUUAACUCGGAUCCGCCAUGGAUUCUAGGCUCCUUUCAACUAGUAUAUAUGUUUCAACUUUCAAGUACUGAAGGUGACACCUUUCACGUCAGUGUCUGGAUCGACAAACUUACCCAGCUUAAUUUGGAAUAAAAACAAUUAGAAAGACAUUAACAAAGGUACCCUGCCUGCAUGGUGUGUUCUCUCCAAAGGUAACAUUGUUUGCUAAAUGAUUCAAAAAGGAUAAUUGUGUUUUGGAUGUGUGUAUUUGUCUUGUAGAACUAGUCUACAUCCAGCGAGUCCUUACACAACAAAUCGAGUAUGUCAUAUUGCCAUUCCAACCCUACGAUCAUCAAACAUUUGUGUAACAAUUUUAGAAGAUGUUACUGCAUAUAUAGUUCUUGUGACCGAAAACUCUUCAUAAUUUUGGGUGAUCCACUGUUUUUUAUUGCGUUUGAGGGUAGCUUAAGCUUACUAAGCUCUCGAAGACAUGUUGCAUAAGUGAAUCACAAAACCAAGCAUGCACUUCUAUACUUCGGUAAAAUUUGGGGUUUUUUUUUAUGAGAAGAGAUAGAAGCAAAGGGUGACCCUAGUUAAAAAUAGGUAGCAGCAGAGGUUUAAACCCUACAAGAAUUAUCAGUAAAACUCCAAUUAAGUGGAGUGGAGUACCGGUGAGUUUUCUAUCUCACACAGUCGCACCUUCUGUUAAAUCCAGUCAACAGUUAAAGGAUUAACAGUAAUUUUUCUUAUCACAAUAAGGGGAUGUCAAUCAGUUUAAACAGUAUUACUGAAAAUUGAUAGAGCCAACGUGCAAAGUUUCUGAAUUCUUACUCAUCAGUCAUCAUCUGCUUUUUAGGUCAUAAUAAGAUUCGUCCUUGCACCCCCGGAAAUUCGCAUUGAUUUGUACGUACUUGACUCUUACAUAUUGCUAGGGGGUGGGGGUCACCCUUCAUCAAUUAGGGUUCUCCUCAUUUCUUGACAGGGGGCUUCUUGAUACUGGGAAAGAUAUGUAGAAUCUAACUAUAUGAUUUAUGAACUGCCACAAUGCUUUGAAACUUGAUUGCUUUCAACAGUAAUCGUGCGCCUUGCUUGCAUUUGAUUUAGUUUGUGUUCUAUAAUUAUUUGUUAUUCUUUUUUGAAAUCAAAUGAGUUUUGCACUGAACCAAAAGAUUUGUACACUACAAUUGCACUUGAUUUUUGACAAAAUCCGGAUAAAAGUAUUUGCUACGUACAUUUGAGAAACUACCUAGAUUUUUUAUUUUUCUUGAGUUGUGCGGCAACUCUCCAUUGACAACAACGACAGCUUCUGUAGAAGGACAACGAGGAGCCGGUGCGCUUGGGGUCAAAGUUUUGGGGAAGGAAUUUUUGGCACAAAACUACAUGUGGGACGACCCAAUAGCAGCCGCAUGAUGAUUAUGCAUGGAAUCCUUCCGGAGUGUUGUGCGCUUUACGUGGAGGGUUACAAGAACAGUGGAUGUUGCUUCCCGAAGAGAUUGUUAGGAUUCAAAUUUGCCGACCAGCACAUUUGUGGUCAUGGUACCCAGUCAAUUUACCCCAUAUAUGUAUAUAUAUAUAUAUAUACAGUUUCUUUCCAGAGAGGGAUUCCUCUUUGAAAUUAAAGUGCGGGACUCCUUAUUUCGCUCACUUUCAAGUCGUAUUUCCACAUCUCAACCGUACAAUGUCUAAAACACAGUGUGUAAAUCAUUCCUAAAAAAUUUCAUCAAAUUUAAAGAUCAUUUGAGCUUCCAUGAUCGUAAUUUACACGAACGGUUCUGUUUGGACAACUUUUGUUCUGUUUAUUUAUUUAAUCUAAUUCGGUACUCAAAUGAUCUUCAAAUUUGAUGAAACUUUGCAGGAAUGAUCUACACACUGUGUUUUAGACAUUNNNNNNNNNNNNNNNNNNNNNNNNNNNNNNNNNNNNNNNNNNNNNNNNNNNNNNNNNNNNNNNNNNNNNNNNNNNNNNNNNNNNNNNNNNNNNNNNNNNNNNNNNNNNNNNNNNNNNNNNNNNNNNNNNNNNNNNNNNNNNNNNNNNNNNNNNNNNNNNNNNNNNNNNNNNNNNNNNNNNNNNNNNNNNNNNNNNNNNNNNNNNNNNNNNNNNNNNNNNNNNNNNNNNNNNNNNNNNNNNNNNNNNNNNNNNNNNNNNNNNNNNNNNNNNNNNNNNNNNNNNNNNNNNNNNNNNNNNNNNNNNNNNNNNNNNNNNNNNNNNNNNNNNNNNNNNNNNNNNNNNNNNNNNNNNNNNNNNNNNNNNNNNNNNNNNNNNNNNNNNNNNNNNNNNNNNNNNNNNNNNNNNNNNNNNNNNNNNNNNNNNNNNNNNNNNNNNNNNNNNNNNNNNNNNNNNNNNNNNNNNNNNNNNNNNNNNNNNNNNNNNNNNNNNNNNNNNNNNNNNNNNNNNNNNNNNNNNNNNNNNNNNNNNNNNNNNNNNNNNNNNNNNNNNNNNNNNNNNNNNNNNNNNNNNNNNNNNNNNNNNNNNNNNNNNNNNNNNNNNNNNNNNNNNNNNNNNNNNNNNNNNNNNNNNNNNNNNNNNNNNNNNNNNNNNNNNNNNNNNNNNNNNNNNNNNNNNNNNNNNNNNNNNNNNNNNNNNNNNNNNNNNNNNNNNNNNNNNNNNNNNNNNNNNNNNNNNNNNNNNNNNNNNNNNNNNNNNNNNNNNNNNNNNNNNNNNNNNNNNNNNNNNNNNNNNNNNNNNNNNNNNNNNNNNNNNNNNNNNNNNNNNNNNNNNNNNNNNNNNNNNNNNNNNNNNNNNNNNNNNNNNNNNNNNNNNNNNNNNNNNNNNNNNNNNNNNNNNNNNNNNNNNNNNNNNNNNNNNNNNNNNNNNNNNNNNNNNNNNNNNNNNNNNNNNNNNNNNNNNNNNNNNNNNNNNNNNNNNNNNNNNNNNNNNNNNNNNNNNNNNUUGGAUGUCUCCUCCGACAAGGUGUGAUCGAACCCAUCUCUCUCCUCUACCCAAUUUACCGUACAAGAAGAUCACGUCUUCGAUUAAACUCUCGCUUUCUCUGUACUCAAAUACAUAGGAAAAGAGGAGAUAGAGAGAUCGAGGUACUUUUAUAGGUAUGCUUACUGCUUCUAACUGAGCUACCCUAAUAAUCCAGAAAAUCUAAUUGGAGAGCAGAUCGUGUUGGGGGAUUGAGUUUGAUAUAACAUUGAUCAAGACGUAAUUAAGUCUGCUCAUUCUAUUGAAUUGUGUCUAUGAGAGUUAGGACUAAAACAUCAAAAUUUUGCAUAUCGAUAUCUUUUUUGCCUCUCUUUAUACUAAUGUUCUCUCUCUCUGUCUCUUCGACAAGUUAUGAUCGGACCCAGCUUUCGAGAAUAAGCUCUCGGGUUCUCCGUUUCGAGAGAUUUUUUCAACAAGCCAAGAGAUAGGAAAGAGAGGGAUAAUGAGAUCGAGGUAUUUCUCUAGGUAUGCUUUUUUAAUCGGGUUUUGCAUCUGAUUUAGCUUUUUUUCGAUUGAGGUCUUUCUCGAAAUUGGUACUAUAUAUUACUUUCUAAUACUGUUUCUAUUUUUCGAAUUGACUCUGCGUACACUGUUUAUCUUUAAUUUUCAUGAAGAUGAAUGAUAAACUAGAUUUAAAUAUAGUGAAGUAUGGGAUUUAUAUAUGGUGACUAUUUGAUAUCUUUUGGAUGUGUUUUGGUCAUGUUUUCAUUUUAACCAAAAGGAAUUGGGUCCUUGGCUUCUUACUUCUUGUUUUUAGUUAGGAUUAUAUUGUUUGCUUUCACAUUCUCAGUUCGGUAGAUAAACUUUGGUUACGUGAGAAUGUAUAUAAAGAGCUAAUAUGUGUCUAUAAUUACAUGUUGGUGCUUUUGGGAAAACUUUGUGAUUUGAAGAGGAAUUUUACUGCUGUCAAUGUGGAGAGCCACAAUGUAAGCAGUUUCAAAUGGGAGAUCUAAAAGGUUAGCGUCUUAUCACUUUUCAGUUACUAUUUGCUUCGUGACAACUUCAAAUUAUUUUAGAUUUAUCUAUAUCACUCUGUUCUUGCUUUUCUCUAGGUUUUCAUUUGUUGAUGAUCUUUUGGUCAUGUUUAUGUUUAUCUGUUUUACAUAUUGCUUUACAUAGCUGAGUAGUGUUUGUUUUUUUUUCUUUGGAAUCUCCACUGAGAUGUUGCAAUAUUGAAUUUCAGGUUAGAAUUUUCAUCAGAAUUGAUGUCGUCCAAGGUUAGUCCAAUCAGUCCUGCAAUGCUUUCCUCCAAUGGAGUUAUCGGUUUGUAAGAGGUGAGUUUGCUUUGAUUUAUCUACAUCAAUUGUUGUUAUGGACAGCUAUAUAAGUUUUUUUGCUUAUUUUCAUUGUAUUCUUGGGAUUGAAGUCAAUAGAGAAUAACCAAGCUGAAAACAACAAAACCAAACCUCAUAUAUGAAAUAAAAUCCUAAAAGUUUGUUUGCUCAAAUGAGAUAGGUUUUUGCAUUCAAUAUAAUACAAGGGUGCAGUUUGCUUAUUCUUUGGCUCUCUCAGAGUUAAUUUCAGUUUACUACCCUGAACUUUAGGUCUAAAAUCAGUUUGAUACCUCAUCUUUUUUUUAAUCAGUUUCAUACCUAAACUUUUAAAAUGACAUCAAUCUCGACCAAAAUGACUAAAAUAGCCCUAGUUAAUCAUUUUACCCUCUCGCUCUCUCUCUCUCUCUCUGGCAGCGCCGUCGCAACGGCCGGGGGAGGAGGAGGGGCUGCCAUCGGGGCCCAUUGCUGGUGGUAGGGGUGGAUGCCGGCGCCGGCCAUGUGGUGGAUUUUGAGGUAGGGAAAGAGAGAGAGAGAGGGUAAAAAGAUUAACCAGGGCUAUUUUAGUCAUUUUAGUCGAGAUUGAUGUCAUUUUGAAAGUUUAGGUAUGAAACUGAUUAAAAAAAAAUGAGGUAUCAAACUGAUUUUAGACCUAAAGUUCAGGGUAGUAAACUGAAUUUUUUCCUUUUUUUGCUUAAGUUCUAUAUUGUUGUUUUAAUACUAAAAAUUGUUUCUCUUUCGUUUACAACUGCAAGUUAUUUGUAUGCGAUGUGCAGGUCUUAUGCGAUGUAAUAAUAUUUUCUUUAUCAUUUUGCAGAUUUGCACAAUAGUCAGUUGUUGCAUUCAAGAGCUAAUUUAAGUAACAUUGAGCUCUCAUAUGCAACUUCUUUGUAUUCAUGUAUAUUAUAGCUCUUUUGUAUGUUCAAGUUGAAAUCGCAAUCAAACUUUUUGAUGAUAUACUAUAACAUUGGAAUCAUCUUUUGAAAAAGUUCGAUGGCACUUUUACGAGUUAGCUUUUAUGUUAUGGUCAUGGACUUACCAUUUUUUCUGCUUAUGAAUUCUGGGUUAUUGUUAUUUCUUGGAUUUCAGCAUUCUUCGAUGAUUAUGGAGGCUAGCUAAGGUUUGCUCUUGAAUAAUCUUGGCAUAUAUUGAAAGUUGUCAGGUGGUUUUUUGACCGGAUAGCAGCUCAAGUAAAGUGCAGAAUAAUCUGUGGCUUUGGAUAGUUUAUACUGCAUAGUCUUAAUUUGGUUGAAGACUUGAAUGAACCGGACUAAUUCUCUUAUUUCUCCAUUUUGAGUUGAACACUUGAACUGAAUCAAUACCACACCCGCAGCAAAGCGCGGGUGUACUGCCUAGUCUCUAUAUAUUAAACGGAUGGGGAUCGAUUACUGUUCACGAAACAGUGUCGUUGUUCUUCUAUUCGUGUUCUUUUUUUUCCUUUUUUUUUUUUUUUUUUUGUAGGAAAAUGCACCACCGGUACCCUAACAUUUGUGGCACGAACAAAAUAGUACUUAUACUUUAAAAACUAUCAAUGUGGUACCCAAACUUCUAUUUUGCUACUAAGGAAAGGCCUGAGGCCAAUUUCCGUAACUGUGCUGUUAGUUUGCUGACGUGGCAGGCAUGGGGCCCACCCAAAAAGGUGCAAUGACAAAAAUAACCUUCUAAUUCUCCAGAACCAUUUUCCCUCCAAAAUCUUUAAAAUUGAAUCUUGGGUUUUCAUCCUGGGUAUCACAAUUAAUUCAGUAAAGUUUAGGUAUCACAUUGAUCAGUUUAGUAAAGUUUAGGCACUGCUGUUGUGUUUAUCUGCUGAUAAUAAAUACUAUGCAAUAUGCAAUAGCUGAAAAUGUAACAUAGAAAUUCAAACAUAGAACCAAAAAAGGUUGCCAAUAUCACUGAAUUAAAACCAACAUCAGUUCAACAUGAGAAACAUACUAUGCAUUAGAAUUCAAGCUUAAUUGGUUUCCAAAAACUCAAGAAACCAGAUUGUUUGCAAAAAAUUGAUUAAAAAAGAUGAUGAAGUACACGUUAUGUUUCUCUAAUUCAAAAGUCAGCACAUUCAUUUUUUUUAGCACCCCUUGCUCCAUGAUUUUAGCUGCUUUGAGUAGAAGGUUGUGUUGAGGCCAGCUGAUGCAUUACCAUUUCCAGCAGGACUACCCUUCAUUGCCAACUUCAUUUUCUUCCAUCCCUUUCUAGACUUUAUGACCUGGUCUGUGAUAGGUUUUGAUUCCUUAGGUGAGGCUGGUGCCCUUUGGAACACAAACAAGACAUUUCCAACACAAUUCAACAACCACAUUUGGCUUCACAAUUUAACAAGACAUUUCCAACACAAUUAAACUUCUAGCAACUGAACAGAACCACUCCAAUGUUUCAAAAAGGAAACACACAAAACUUGCAACUUAAAUAGCUAAAUUAGAUUACUACAACGACAGCUAACAGAAGAUAACAAGUAAAAAAAAGUUCUACACUACUAAUGUUCAGCCAAUUUUAAGCAUACCAAAACCUUCAUCUCUAACUUCAAUUUGAGAAACAAAUUACAUGUAUAAGAACCUUAUAGUCUAAUCUAUAUAUCUAUAUAAUAUCAUACCAAAAAGAGUAAGAAUCAUAGGCACACACUAUGACUAAAAGCAAAGGUACAAAAUCAGAAAAGUGCCUAACUGAAUUCUGACCAGAAAAAUCUUUGGUUAAAAACGAUAUGGUUCAACUGGGAAUUAAAGCUUGGUGUCUUCAUAACAUUUGAAAUAGACAUCCUAAAAAUCAAUCUAGAACUGGAAUCGCACAAAAAAGAUUUUCUUACAAUUACUUGUGAUUUUUCGAAGUUGAAGAUCUGCAUCAGAAAAAUCACUGAUUUUGACUCGAAUCAAGUUUCCCCUUUUAAAGAUGAUUCCCAGUAGGUAACAACAAAGAAAAACCCAAUCCUAAUGCUUGACUUCCUACCAAGAUGAUCCUCCAUAACAAGAAGCAUAAAUACAGAAGUUACAAUCCAACAUUGAAACCACAAAGAAUUAUAUAUACUAUUACAAUAUACCUAAUAAACACAACAUAUAUGUUGACAAACACAACAACUUAUCAUAUCAGAAACAAAUACCUAACAACUCUAUAGAAAAUCAUCUUUUCUGCAAGAAUUGACUAAGUGACUAACAUGGUUCACAAAGGAAUAACCAAUUGAUCAAGAACAUAUAAGAUGCAGAUUGACCUCAAUUGUUCUUCCUAUAUUCCUACGACACCAAUUUCUCUUCUCUUCUCUCUCUCUCUCUCUCUCUCUCUCUCUCUCUCUCUCUCACACACACACACACACACACACACAUACACACACACACACCAGAAUUAGUAAUUUCCACAAACUCUUGCAAGUAAUAGUAAACUACUGUAAAUAAUAAACAAUAACCUACUCACCUAAGCUUGAACAAGUUGGAAAACAUCCCGAAGAUAACCCAAAAACUACAAGCUUGAACAAAAUAUUAUUCUAUUUAUUUUUUGUCAUUAAGGACACAGGAGACACCAGCUAAAACAAAUAGUAUUGUUGUCCAGUGAACAAGAGUACAUCAAAACUCAGAAACAAAAAAAGAAAAAGAAGAGAUGAUCAUGAUUCAAGCAAACUCAUGAAGCAAAAUCUGAAUUGCUUGAGAAAAGUUAAUCCUAGUCAUUGAGCACAAAGAGUAGCAAGUAAAGUAAAUAAUAGUCAAGUAAAGUAAAUAAUAGUCAAAGCACAGACAAGUGAUCACACUAUCAUUCAAUUGUCACACUUUUACACAAUAAUGCAGAAAACUGAGAUCAACCCACUAGUCUGAUCAACCCAUUAUUUACUCGUUUUAUAAAGUUUGAUUUGCCACCGCACACCCACAACUAAAACAAUUAAAUCAAUAAUGGAAACACCACAGCAAAACCAAGUCAUCACACACUUGUGAAAUUUGUGAAAUUACUAUAUUAGUUAAAAGAUAUUGGAAAACAAGAUAGGUAAUCUAAUCAAAGAUAUCAGCUAGCCUUAAGGUAUAAUUUAAACAACUUUCAAAAACAUGGUAAAAAAUAAUAACCAAAACAAAUUAAUUCCAAACUCAUGUUAUCAAACACGCAACUUAACCAAUUAGUUAACACUGUAAAAGUUUUACCAUACUCCAAAGAUCCCAAAGUAAAACCAACAGUGAAAAAUGAUAAAAACAGAAGCAUAAUUCCCAGGUAAAGAAGCUGGAAAACACUCUUGCUACACCACCAAUGGAAGAAGCAUAUCUAUCUAUCUAUCUAUCAUCUAUGCAAAACCCAAUGAAAUUCCUAUACAUUCAACUAGACUAAGCUAACUGCAGAAACUGAAACCAAAACUAGAAACGGAUAUCACACAUAAACCCUCUAACCCUAAGCUCGAUCAAUUUCUCAUCUAAUAGAUCAAAAUAAAGAUAAAACAAAACCGAAAGACAAACAGAGAGAGAGAAAUACCGACCUGGAGUCCUGAAGCUUGGCGGUGGACUUCUUGUUAACGCCGAGAAUGAUGGUCUCAGAGCCACAGACACCGACGACGAUGUUACCCUUGCGGAUGGCUUUGAGGGCGUACUCGACUUGGUUGAUUACUGUGAUUCAACACAGUAAUCAACCAAUCAAACCAGAAAGCUGAAACCCAGAGAGAGAGAUCGAGCUGUGGUGGCUUACCUUUGGCUAGAGAGCUUCGGCUGCGUUGGUCUCCUCUGCAAUUUAGGGUUUUGAGAAAAAGGGGUUGCGGGGAGAAGAGAUGGAAAUUGAGGGAGGAACGGGGGAAAUCGAGUUUUGACCUUUUUUUGGUGGACCUGAUGCUGGCCACGUCAGUAAACAGACGGCACCGAGAUGGAAAUUGGUUUCGGGCCUUUUCUUGGUAACAAAACAAAAUUUAGGUACCACAUUAAUAAUUUUUAAGUUAUGGCUACCACUUUGACUGUGUCAUGCUUAUUACUGUCAAAACCUUUUUUUUUUUUCUGCCAUUUUAUCUGUAUUGACUGAUUUGCCCUUAGAUAAUAGAAAGAAACGCCAGGAAAAAGAAAAAAAACUACCUUGCCGCACCGCUUCAGAUCGAAAGAGUAGACAUAGUAGAAGAGAGAGAGAGUGGAAACUGAAAAGAGUGUUCCUCUCGGACGUCGGGGUUUCGGCGAGUGCAACAGCUUUGUCUCUCAGGCAAGUAAUCACAUCCUUUUUUCCUUCUGGUUUCGGAGAAUCGGAUAGACAAUUUUAGUGUUUAUUCUUUCUGGGUUCUCUCUCUGAUCUGGGAUAUUGAUUGAGUUUCAGUUUGAGAAAGAAAGAAACAAUCGGAGAUUGGGAAGAGAGACAAAGAGACAAUCGGAGAAGAAAGAAAGAGUGAAUCGCUUUUGGUUUGGUUCUGCUUUCCUUGGAAUUGGUUUAGGGUCGUACCAUUCCUCGGGUUUCGGCAACGAUCGACGUGAGAAAAGGUUUUGAUUUAUCUGGCUUUGCUUACUUUUCUUAAGUUUCUGAUCAAUUUUCGAUAUUGAUAUUUAUACUGAACAAAUGCUUUGAAUUGGCUCUGCUUACUCUAUAUAUAUAUAUAUAUAUAUAUAUAUAUAUAUAUAUAUAUAUAUAUAUAUAUAUAUAUAUAUAUAUAUAUAUCAUUCUUAUUUGAUAUUGAUCGAAUGCUUUGAAUCAGCUCUGCUUACAAUAAACUGAGCAUAACGUUAAUACUUAAUACUGAUUAUGAGAGAAUAAAGGAAGUAAUAAUGCUAGCUGGCAUGAAGGUUUCUGGGAUGCAUAUUAUUCUGUUAUAUACUGAUAUGGAUCCUAAAACUAAAAUAUUAGAUGAGUUGCUGCAUGCUUUGCCGUUCCACUUUUGGUCCUCAGUUUCAACUACUAUUGAAGGAUAAUAUCUAAAAAGAGAUUAUGAUGAACAAACUAUUAAUAUAUUCAAAUAGCUAAGAUAAGAAUGCAAAAUGCAUGGAACCUAAAUUCUUGCCAAAACUGAGUUUAAUUUAAUUGGAAGAAGAAAAGGUGAUGUCAUUUUGGUUGUGACCCUUAUGUCCUUGCUUACUUUAUAUAUAGCAUUCUUACUCAUCACAUCCAUUGUUUUGAGAUGCAGUUAAGGCUACAUGAGCUGCUUGAAAUUGCAGUAGAACUUUGCAACCUUUCUGCCUUCAAGUUCAAAUAGCUGCAUUCAAAUAUCUGAUUAAGCGGCAUGAUGAUAGUAGUAUUGCUAUCUAGCUAGCUUACUAAUACUAACCUUAGAUAGUAGAUAGUAUUAUUUGAAAUGUACUACAUUGUGUAAACAUUGGAGUUUUAUGGGUUUUGGGGCAUCUGCAGGUUGCUGUGUGCAGCUACCUGGGGCCUUUUGGCAUUGGAUCAAUGAUACUGUCGCCGUUUUAUAGAAAGGUACUACUUGAUUGUUUUUUCUCAUUUUUCUUCAAAUUGACAGUCUUCAAAUUUAUUAGAGAGAGAGAGAGAGAGAGGCAAUCGGAGAAGAAAGAAAGUAGUUUCGUUUUUUUUUUUCCUUUUGUACAAAAAUCAACUUCCAUGUACCUUUUUCCUGUUCCAGAACCAUUAUGUAGCUUUUUUCUCUUUCACUUUUUUUUAUCAGAAAGAAUAAUGUUAUUGGUACCUGAUUCAAUUACAUGGCUUAUUCAGUUAGAUUGUUGAUUCAAUCACAAAUUAGAGUCAGUGGACUGAAUACUAUAUUUGCUUUUAUUGGUGAUAUUGAUCGGCUAUUCGGCUUUGAGAUAGAGAACUGAGUAUGUUUAAUUAGUGUAAAGGUUCUAUUGAUAUUUAGCCUUGCCUUAGCAUGGCUAACAUCAAUUGCUUGAUAAAGACAUGAAAUGUGGCGGCUGUUACUUUCUUGCUUCAUGGCACAUAAGCUGGGGUUAGCUGGCCAUUGGUCUGAAUUUGACUGUGCUUUUAGGUUUUUGUUUGCUUGGUUUCAAUCAAGUAUAACUAUUAUCUUUUUCGUUAAUAUGGCUGAGCAAUUAGCACAAGUUGUUGAACUAGGAUUCCUUUCUGUCAUAUAGUAUCAAGGCCUUUUGUGAGUGACUAUAUAUUGUACUUGGAUAUCAGUAAUCUCUGCUAUUACUGAGAAUGUAGACUAUUGAAUGUUAUUAUCUCUAAUAAUUUUAUGGGAAAUUAUUUGUAAAGACUAAAGAAAAAUAACAUGGUAUGAAGGUCAAGGAUUAUAGGAAACUAUUUCUUCUUUCACGUUUUAACUGAUUUGUAUAAUCCUAUCUCAGUAUUUUGGUCUACUUUAAUCUAACAGGUGAUGCCAGUAUAUUAUGUUUCCGGUAGUUUUUGAUUAGCUAGAUGUGAAUCUGAUAAACUAAGUUCAACUCAUAUGAAACACUUCGCUGUACAUACAAUUGAAAUACGACCCUUUCCACUUCUUUUUACAGGCUUUGUUGGUAGUGGUUCAAAACCAUGUAGUUUUUUUUUUUUUGUCAAUGAAUUUGUGCUUUCAUUUGGAUUGUUGUAUGCAGUCUAAUAUGAGCGCGUUGAAAGCAAGUAUUGAAAGUGCGUGAGAAAUUUUUGUUCACUUAUGGUUACAGAGAUCGCACUACCCAUAUGUAAUUGUAGUGUAGGUUGCAAAUAAACCAACAGCUACUGUUCAUAGGGUUUGAUGGCAUUUCAAGCAGUGGUAAAUGGAGGAAUUUUGUAACUAAAGUUUAUAUGUGAAACACCCAACUCCAUGGAGCUCAUCAGGUAGUAAACCAUCAACAGCCGGGAUAGGGAAAUGAUCUUUAAUUGUUGCGGCAUUAAGAUCCCAUUGUUACUGCAACGCUAUCUACUAUCCUAGACUACUCGGCAAAGGCAUCAAGACCUUCCUAGACUACUGAAUCACCUAUUACCGAAACGAAAACAAGAAGUCAUCAUACAUGAAAAUGCACAAAAUGAAUAUGAACGCCCAAAUUCAGGAAAUCCAAUUUGCAGGUCAUGAACUACAUAAUAGAUCAGAUUCUAAUAGACAACGAAAAAAUGACCAGUCAGAAAUCCAGAAUAAACAUGAGAUAAUCGCAGUCCCAGUACCAUGAGAUAAAACUACUUCUAGUCCCAGUAAUCACAUCUAAAAGCCAAUAAGUAAAAGUUACCCUCCCUCCUAGUAAAUGUGCUUCAAGCCCAGGCCAUGCUUGCCGCGAACGCAGCCGGGCCUGACAACCAAGUAGGGCGACCUCUUCGAGUUCUGCAUCUUUGCAAAUGUCCUCUUCCCCAAUUUCCUCAUCCUCUCCCUCCCAAACUUGUCGCUCACCGACCACGGCACCAGCUCGUCAUCCAGCCCGUACCCGUCGUCUUCCUCCUCGUCACCGCUGACGUCAUCGUCGCCAAGUCCGCCGCGGUCGUCGAAAUCGGGAGGGGACUGGAAAGGCAGAUCGAGAAGGCGAACGAGGCGGGUCUGACGACGGCGGGCUCGGGUCGGGUCGGUCACGGGCGAAACGACUGGGGAGUCGAAUGAAGCGAUGGCGGGAACAGUGGGCCCGGAGUGGUGUGGUGGGUCGGAGUCGGAGCGGUGGUCGGGGCUAGAGAAGGAGUCGGUGUCGGAGUCGGAGAUGUCGAUGAAUUCCCAGAGGGAUUCUUGAUCGGAGUCUUGAUCGAAUUGAAGGAAUUCGAAAUCUUCGAAAGUGGUGAGGGCAGUUUCCAUGGUUGGUUUUCUG